This 97035-nucleotide long non-coding RNA is filed under the name Theobroma cacao (cacao). Its description in RNAcentral is "long non-coding RNA (TCAC_LNC004199)". The record is from RNAcentral. Lineage: Eukaryota; Viridiplantae; Streptophyta; Magnoliopsida; Malvales; Malvaceae.
UGGAGGACAAAGAAUGAGAACCAAGGAUCGAUCGCUGAGCUGCUUUGCUUUCCUUGCCUUUCCAUGUUAGAAAUCAUGGGCUGCCCAGACUUAACCUCAAUGCCGCUGUUUCCAUCUCUCGACCAAAAUUUGACUUUGGCAGAUGCUAGUAUAAGGCCUUUGCAACAAACAUUGAAGAUGACGAUGACCGAGGCUAACAUGACAUUAGAAGAAGCAUCAUCAUCAUCAAUGAGCACAUGUCAUUCAUAUUCUUCGGCUACGUUUCCUCUCUCCAAUUUGAAGCGUCUGAGACUUGAAGGCAUUAAGGAUUUAGAAGUUCUGCUAGAAGAGUUCCUGCUGCCGUAUUGCCCCAAAUUGGAAUCACUACUGCCGCAAAAGAUGAGUUGCCUCACCUCUUUACAACAAUUGUGGGUUCAAAAUUGCCCUAAUCUGAAGGAUUUGCCCGACUGGAUACUCAAUCUCACUUCCCUUAGAAGUCUUCAAAUCAAUGAGUGCCUUGAAUUACAGUCCAUUCCAGAAGGGACGCCUCAGCUUACAUCUUUAGAAGAAUUAUCUGUUCAGAAUUGUCAUAAUUUGAGGGCUUUGCCAGAGUGGAUACUCAAUCUCACUUCCCUUAAAACACUUCGAAUUUGGGAGUGCCUUGAAUUACAGUACAUGCCAAAAGGGACACAUCAGCUUACCUCUUUAAAAGAAUUGUUCGUAGGGAAAUGCCCUAAUCUGAGGGCUUUGCCAGAUUGGAUACUCAAUCUCACUUCCCUUAAAACACUUCGAAUUUGGGAGUGCCUUGAAUUACAGUACAUGCCAAAAGGGACACAUCAGCUUACUUCUUUAAAAGAAUUGUUAGUAGGGAAAUGCCCUAAUCUGAGGGCUUUGCCUGACUGGAUACUCAAUCUCACUUCCCUUACAAAACUUCAUAUUCAGGAGUGCCUUGAAUUACAGUACAUGCCAGAAGGGACGCAUCAGCUUACCUCUUUGAAAGAAUUGUCCAUUGAAAAUUGCCCUCAUCUUAGGGCUUUGCCUGACUGGAUACUCAAUCUCACUUCUCUUGAAACACUUCAAAUUUGGAAUUGCCUUGAAUUACAGUACAUGCCAGUAGGGAUUUCUCGGCUUACAUUCUUAGAAGAAUUAUAUGCUGACCGCCAUAAUUUGAGGGCUUUGCAAGACUGGAUACUCAAUCUCACUUCCCUCAAAGAUCUUUAUAUUUGCGAGUGCCUUGCAUCACCGUACUUGCAAGAAAGGAUGCAUAACCUCACCUCUUUACAACGAAUGAUAGUUGAAUCUUGCCCUAAUCUAAGUUCUUCUAGACAUUCUCUCAAAACACUUCUAAUUCGGGGGUGCCCUGAUAUAUACUCCUGGAGAAUGAGGCAUUCUUUGUCCUCUUUAGAAGAAUUGAAUGUUCAAAAUUGCCCUAAUCUGGGGAAAUUGUUGUAUCGCAUAUCAUUUUUAAUCACUUGCCUCAAAACACUUACGAUUUGUAAGUGCCCUGAAUUACAAAACUUGCAAAUGGUGGAUCGCCUUACCUCUUUACAAGUAUUGUCAAUCAGUGAAUGUCCAAAAUUGUCGGAAAGAUGUGAAAAGGAAACCGGAAUCUUGUGGCCUCACAUUGCUCACAUCCCAUCUAUUAUAAUUGAUGGGCAACAGAUUCAGUGAUGAUCAUACAAUAUAUAGGUAACAAUAUUUUUCUGCACCUCUAUUUAUAUUUUCUCCCUGUACCUGAUAAUUCUUUUUUUUUCUUCCUGGAUUUGGAUGAUUCGUAAUUUGUUGUAUGCAUGUAAUCCAAGUUGACUAUGCGUGUAAUUUGUUUACUCUGCUACUUCUUUCUAAGUGGACUAACAAUAUUGAUUUUUUCUUAUAUAGACAAAUUUAAAAAAAUUACAGCAGUAUGAAUCUACUGAAGUUAUCAAAUUAUUCUGAUUUUUCACUUUGUUAUAUCUAAAUGUCUAUUUUCACCUUUUUCAAUGAUGUUAAUCUGUGUUCAGAGGAUAUUGUUUAGGUUGACCAAAAGUUUGGGUUUUCUGUAAGAGGUUGUCAACAGCUUUUUGUGCAGUGUUGAUGUAAUUGUUCAGUUAUCUUAUCACUAAAGUUAGAAUGCCAAAAGGAGUCUUUAACAUAAGCAUAAAAGGGAGUUGUGGACAGAUUAUUGUCAGUUGUUUCACUUCCCCUGUUUUUAUUCAUUGAUCAAUGCAAAAUUAUCUUUUAUACAAUGAGGCAGCCUUGGAUGUUUGUGUCAUAUCUUUUUAGAAGCAAAACCAAAAUUUAAUGUGAAACACUGGUGAAAUAAGCUGAGAUUUUAUAGGCACUUGCUUUUGUAAGGAAUAUGUUAACAUUAUUUCUUUAUUUUUUACUACGUGUUUAUAAUGGGAUGAUGACAUUUUUUCCAUUGUUUGAAGCAGGAAGAUUUCAUCUUGCCAAUUUCCUUCCAAAGCAGACUGUUGUUGAAUUGAAACCAAGAGAAAUUUCUAUUGGUAAACUUUACCACUUAUUUGGUUUGUUUUACCAAUUUCAUUUACUUUCUAUAAGGAAUCCAUUAACACCCAACUUCUUACUUCUUUCUGCGUGUCUUUAUUGGGAUUAUGGACUUUUUCUGAUAGAUUGAGAGAGUACGAAUUGAUUUCAACUUGCCAAUGCCAUUGUGAAGAAGAGUACUACAAUCCAUGGAUUGGAAGCUUUACUCUCAACAGCGCCAUCACUAUCUAUGUUACAGUUUGAUGGCAAUUCUAUGUGAGAGUUAAAUUUUACUUUUGAGUGUUUGAAUUCAAUAAAGGCUAGCUCGUGAAAAUAAUUUAACAACUUGACCUCUGGUGGCUUUGUAGAUGACAGAAAUUGCACAGCAUGCAACUCUUUCACCUUUUCUUCCCAAGAAGUAAGUGAUCUUGAAUUUAAGGUAAAUUAGCUUAUCACUUAAUGCUCUAUAGAAUUUACUGUGCAUAGAAUGUUGAAUAUUUUUUCAUUGCUAUAACGUUAUAAAAUUUUCAUUUUCUAUAGAAAAAUAAGAGGUAUCAUGACUAGCUCACCAACUCCCUUUCGAGGCAUUCUUGAAAUGCAGGUAUAUUCCCAAAGCAUAUCUAUUGCAGAAGUGAUGACUCCAUAUUAUAGUUUCUUUAGUUUUUGUUCUUGAUCUUUUGCAUAUCUUUAGUUUUUUAGACUAGUUAUUUGUGAAUGAAGGCAAACAACACUUGCUAAGUAGCGGCUCGAGUGAUUGGGAGAAUAGUAUGGAGUUGAGCUGUUUGGAAAACCCCUUUGCUUCUUUCAAAAUCAAUGUCAAUAGUUCCAUAUUGGCCGUUCUUUGAGGUCUUUGAACAGUGGCUUCAAUUCUAGUCUGUAGGCCUUUACUUAAUUAACCCAAACUGUUAAGGGGACCUAAAUACAAAUGUUCUUUCCAAUGUAUAUGGAGAAGACUUUUGGGAUACUGUUCUGGGAUUUACUAUUUGCUACAUUUGGGUGCUGCAAAGUGUCAAAGAAUUGUCAAUCAAAGAAUGUCCCCAAUUGUUGAAAAAAUGUAAAAAAGAGACUGAAAUCUAGUGGCCUCACAUUGCUCUCAUCCUGUCUAUUUAUAUUGAUGGCCAACAGAUUCAAUGAUGAUCAUACAGUACAGGUAACCAUAUUUUUCUUCUCCUCUGUUUAUAUUUUCUCUCUUUAUCUUUUAUUUCCUUCUUUUUUUCUUCCUGGAUUUGAAUGAUUUGUACUUUGUUCUAUACAUGUAAUCCAAGUUGGUAUACCGAUUGCCUAUACUUUGUACAGAUAGCAUACUUAUUGUGAAAGCAUUAAAUUUCAUACUCUUGUACGGAUAAAUUUAAAAAAACAGUAUUAUAAACGUACUUAAGUUACUUAAUUAUUCUGAUUUUUAGUUGUUAUAUCAAUUCCCAACUUCUUCUGUUUAACAUAAACAUAAAAUGGAGUUAUGGACAGAUUAUUGUCAGUUGUUUCACUUUCCCUGUUUUGUGCAUUGAUCAAUGCAAAAUCAUCUCUUAUACAAUGAGGCAACGUUGGAUGUUUGUGUCGUAUCUUUUCAGAAGCAAAACCAAAAUUAAAUAGAAAAGGAUCGCAGGACAGAUAGCUUCUAUCAUAGAGAUUCUAAAUAAUUGAAUAACUGAUGAAAUAAGCUGAGAUGUGAGAGUGAGUAUUCCUGAAAAUUUCAACUAAAAGUUUGUUAGAAUAUCCAGUCAAGACUCCGGAGCUGAAAGCUAGUAAUAAUAGAAACAAAUGUGAAAGUCUGCUUGUACAUUUCCUGCCAUAUUUGUUGUGAUGAGGAGAUAUUGCUAUAGGUAAUAUUUUCGCCUCUUCUUCUUGAUGUUGGCACUUGCUUUUGUAAAGAAUAUAUUAACAUCAGUUCUUUCUUUUUGUAUGUGUUAAUAAUGGGAUGAUGACAUGUUUUCAUUGUUUGAAGUAGGACGAUUUUAUCUUGCUAAUUUCCUUCCAGAGCAAACAGUUGUUGAAAUUUCUAUUGGUAAACUUUACCACUUAUUCGGUUUGUCUUACCAAUUUUAUAUGCUUUCUAUAAGGAAUCUAUUAACACCUAACUUCAUACUUCUUUUUGCAUGUCUUUAUUAGGAUUAUAGACUUUUUCUGAUAGUUUGAGAGAGAACAUGCGGAUUUCAACAUGCCGAUGCCAUUGUGAAGUAGAGUACUAGAAUCGGUAGAUCGAAGGCUUUACUCUCAACAGUGUUAUCACUAUCUAUGUUACAGUUUGAUGGCAAGUCUAUGUGAGAGUUAAAUUUUGCUUUGGGUGUUCAAAUUCAAUAAAGACUAACUGAUGAAAAUAAUUGAAUAGCUUGACGUCUGGUUUCCUUUUAGGUAAAAAAGACUGCACAACAUGCAACUCUUUCACCUUCUUUUCUCAAGAAGUGAGCCUUGGUCUAAUGAUCUUGAAUUCAAGGUUAAUUGGCUUUUCAUUUAUUGCUAUGUUAUAUAUGAGGAAUGUGCUUUGUAUAGAAUCCUCAAUAUUUUUGCAUUGCUCUAACAUUUAAGAUUUUUGUUUUCUAUAGAAAAGAAAGAGAUGCCAAUGACUUGCCUGCCAACUCCCUUCCGGCCAUUUUUGAAAUACAGGUAUUCUCAAAGCAUUUUUUAUGAGGAAUGACUUGCUUUUGUAAAGAAUAUAUUAACAUCGGUUCUUUCUUGUUUGUACGUUAAUGGGAUGAUGACAUUUUUCAUUAUUUGAAGCAGGAUGAUUAUAUCAUGCUAAUUUCCUUCCAGAGCAGACUGUUGUUAAAUUGAAACCAAGAGAAAUUUCUAUUGGUAAAAUUUACCACUUAUUUGGUUUGUUUUAUCAAUUUUAUUUACUUUCUAUAAGGUAUCCAUUAACACCCAACUUCUUACUUCUUUCUGCAUGUCUUUAUUGGGAUUAUGGACUUUUUCUGAUAGAUUGAGAGAGUAAAUAUUGAUUUCAACUUACAAAUGCCAUUGUGAAGAAGAGUGCUACAAUCCAUGGAUUGGAAGCUUUACUCUCAACAGCGUCAUCACUAUCUAUGUUACAGUUUGAUGGAAAUUCUAUGUGAGAGUUAAAUCUACAUUGAGUAUUUGAAUUCAAUAAAGGAUAACUCAUGAAAAUAAUUUAACAGCUUAACCUCUGGUGUCCUUUUAGAUUACAACGAUUGCACAGCAUGCAACUCUUUCACCUUUUCUUCCCAAGAAGUGAGCCUUGGUCUAACGAGCUUGAAUUUAAGGUAAAUUAACUUAUCACUUAUUGCUCUAUAUAAUUUACUGUGCAUAGAAUGUUGAAUAUUUUUUCGCUGCUAUAACGUUAUAAGAUUUUCAUUUUCCAUAGAAAAAUAAGAGGUGUCAUGACUUGGUCACCAACUCCCUUUUAAGGCAUUCUUGAAAUGCAGGUAUAUUCUUGAAGCAUAUCUAUUGCAAAAGUGAUGACUAUAUAUUAUAGUUUCUUUAGUUUUUGUUCUUGAUUUUUUGCAUAUCUUGUUCCUUAAUGCUUGCUUAUAACAAUGGAUUUUUGGACUAGUUAUCUGUGAAUGAUGGCAAACAACACUUGCUAAGUAGUGGCUUGAGUGAUUGGGAGAAUAGUCUGGAGCCGAUCUGGUUGGAAACCCCCUUUGCUUCUUUCAAAAUCAAUGUCAAUAGUUCCAUAUUGGCCAUUCUUGGAGGUCUUUAAACAGUGGCUUCAAUUCUAGUCUGUGGGCCUCUACUCAAUUAACCCAAACUAUUAAGGGGACCUAAAUAGAAAUGUUCUUUCCAAUGUAUAUAGAGAAGACUUUUGCGAUACUGUUCUGGGAUUUACUAUUUGCUACAUUUGGGUGCUGUUAAGUGUCAAAGAAUUCUCAAUCAAAGAACGUUCCCAAUUGCAGGAAAGAUGUAAAAAGAAGACCAGAAUCCAGUGGCCUCAUAUUGCUCUCAUCCUGACUAUUUAUAUUGAUGGCCAACAGAUUCAAUGAUGAUCACACAAUGCAGGUAACCAUAUUUUUCUUUACCUCUGUUUAUAUUUUCUCCCUUUAUUUGAUAAUUCCUUUUUUUUUUCUUCUUGGAUUUGAAUGAUUCGUUCUUUGUUCAAUACAUGGAAUCCAAGUUGGUAUACUGAUUCGCCUACACUGUGUACAGAUAGCAUACUUAUUGUGAAAGCAUUAAUUUCCUUCCAGAGCAGACAGUUGUUGAAUUGAAACCAAGAGAAAUUUUUAAAUAUAUUUAUCUGAAAUAUGUUUAAUGUUUGUUUAACAUUAAAUUGAAAUUUAAUGUUGAAUUGAAAUUUCUAAAUAAAUUUAACAGCAUUAAUUUGACUUUGGAAGAUGCUAGUAUAAGGCCUUUGCAACAAACAUUGAAGAUGACGAUGACCGAGGCUAACAAGACAUCAGAAGAAGCAUCAUCAUCAUCAAGGAGCACAUGUCAUUCAUAUUCUUCGGCUACCCUUCCUCUCUCCAUUUUGAAGCGUCUGAGACUUAAAGGCAUUAAGGAUUUAGAAGAUCUGCUAGAAGAGUUCCUACUGCCGUAUUGCCCUAAAUUGGAAUUGUUACUGCCGCAAAAGAUGAGUUGCCUCACCUUUUUACAACAAUUAUGGGUUGAAAAUUGCCCUAAUUUGAGGGCUUUGCCCGACUGGAUACUCAAUCUCACUUCCCUUAGCAGUCUUCGAAUUAAGGAGUGCCUUGAAUUACAGUCCAUUUCGGAAGGGACGCCUCAGCUUACAUCUUUAGAAGAAUUAUCUGUUCAGAAUUGUCAUAAUUUGAGGGCUUUGCCAGAGUGGAUACUCAAUCUCACUUCCCUUAAAACACUUCAAAUUUGGGGGUGCGUUGAAUUACAGCACAUGCCAAAAGGGACGCAUCAGCUUACCUCUUUAAAAGAAUUGUGGGUAGGGAAAUGCCUUAAUCUGAGGGCUUUGCCAAGCUGGAUACUUAAUCUCACUUCCCUUAAAACACUUGGAAUUUAGGAGUGCCUUGAAUUACAGUACAUGCCAGAAGGGACGCAUCAGCUUACCUCUUUAAAAGAAUUGUCCGUAGGCAAUUGCCCUAAUUUGAGGGCUUUGCCGGAUUGGAUACUCAAUCUCACUUCCCUUACAAACCUUCUAAUUAAGGGGUGCUUUGAAUUACAGUCCACGCCAAAAGGGACGCAUCAGCUUACCUCUUUAAAAGAAUUGUCCAUUGAAAAUUGCCCUCAUCUUAGGGCUUUGCCUGACUGGAUACUCAAUCUCACUUCUCUUGAAACACUUCAAAUUUGGAAUUGCCUUGAAUUACAGUACAUGCCAGAAGGGACGCAUUGGCUUGCAUCUUUAGAAGAAUUAAUUGUUUACUGCCAUAAUUUGAGGGCUUUUCCAGACUGGAUACUUGAAUCUCACUUCCCCAAAGAUCUUUAUAUUUGCGAGUGCCUUGAAUCACCGUACUUGCAAGAAAGGAUGCAUAACCUCACCUCUUUACAACGAAUGAUAGUGGAAUCUUGCCCUAAUCUGAGUUCUUCUAGACAUUCUCUCAAAACACUUCUAAGUCGGGGGUGCCCUGAUUUAUACUCCUGGAGAAUGACGCAUUCUUGGUCCUCUUUAGAAGAAUUGAAUGUUCAAAAUUGCCCUAAUCUAAGGAAAUUGUUGGAUCGCAUACCAUUUUUAAUCCCUUGCCUCAAAACACUUAAGAUUUGUAAGUGCCCUGAAUUACAAGAAUUGCAAAGGAUGGAUCGCCUUACCUCUUUACAAGUAUUGUCAAUCAGUGAAUGUCCAAAAUUGUCGGAAAGAUGUGAAAAGGAAACCGGAAUCCUGUGGCAUCACAUUGCUCACAUCCCAUCUAUUAUAAUUGAUGGGCAACAGAUUCAAUGAUGAUCAUACAAUAUAUAGGUAACUAUAUUUUUCCUCACCUCUAUUUAUAUUUUCUCCCUGUACUUGAUAAUUCUCUUCUUUUCUUCCUGGAUUUGGAUGAUUCGUAAUUUUUUGUAUGCAUGUAAUCCAAGUCGACUAUGCAGAAGUGGAUUUAAUCUACUUCUUUCUAAGUGGACUAACAAUAUUGAUUUUUUUUUCUUUUCUUACUUUGAAUUUUAUUUUUGUUAAGUUAAAUAUUACUACUAUGAAAUGUGACCAAAACUUGAUGUCAAAACUCUGCCAGUAUUUCACUGCCAUUAGGAACUUUUUUCUUGUUUUAAUCUCUCAUUCUUCAAUUAUAAUCCUAAGCAUUUAGGAUCUCACUAGCUCUAGCUGGAACCCUUGUACAGAAAAUCAUAUUUAUAGUCAAAGCAAUAAAUUUUAUACUCUUAUAUAGACAAAUUUUAAAAAAUUACAGCAGUAUGAAUGUACUCAAGUUAUCAAAUUAUUCUGAUUUUUCACUUGUUAAACCUAAAUGUCUAUUUUCACCUAUUUCAAUGAUGUUAAUCUGUGUUUGGAGGAUAUUGUUUAGGUUGACCAAAAGUUUGGGUUUUCUGUAAGAGCUUGUCAAAAGCUUUUUGUGAAGUGUUGAUGUAAUUGUUCAGUUAUCUUAUCACUAGAGUUAGAAUGCCAAAAAGAGUCUUUAACAUAGGCAUAAAAUGGAGUUGGGGACAGAUUAUUGUCAGUUGUUUCACUUCCCCUGUUUUUAUUCAUUGAUCAAUGCAAAACCAUCUCUUAUACAAUGAGGCAAUCUUGGAUGUUUUUGUCAUAUCUUUCAGAAGCAAAACCAAAAUUUAAUGUGAAACACUGGUAAAAUAAGAUGAGAUUUUGUAGGCACUUGCUUUUGUAAGGAAUAUGUUAACAUUAUUUCUUUCUUUUUUUCUACGUGUUUAUAGGGGGAUGAUGACAUGUUUUCAUUAUUUGAAGCAGGACGAUUCAUCUUGCUAAUUUCCUUCCAGAGCAGACAGUUGUUGAAUUGAAACCAAGAGAAAUUUCUAUUGGUAAAAUUUACCACUUUUUCGGUUUGUCUUACCAAUUUCAUAUGCUUUCUAUAAGGAAUCUAUUAACACAUAACUUCAUACUUCCUUUUGCAUGUCUUUAUUAGGAUUAUGGACUUUUUCUGAUAGUUUUAGAGAGAACAUACGGUUUUCAACGUGCCGAUGCCAUUGUGAAGUAGAGUUCUAGAAUCGGUGGAUCGGAGGCUUUACUCUCAACAGUGUCAUCACUAUCUAUGUUACAGUUUGAUGGCAAUUCUAUGUGAGAGUUAAAUUUUGCUUUGAGUGUUCAAAUUCAAUAAAGACUAACUGAUGAAAAUAAUUGAACAGCUUGACCUCUGGUUUCUUUCUAGGUAAAAAAGACUGCACAACAUGCAACUCUUUCACCUUCUUUUCUCAAGAAGUGAACCUUGGUCUAAUGAUCUUGAAUUCGGUUAAUUGGGUUUUCAUUUAUUGCUUGUUAUAUAUGAGGAAUGUGCUUUGUAUAGAAUCCUCAAUAUUUUUGCAUUGCUCUAACAUUUAAGAUUUUUGUUUUCCAUAGAGAAAGAAGAGAUGCCAAUGACUUGCCUGCCAACUCCCUUCCAGCCAUUUUUGAAAUGCAGGUAUUCUCAAAGCAUUAUCCAUUGCAUACAUGAUUCUAUAGGUUAAAGUUUCUUUAGUUUUUGUUCUUAUUUUUUUGCAUAUCUUUAUCCUCAGUGCUUCUUUAUAACAAUGGGUUUUUUGACUAGUUAGCUGUGAAUGGAGUCAACCAACACUUGCUAAGUAGUGGUUCGAGUGAUUGGGAAAACUGCCUGGAGAGCUGAGCUGGUUGGAAAACCCUUUUGCUUCUUUCAAAAUCAAUGUCAAAGUUCCAUCUUGGCCAUUCUUGGAGGUCUUUGAGCAGUGGCUUGAAUUCUAGUCUUUAGGCCUUUACUUAAUUAACCCAAACCGUUAAAGGGACCUAAACACAAAGGUUCUUUCAUAAUGUAGAUAUGGAGAAGACUUUUGGGAUACUACUAUGGGAUUUAAUAUUUGCCACGUUUGGGUGCUGCAACUACUGUAACCUCCUGCAUCAUAGUAAAAUCUCUUUCACCUUCGACCGUGGAUGUAGGUUAUUAAGCCGAACCACGUAAUUUUUCGUGUGUUUUAUUAUGUUAGAUUGUUUGCUUGUUAUUUAUCAUAAAAUUUGGUUCCACAUCUAUAUUUUUUACUAUGUUAUUCAUCAAAGGUAUUGCUUUUUUGACAAGAUAAUGUUAAAGAGUUGUCUUAAAAUCUCUUCAAUCCACCAACAAUGAAUAUAGGUUCAGAUAAAUCACGUAAAUUUUUUAUGUUUUUAUUAUACGUGAUUGUUUAUUUUGUUAUUUACUAUCAAAUUUGGGUUGCUUCGUUCACUAUGACAUUGUAAAAGGCAUUGGUUUAUCCCAAAAUGUAUUAAGUGAAGCUAUCAUAAAUGUUUCAAUUUUAAUUGAUUAAGAAAAGUUAUAAGUUUGAAGUUUCUCAUUUCCAAAAUGGAUUAAUUUUUUGAUAAAUGUCACUACAACUUUGUAAUUGGUAUUAAUUAAAAAUAUUUCCUACCUAAAAUUUGCCAUUAAUUAUAAAUGUUUUGUUUUAAUAAAACACAAAAAGUAAAUAAUCCUCAAUCAUACUUUAUAUUAUAUAACUCGACAUAAGCCAAGGAUCCAUAAAUAUAAUUUUAUAUAAACAGUAAUUUAAUUGUCACUGCAAUAAAAACAUAUAGAAACAGUAAUUCAUCCCUUCAAACGUAUGGUGGUGAAUGCCUUGCUGUCCAACUACUAUAAAGUAAAAGUAGUGGAGUAAUGGAGAUGGAGAUUCCAUAAUAAAGUGUGUUAUCCCCAGAUUUUCUUUUUUAUAAUUUUUUUGAGCUUAGCUUUUCUAAAUGCUGAUGAUCAUUUUUUUAAAGUGGAUUUUUCUCCUUGAAAUGAUGGAUUUAAUUACUUGUUUCCUCCUAAUAAUCACCUCUGAAUAGUAGCUAAAUUUUAUAAUGUAAUUAAUGAUAGUUAUACCGUACCUUUAAUCAAAACGAGAGUGGUGCCCGUAACUACGCUAUGAAAAAGCUUACAGGAAAUAUAAAUUAUGUUAGAAUGGACUUCAAUUUAGUAUCUUCAAAAGAGUUUAUAGAAAAAGCUAUAUUAUAUUAGUCAAUUAUAUAAAUGUAUGGUUUUUGCUGGUAGAAGAAAAGAUAAACCGAUAUUAAUUGAAGAUAAUUAUUUACUUUGGUUUCAAUCACUAAAAGUUGCUCCUAAAUAUAUGGUUUUAAAACAGUACUUAACCAAAGAAGAUAAUAAUCCUAUCAAACAUCCAAUAUUUUUUUCCAUUAAAAAUAUAUUGUUUAAACAAAAUGAAUAGCAUUUGUGAGUUGAAGGUUUUCAUUUUUGUUAGAUGAUAUAUAUCAACUUUCUAGAUACAGGACUUGCACUUUGUUACAUGUUAAGGGAAUAUAAAUUGUUAUACAAUUAUCAUAUAUGUUUAACUAUGGUGACAAUUUGCUCUUCCUUUUGCCGUAUACAUUUGUUUCCAUUUCUUUGAUUUCUGUUGUUGUAUUAUAUUGUAUAAAUUGCAUGGUAGAGGAAAAUAUAAACUAUAAUUAAUUAAAAAUAGUUAUUUGCUUUGGUUUCAAUUACCGAAAACCUGCACUUACAUAUAUAGUUAUAAAACAGUACUUAUCCAAAGAAGACAAUAAUUCUAUCAAAAAUUAUUAAAUGUAUAAUUAAAUAUUAAGAAAUGAGAGAGUAUAUAACCUUCACUAUUGGCAUAUUAAGAUAAAUAGUUGUAGAAUAUAUGACAACACUAUAAUGUAAAAAUCUUAUCAAUAUAAAAUAGUUACUAAAUUCUGGUAGUAUCUAUUUUUUAUAUCUAAAAUAAAUGGUUAAAGGUUAUCAAAUUCAAUUGAUUUAUUUAUUCAAUGAUGACCGUGUGCUAUGUAUAUUGAGAAAUGAGUAGACCUUCUUGGUUUUUAUGUUUUGUUCAAUGGAUUUGAUGGAUAUUUAUUGAAAUUUAAACAUUAAUGUACAAAAGAAAUGUCUAAAUACUAUAGAUUUUCAUUCAUGCAGAAUAAGAGAAUAUAAACAAAAAAUAAUAUUAAAUUGCAAUUGAUAAAUAUUAAAUGAAUCUAUCCUCUAAGCAUUAAAAGUUAAAAAUUAUUGUUUUCAAGUAUUUCUACUAAAAUAAAUAAAAGUAAAAAAAAAAAAACCUUUCAAAUGUAAAAAAUAAUGUAGUUUUGACAUAAAGUAUACAAAAAAAAAUUAAUUCAAUUGAGAAUGAUAGGUGUCAAUCAAUUGACUCAAUCAGAUAUCCUACUUAAAAUAGUACUUAUUUAAAGAAGACAAUAAUCAUAUCAAAGAUUGUUAGAUGCAUAAUAAAAUAUUAAGAAAUGAAAGAAUAUAUAACCUAUAUUAUUAGUAGAUUAAGAUAAACCGUUGUAGAAUAUAGAACAACAGUAUAAUGUAAAAAUCCUUUCAAUAUAAAAUAAUUACUAAUUUCUAAUAGUAUCUAUCUUUUAUAUAUAAAAUGAAUGGCUAAAGGUUGUUAAAUUCAAUUGAUUUGUUUAUUAAAUGAUAACUAUGUGCUAUGUAUAUUUAGAAAUGAAUAGACCUUGACUUUUUUAUUUUGUUUAAUGGAUUGAAUGGAUAUUUAUUUGAAUUUAAACAUUCAUGUAUAAAAGAGAUAUGUAAAUACUCUGGAUUCAGGUUUAUACAAAAUAAGAGAAUAUAAAAAAAAUAAUAUUAAAUUACAAUUGAUAAAUAAUAAAUGAAUCUAUCCGCUAAACAUUAGAAGUUUAAAAUUACUUUUUUCUAGUAUUUUUUACUGAAAUAAAUAAAAAAAACUUUUCAAAUGUCAAAAAAAGAGUAGUUUUGACAUAAGGUGUGCAAAAAAAAAAUUAGUUCAAUUAAGAAUGACAGGUGUCAACCAAUUGAUCCAAUUAGUUACCUUACUUUUAUAUAUAUUAUAGAUAUAUAACAUGUUCUAAUAAUUUAAGGUUUUGGAGUCUGAGAUAUUAAUAUUACUUGUUAAAUACAGUAAUUCUUUUUUAGAAAAAAAAGAAAAGAAAGAAAAGAUGAGGCCAAUAGUUCCAUAAGGCCAAUAAUUCCUUUUUUUUUCUUCCUGCAUUUGGAUGAUUCAUAUUUUGUUCUACGCAUGUAAUCCAAGUCGGUAAAAUGAUUCGCCUAUAUAGAAGUGGAUUUAAUCCAAACUCUGCUACUUCUUGCUAAUUAAGUGGACUAACAAUAUUGAUUUUUUUUCUUUGAAUUGCCCUUUUGUAAGUUAAAUAUUACUAAUAGUUGUGUGAAAUGACUGUGAAAUCUCACCAAAACUUGAUGUCAAAACUCUGUCAAUAUUUCACAGCAAUUGGAAACUUUUUCCUUGUUUUAAUCUCCCAUUCUUCAAUUACAAUCUUCAAUUUUAAGCAUUUAGGAUCUCACUUGCUCUAGAUGGAACCCUUGACAGAUAGCAUACUUUGUAGUCGAAGCAUAAAAUUUUAUACUCUUGUACAUAUCUCCAUUCAAUACUCUUGAGCUGAAAGCUAGUAAUAAUAGAAAAUAAAGUAAAAAGUCUGCCCGUACACUCCUGGUGAUUUUUUUUUCUCAGCCAAAAGCGAAAGGAUAUAUUAAUGAUUGAUAAAUGUACAAAAUGGUGAGCAAAGAGACGGCUCAAAGCAGCAACAAAACAAAAAAAGCUGUAACAAAAUAGCUGGAGAACAGAAUAGACUCAGGGCAAAUAAAGAUGAAACAUGAAUUCAAAAAGUGACGAGAGAGGGCAGAAAAAUGCUGGUAGGAUCUCAAGCAUCAGUCUGCGAUCAAGCAGCAGUGACAUACAGUGCAUAACAGAGCAGUAUUACUACAUAGCACACGGGCAAAGGAGGAGAUUAAAGAGACGAGGAGAAAUUGCUGUAGGUAAAAUUUCCUCCCCUUCUUCUCAAAGUAUAACUAUUGCCAUGAUGAAUGUAGACUUUUGAGAUACUGUUCUAGGAUUUACUAUUUGCUACAUUUGGGUGCUACAACUACUGUAACCUCAUCUUCCUACAUUGUAGUAAAAUCUCUUCUACUCUUUAUAUCUAUGGAUGUAAGUAAUUAAGUCGAACGACGUAAAUUUUUGUGUAUUUGAUUAUGUUGAAUUGUUGGCUUGCUAGUUAACAUCAAAUUUGGUUUUCUUUAGUAUUUUAUAGUUUUUACUUGGUUAUUUGUCAAAGGUAUAACUAUUAGGUAGAACCUAUUUUCAUAUUUUAGCUAACAAAUAUUCUAAAAAAAACUUAUCAAAUUUACCAUAUUAAAUAAUAUUUUCAAUCAAUAUGUUGAAAAUCUUAUAUUGAAAUAGUAUCUUGACAAGUAUUUUUAAGACAAUAGUUAAUAAAAUAUAUUUUAUACUUAUUUAUUUGGAAGAUACAACUCUAAUUGUUAGUAUUUCAACCCUGACUCACUGCAAAAUUUUGGCACUUUCACUCAAUGUUUUCCAGUCGCUAGAUUUGCAAGUCUAAGAUUAAUUAUGAACACACACCUUUGCAUUUUGCAUUGCACAUUCCUACCAAAAUUAUGAAGUACCAUAAUUUGAGGGUUUUGUUAGACUGGAUACCCAAUCUCAUCACUUCCCUCAUAGGUCUUCACAUUUGCGAGUGCCUUGAAUUACCGGACUUGCAAGAAGGGAUGCAUAGCCUUACCUCUUUAAAAUGGUUGUUGAUUUACAAUUGCACUAAACUAAGUUCUUCGGGAUUGGGUUAUGUCACUUCUAAUUCAUGUGCGCCAUGAUUUGCAUUCCUUGCAACUAAUGCAAUGGAUGGACAUCAUACCUAGUUUCACUUCUCUCAAAACACUUAAGAUUUGUAAGUGCCCUGAAUUACAAGACUUGCAAGGGAUGGAUCAUCUUACCUCUUUACAAGUAUUGUCAAUCAAUGAAUGUCCCCAAUUGUUGGAAAUAUGUCAAAAGCAGACCCGAAUCCUUUGGCCUCACAUCGCUCACAUCCCAUCUAUUAUAAUUGACGGGCAAUAGGGUCAAUGGUGAUCAUACAAUGUAGGUAACUAUAUUUUUCUUCACCUCUAUUAUAUUUUCUCCCUUUACCUGAUAAUUCUUUUUUUUUCUUUUUUUCCUGAAUUUGGGUUUGGACUAAUAAUAUUGAUAUUUUUUUCUUUUCAUACUUUGAAUUUUUAAAUAUUAAUAAAUAUUUAAACUGCCAGCAUAACUUGAUGUCAAGGCUCUGCCAGUAUUUAACAGCAAUUGGGAACUCUUUCCUUGUUUCAAUCUCACAUUCUUCAUUUAUAAUCUUAAGUCUUAAGCAUUUUGGAUCUUACUAGCUCUAUAUGGAACCCUUAUACAGAUAGCAUACUUAUAGUAGUCAAAGCAUUAAAUUCUAUACUCUUAUACAGACAAUAUUUUUAGAAAAAAAAUACAGUAGUAUAAAUGUAGCUAAGUAAUCAAAUUAUUCUGUUUCUCACCUUUCGAUAUCAAUUCCUAACAAUCUUUUAGAUGUUUCCUCUCACCUUUUUCAGUACUGUUAAUCUGUGUCUGGAGGAGAUUGAUGCAACUCAGAUAUUCUUAAUAGUUAAACUUCUUCUAUUUAACAUAUGCAAAAAAUGGAGUUCAUGAACAAAUUAUUGUAAGUAGUUUCACUUCCCCCGUUUUUAUAUGUUUGUGUUUUUCAUUGAAAAUUACCGUUUUUAUAACUUUGGAUGUUCUUGCCAUACCCUUUCAGAAGCAAAACCAGAAUUAAAUGGACAAGGAUCAUGAGACAAAUUACUUCUAUCACAGAGAUUCGAAGUAACUGAAACACUGGUGAAAUGAACUGAGAUGUGAGAGUGAGAAUCGUUCUUCUUUUUACAGAUUUAUAUAUAUAUCUUCUUUUUUGUCUAUCUUCUCUUCAAGGAAAUGACUAAUAUUAUAACCUCUUCCUUUCAUCAAGCAGACGGAAUGAAGUAUUAACCAAUAUUGUUUUUUCCCAAGUAUCCCUGAGGAUUUGCAACUACAAGUUUGUUGGGAAACCCCUUUGCUUCUUUCAAAAUCAAUAAUGCUUCCAUGUUGGCCAUUCUUGGAGGUCUGUGUGCAUUGGCUUCAAUCCUAGUCUUUAGACUUUCACUACAAUAACGCAAACUGCUAAGGGGACCUAAAAACAAAGGUUCUUUCAUAGUGUACAUGGGGAAUACCUUUGGGAUACUGUUCCGAGAUUUCCUUUGGCUACAUUUGGGUGCUGCAACUACUGCAACCUCAUCUUCCCACAUGGUAAUAAAAUCCUUCUACUCUUAUGUCCAUGGAUGUAGGCAAUUAAGCUGAACCACGUAAAUUCUUGUGAGUUUUAUUAUGCUGGAUUAAUUGUUUGCUUGCUUUUUGUCAUCAAAUUUAAUUUGCUUUGGUAUUUAUAUUUUUCAGUAGGUUGUUUGUCAAAGGUAUAGUAUAACCCAUUUUCAUAUUCCAGCUAACAAAGUAGUCUAAAAUAAUUUAUCAAACUUUUUUUUUUGCAGCAAUUUUAUCAAACUUAUCUUAUUAAGUAAUAUGUUCAAUCAAUAUAUCGAAAAUCUUAUAUUAAAAUAAUAUCUUAACAAGUGUUCUUAAGACACUCGAUAAUAAAAUAUUUCAUUUGGAAGAUGAAACUCUAAUUGUUAGUAUUUCAACCUUGACUCAAUCCAAACCUUGGGCACUUUCACUCAUUGUCUUCCACUAGCUAGAUUUCACUCAUUGAAUUUUUGUAUUAUUACUUUUAUUGCUAUUCAAUUCAUGUAAGCAAGCUUUCAACUGUAUUUUGGACUAGAAGGAGACAUGAAGUAUAAAGGCCUACUUUUUCUCAAGAAGCUUCUCUAACAACUCCGGUAUCACUUCAAAAAUAUCUCCCUCAAUAAAUUGAACCAUCAAGAUGAAGCAAAAUAUAAUUGUACAUGUUCCUUUUGCAUUAAGACUUAUUUUGUAUUGAAUUCUCAGUUUUUGUUUUUUUUUUCCCUUGGAUUCUAAGUUUUCAAACAGUGCAGAAAGUGCCAUGCAUGAAGAUUAUUAGAAAGAAAAAUCAAACAAUGCCUCCAAGUGUAGAUUGUAAAGCUAGAAUCUUUCAGACUUAAAACCUACACUUGCCUUGAGUUCCCUGGUCUGUGUUUGAACCCACAGAAGAAGCUGCAGAGUUUCAUGUCUUCCAUUUUUUGCUGAAAGCAUAUGGCUGAGAAUAUAAUGUUCAAAGAAAUUAAAUUCACAUUGGUCUAUUUGUUUCCUAGCAGGCUCCUUUAGAUAAGAUCUCUUUGGUGGUCAAUAAAGUAUAGCAGGAUGAAAGUUAUUGGAAAAGAGUUAAUAUGAAAACAAGAAUCUAAUCAGUCAUAAAAUUAAUAAAAACUCUGUUCCUAAAAUUAAAAAUCAAAAUUUGGGGAAUACUACUAGAAUUCCAUUUUCCACUAGUUUUUAUUUGAGUUCAACAAUAUAAAUAUAUUUUCUCUGCUUUGUUAAUUAACUACUUUUCCUUACUUUUGUUUGAUCUCUUAAAUUACUUUUGUUUGAUCCUUGUUAGCUACUUUUCCUUUCCUUAAAUUGAGAUAAGCUUCAAUAAAACAUAUUAUAUUCUCCAUAUAUAAUUUUUUUAUAUGCUCAAUUUGUAUUAACAUUUAUGAAUUUGACUUCUUAUUUGUUAAGAUGGCAAAUAAAAUUAAUUAAUUUGUACUUUACUUCUUUCUCAAGUUGGGAGUCAUAAAGAAGUUUUUCAGGUUCACAGUGAGUAUUCUUUCUCAAGUAUAAAGAAAUUCCACCUGGAGGAUUUAUCUAAAGUGCGGAUUAUAUGGAAGGAUGUCACCCAAGUUGUAACUCUUGAAAACUUUACAAUUCCGAAAGUGAUAGAUUGCAUGAGGUUAAUUCAUACAUUUUCACUUAUGACUGCUCGAAGUUUAUCAUAGUUGGUCUCGCUAAUUAUAAAAAAAAUGUGAUGCAUUGGACCAAAUCAUUACUGAGGAUCAACUUUGUUCAUCAUCAAAUGGUGAUCUCCAACCUAUAAGGUUUCCUAAUUUGACCAGAAUUUUAGUUUAAUAUUGCAAAGAGUUGAAAGUCUCUUUCUUCUUGGAUCUGCUUAUUGUCUUCCAAAACAUGAAUAUUUAACAGAUGAAGGGAACUCUAAAUUGGAGCAAGUAUUUGAACUAGAAGAUGAAGCAAAAGCGAUAGCUGAAAAGGAGAUAAAGUUUGAUCAAUUAAAAUGGUUAUCACUUGAAGAACUGUCAGGCCUCAUUGACUUAUGCCCAAGGGGAUAUCGCUUUGUAUAAUCGGCUUUGUGGUCUUUAACAGCAAAAGAAUGUCCCAAGAUGACUACAGGUUUCUUCAUUGAUUCAAAGAGAUAUGUGCACGCCAAAACAGAGGUGUACACCCUGAAAACUUUAAUCCUAUCUAUUUUUUUAUUUGGUAUUUAUUAUUGAUUAGUGAAUUAAGUACAAGCUUUUAUUUGGUAUGUGUAAAGGCAAUUCGAGUCUUUAAUGAUAUUAUAGGCAUAAUCUUCAAAAUCUUUACUUAAAUUAAUUAAAUGAUUGAGUAGUACACUGCAAUCAAAAAGUUGGUCUAGAAUAUCACUUUUAGUGAAUGAUUCCAUCACCUUUUAUGAAUUUUUGACCUAAAAUUGCUUAUAAAUUGUAAUAUGCCUUUUUCUUCUUUUGUCCUCAUAACAUGAGACAUCAAUGCUUUUGUUUUACAUUUCACUGCUUCAAUUUUUUCAAAAGACACUGCAAUUGGUUGAGCAAGUUGUCACUAAGGGUCUACCACUGCUCAGAAUGUAGUUCACACUAAGUCCAAUAUUUACUUAAAGAAAAAACAGGAGGUUUGAUAUAUGUGCUCUUCCCUGGUGAAGGUGUUUGCUUAAUGAGUUGUCAAGCGAAGGGAUCCCAUGCUUUGAAUAAUUUACCCAAUCAAUGUUAUGUUGCUGCUCUCUGUGUUUACAAUAAGUAGAAGAACAAGAGUGAAAUUCCUCUGUUUUUUAUCCUUAUGUUUGUAUUUUAAAAUAUUUAGUGAGUAAGUUGUGCAAGUAUGUUAUGCAGCAAUCAAUACAUGGGAUAUUAAACCUUAAUUUCCAUGUACAAACCAGGCAGAUUUUUAUUUUGUAAAGGUUCCAAGUGAUUUAUCGAAAUAUUGAGAGUUUGAUUUAUUGAAAUAUUGAGGUAUAAUUAUUUUUUUUAAAUAAUAACAGUCUACCAUUUGACUCAAUAAUGGUUGCCUGUUUUUCCCUAGCCUCAUAACAAGAAAAUAUAAAAAAAACUGAUAAUAGAUUUACUUUAUGGCACUUGUGGAUAAGGUGGACGAAACAGAGGAUAAUGUUGUUACAUAAUUACUGAACAAAUGAGGAUAAUGUGAAAUUUAACAGCUGGUUUGUUUGAGUGAAAUUGAACUAGUCUAAGAAAACAUGGUUUUUCUGUGUGUUAAGUUGAUUUGCAGUUAGUUGGGGUUGGGAUUAUUGAAAGAAUCAAUUUAGUGUUGGUUACUGGUUACGGAUAUAAAAUGAAAGUAUUCUCAUUUCUGAAAUUUGCUAGCUACUGCUGCUGCUACAUGUUAGCAACAUACAAGUAUUCUCAUUUCUUUCCUUCAUCUUUCAUCUACUUUAAUUGUUCUUGGGUGGUUCAUUCUCAUUACUACUCCAAGGCCAUCACCUCAAAGACUAUGUGAUAAAAGUUGGAAGGAGCAUCAACUAUAAUAAUGGUAAAAGGCUUUGGCCCCUGUUUUUAAUGAUAUUUUCUUUUGGUUUUUAAUUAUUUGAUUUCCAUCAAGUUGGCUAACAAUCAAUUAAUUAACCAAGUAAAUGCCUUCGUUAUAUUUUACUCAUGUAUAUGGCUGAGAUUAGGCUACUACUUCGUAGACAAAGUGUCAAAUGAAAUCAAAUUUAAUAUAAAAGGAGAUUGCAUUUCCAUAGACAAAAAGUGAACCAUGACUUAGGCCAGGAAUUGUACUGCUAGCUGCUUUGUCCCUUGCAUACUUUCUUUCAAGCGAGCUGCUGAUUUUUCAUAAGGAAAAAAGAGUAACUACUUGAAGAAAGGAAGGUUUAUUAAGGGGAUAAUGAUGUUCUUCAUCUGCUGAGCUUUUGUUUCAUACGGAAGUUGUCGAAUUAAAGAAAGGGCCAACAUAUAACUUUACUUGUGAAUUUCUUAUGAUAACAAUGUUUUGGACGAGUCAAAUAUAUACAAAAAGAAUUAGCCCCAUUAGUUCAAGGUUUACGAUAAGUGCUUCUUUUUCUUGAAAAAGAAAAAAGAUUACUGAUCUCAUUGGUUCAACGUUUUACAAAACCAUAUAGAGAUUUCCAGUGUUUCUCAUACUCUUUUUCACAUCUCUACAAUUCUGUGAAACUUUUACAAAAAUUUCGGAUUUCAAAAAAAUUAUCUCUUACAUAAGAUCAUAUAAAGAUUGCAUCUCUAUCUUAAUUUUAAAAGUUAAGACCCAUUCCAUAUCUAUAAAACCAUAUUACUUUGUCACUAUGAAUUCCAACCCAUUAAAAACUCUUAAUCAUUAAGUAUAUUUGCCCAUUAAAUAAACUUAAUCAUCAAAUAAUUUUUGACUAAUGAAAUUUUACUGAUUGCAAAUUAAAAUUUGAAUAAAAUAUCUAACACAUUCACAUGCAAUUGUCCCUAGCAGUAAACAAAAAUCCUCAAAUCUGUAAACAUUAUAUAAUAAUGUUGAUAGCACAUGCUGGUCAAAGAGCUUUUAGCUCGAGGGAGCAAUAAACAUUGGAGUCUCGAGCACCACCCACAACCAAGGAAGGAAAAAACAAGGGGGACAGACCAACUAUUGAAAAGCCAACUGAAAAACAAUAAACAAAACAAAUUAGCUUUCUCAAUGUAUAGCAUUAGCUUUCGCAUAUCAAAGAAAAGAGAAUCUUACAUGGAUAGUGUGAGUCAAGUUGCUAAUAUUGUUCCAUUGUUCGUAAUAUGAAUAUUAGUGUUCCAAAUUUCCUACACCUACUCUUACUACUUUGUCUUCAUAGAGUUUCUGAAGGGAUCUCUUGCUGUCAAUAGUUUAGCCAACUAAUGUUAUGUUGCUUUCUAUUGCACUUUUAUUGUACAAUAAUUAAAAGAACAAGAGUGAAAUUCCUCUGUACCUUAAUUUUUAAUUUUGUAUUUUAAAUCCUCAGUGAAUAAGUUGUGCAAAUGUGUUAUGCUGGAAUAAAGAUAUGGAAAAUUAAACUUUAAUGUACAAACCACACAAAUUUUUAUUUUAUGAAGGUUCCCAACUAUUUAUUGAAAUAUUGAGAGUUUGAUUGCUACUCCAACUAUAAGAUCUAUAAACUUAACAAUAGCAUCAUUUUCUUUCCAUGCACAUUUGAUUUGCAAGCAUUACCAAACAAGCUUCCCAAGCAUGCAUGAAUGACAUCGAUCUUCUUAGAAUCUCUCAUUCGAUAAACAAAAUACUAUAAUCUGAACUGAAACUUUCUUUUUUAUUCUCUUUCGUUGAUCAAGCUGAAGCGAAUUUGAAUAGCACAUUCUUUUUUAUAUCGACCCUUUAAAUAAACUUAACCAUCUAAUAAUUUUUAACCAAUAAAAUUUUAGCAAUGUUCAGUUAAAAUUUGGAUAAAAUAACUAUCACAUUCACAUGCAAUUGUCCCUAGUAAACAAAUAUCCUCAUAUCUAUAAAAAUUAUAUGCAAUGUUGAUAGCACAUGCUGGCCACAGUGCUUUUAGAGGGAGCAUUUAACUUUUGUCUCAAGCACCACCCACAUCCAAGGAAGAAAACCGUAAAUAAAACAAACUUUCUCAACGUAUAGCAUUGGCUUUCGCAUUUUAGCUGGAUUAUCAAAGAAAAGAGACUCUUAAAUGGGAACUGUGAGCCAAGUUACCACUAUUUUUCCAUUGAUCCUAAUUUGAAUAUUAGUGUUCCAAAUUUCCUGUACCUACUCUUACUACAUUGUCGUCAUAGAGUUUCUGAAGGGAUCUCAUGCUUCCAAUAGUUUAGCCAAUUAAUGUUAUGUUGCUCUACCCCAACCGAAUUUGCUUAUGUUAUGGGAGUCUAUUGCGAUCUAAGCAAGAGACUCCAACUGACAUUAUGAUUGUGAGGUUAAUAAAUUUUCUUUUCAAAAAAAAAAAUUAUGUUACUCUCUAUUACAAGUAAUGCUUAAUUGCAAAAGAAUCAUAAUUAAAUGAGGAUCCAGUGUUUAUUCUUAAGAACAUUUACAAAAUAAUAAUAGUAAUUUUUACUAACAAAGAGAGUCAAAUGUUUUCUUAUAAACCAAUCAAGUAGAUGAUAAAUAAAUGCUGAAAAUAAUUGAAAAAAUGACAAAAAGAAAGGGAUCAAUAAUUCAAAAGUGCAUCAAUGAUUCCAUGUCCCAUUUGCAUAGAGUACAAAGAAAAAAUUAAAGGUGUGAAUUUAAUUACCUUUCGAAUAAUGGUAAUUUUUUUUAGGGAAAAUUUGUACUUAUUAUGUUUAAGAUAUCAAACAUGAAGCCAAUUUUACAUUAGUUAAAAUUUCCUUUAGUAAAAUAUUUUCAUCUUUUUUUUUUCUUUGAGAGAGAAUUAGUUGAUAAUGAUUCUUCAAUGACAUUAAACUCUUCACUAAUGGAGACAGCAAUAUUGUAUUCAAUUCAAACAUGAAUCAGAAAACUUUGGAAAAGCUCGGAGAAUUUCCCUUUUACUUUACUAAAGUUGGUUUCCACAUUAAACUUAAUUCUUUGAAGGCAAGAACCAAGAAAAGUCCUACUUCCACAUUGAUGUUUCUUUGUUAACUUUAAAAAGGAGACAUUUUUUUGUCAUCACAAGGAAAAAACAAAUGACGGCACUUUCUCCAACAUUUUUUAGCUUAGUUUUUCCAAUGCUGGUGUUUUUUUAAUUGAAAUUUCUCCUUGAGAAUACCAAGUCCUUGCUGCAACUUUUCUCGAAAAAGAAAAUAAAAUGAUUCCAUGUCCAGUAGCAAAAGCUUUACUUGGGGUUUCGGAUUAUUGAAAGAAGCAAUUUAGUGUUGGUCGCUGGUUUGAUGAGAUGGAAUAUUGCAUUACAAAAGGAAAACAAACUGUCUGAUUAAACAACAGGAAAGUGCUGCCUAGAUUUGAUAGAAUUUAGAAUCAAAAGUAGUGGAAAACAAGAGGCAUUUCAGGUCAAGGGUCUUCCAUUUUUCAACUAAAACCCAAGAACGUAGGAAGAAUAUAUUUGACUUAUUUGAGUCCUAAAAGGGUCUUGCUCAAAUUUAAGUUAAUUUGGAGAAGUUUUUGAAGUUAAGUAAUAAUUGGAUGGAAACAACUUAAAGCGGUCACUCAAUGUGAAUAAAGCUUAUUUAAAAUUAAUGAAGAAAUCAACUACGAAGGAAAUCACUACAUCGAGUUGACUAACAAUCAAUUCACCAAGUAAAUGGCCUUGUUUUAUUUCACUUAUCAUGCAUAUGGGUGAGAUUAGGCUACUACUUGUUAAAGAAAGUGUUGAAUGAAAUCAAUUGAUUAUUAAUCUAUUUAUUCGUAAAAAGAUAAUGCAUUUCCAUAGACAAAAAGCGAACCAUGCUUCACGCCUGGAAGGAAAAAGAGUAAGUAAUUGACGAAAUGAGGAUAAAACAUAGAAAAGCUUCACUGUCCCACAUCUAGAAAACCUUCUCUUAUUACUUUCUCGUCAUAGAGUUUUCAUUUGAGCAUCUUCUUCUAUCAUCUCCACAUCUACGAGCUACACUGUCCCAAGAAUUUGUAUGAUUUCUGCAUUCUCUUCUUUUAACUCGACAAAACCUAUUCUUCCACUUUAUUUUCCUUCACUUUCCCACUUUUCUUUCAACUCAAAGAACAAAAGUAUCUCUGUAGUGUGUUGUUUAACUCUGCAAAAAAAAAAAAAAAACAAAACAAAACAGUUGAUCUCUUGAAUUACUUUUGCUUGAUCCUUGUUAGCUACUUUUCCUUUUCUUAAUUUUGGUUUCCCAAUCUCCGGAGUUGGUGAAGUAAUUCCAUUACAAUUGAGGUAAGCUUCUGUUAAACAUAUUAUAUUCUCCAUAUUUAAUUUUUUUAUGGGCUCAAUUUCUCUUAUCAUUCAUGAAUUUGACUUCUUAUUUUUGUAGUUUGCAAGUAAAAUUAAGUAAUUUGUACUUUUCUUCUUUACUUCAUAAUCCUAUGAUAUUUAGUAAUAUACUUUGUGCAGCAUUUUAGCAUGAAAUAGUUUUAAUAUUAUGACUUUAAAAUAUGGAAAAUAUAUCAAUAAACCUAUGCUGAAAUUUCAUUCUAAAUUUUUUACUUUAUUAUAAAUUUUCAUAUUUUUUCCAUUUUUUACCGACGUUUAUGGAUAUUUUGGAAAAUAUUUUAUGGAAUAAUGAUACUAUGCUUUUACUUUAAUAUGAAAAUAUAUUUUUAAUUGAUAUACACAUGACCAGUGACAAGAAUUUCUACAACUGAAGCAUUUUUAAUUUCCAAGUUGGUCCGUAAACAAUUGGUUCCCUUGUGAUCCACAUUUUCAUAAAGGUAAGGUACUUUGCAAACAUUUGGUAAUUGUUUUUGUCUCUCUGUAAAACUUUUUACUCAUUAAAAUUAAAACUAGGUAGAUUUUUAUUUUGUGAAAGUGCCAAGUGAUCAUUAAAACAUUUGUCAAUUUAAACAUACCCAAUUAUGAUUAAUGGUGUUCAAUCAGUUUGAUUAAAGUUUUAGUUCAAUAAGUUAUGGAUAUAUUUAGAUUCAAUUUAGCUUAUUGAUGGAUAAGUGAGGGUAACAGAACAUUUAACCCAGUUAAUUUUUUUAUUUAUUAAUUUAGAUCACAUCUUUUAAUUUAUUUUGAUCCAAUUAGAUUCUCCUUUUGAUCUACUUGUCUCUAUCUUUGGGUCUUAAUAAUUUACACAAUUGAAUUUUCAUUUUUUUUUAUGGUUGCAAUUGCACCUUUUAUUUUUUGGUAAAAAAGGGAUAGUGCGAACCGUGACUUCAGGUGUCUUGGGCAUAACCUCAAGCCACCCCUAUAUUCCCACUUGAAAGACAGAGGAAAAAACAAAGCUUAGAAAUGGAAGAAUCAUUUCCCAUGACCGGUGGAGAUGGCCCCAACAGUUAUGCAAAGAAUUCCAAACGUCAGGUACUUCUUUAGUUACCCUGUAUAUCCUUAUUUGUUGUAAAUCCUUACUUGGCCACCUCUUAUAAGUUUUACAAACUUUUCAUUUGAUCCUUAACUACUUUAUUUAUUUUUAUAUAUAUAAAUUUUUUGAGCACAUUUCUAAUUACCCAUUACAUAAGUAUACACUACGAAAAAUUCAAUAAGCUAUUUUUAUUAGUUUUAAUUUUGGAAAUGGUGGAAAUGAAAUCUUAAUUUCUUUUGGUUUUUGGCAUGAUUGUUCUUUACUUUGGCUAUCUAGAACAAAAUUAAAUAUUAUAAAACACUAAUUUCUAUGCAAAUAAGUUUUAAUUCAAUUUAUUUAUUUUAAAAAUAUAAGCAUAAAAGUGAAAUAAAGAUAAUAAAUUUUAAUAUAAACUAUACCAAAAUAUUUUUUUAUUUAAUAAAAAAUUUAAAAAUUUUAGUAUAAAAUAUAAAUUUUCUUUUUUAAAUUCCGUGAAAGUGAAAUAGAAAUAAUAAAAAUUGGACAAAAAGAGUAUUAUCAUCAGUUUUGAAACUUGUAUUCUUUUAAAUAUGUAUAUCUGUGUUCAAUGAAUGUUCUCUUUAAUUCAAAUUAGUAAAUGACAAACAAAGAGAAUUAUAAUUGUCUGAAAUUGUACAAGAGACAAUCUUAUUUUCUUUAGCUCCUCAGGUUUGGAGUCGAUUACAUUGUUUUUAGUCUGUUGAUUACCUCAAAAUUUUGGGAGUGUCAAUCCUCAUUGGUUAGCAACAGUGUUGAAAGAAUUAGACCAGAUUGACCAAUCAGACUGGUUGAACCAGUAGUUUACCUGGUCUGAUUAGAGGGCUCAAACUGCUAAAACUUCAGUUUCUAUCUUCAAAAGUUCUUGUCUUACCUUGAUUGUUAAUUAAAAACUCUAAUCAUUUAGUAACAUGUCAUUUUUUUUUUCAUAUUUAACAUACAUUUAAUGUUAAAAUUCUAUUUUUUUUUUUUAAAAAAAAAAAGUUGUANUUUCAUUUAUUUUUUUUUUUUUUUAAAAAAAGGGGGUUGGAUUGAACUGGCUAAAUCAAUUGAAAUAAGAAUCAAUGGCACCAUUGGUGUAAUUCUCGAUCUGAGUUUUUAAACAUUGGUUAGAAAUAUUUGGCCUGUAAUUAGCAUUGUAAUUAAUAUAAUACAAAAUUAUAGUACCGAAUUGUUGAUUUUAAUUUGUGGGAAUUAGAAAACAUGUAUGAUGUGACUUUUUCUUUAUUGUGCAACUCCUUUGAUAUACAUUAUUAUAAGAUAAUCUCUUCUCAUAUCUAGUAAAUCUCCUCUUAAUUUGUAAUAUCUGAUUUCAAAAUUUUUAAGUUGAAAUUUUUUUUAUUAAAAUGUCUUUCGAGAGGCUAAACAUGUAAUAUGAUAUUGUCAAAAUGGAUUAUUUUGGGAACCUAGCUAACUCCUUUCAAUUUUUUUUUCUUUUCAUAUUCUUCUUAAAUUUAGAAAGGAGCAGCAGAUAAGGCGAAAUCAGUAUUAGUUGAAGCAAUUAUUGAAAAGCUUGAAGUAGAAGAUACACCUUCCAUUGCAAGCACAUUUCGAAUUGCCGAUUUAGGCUGUUCAACGGGACCUAACACAUUCUUUUCCGUGAAUACAAUUAUAGAAGCCGUAACCCACAAGUACAAAACCAAAGGGCAUACUAGCCUGCCUGACUUCCAAGUACACUUCAAUGAUCAUGUUUCCAAUGAUUUCAACAUGCUUUUUAACAGUCUUCCUCCAGGCCGUCAGUACUUUGUAUCGGGAGUUCCAGGUUCCUUUCAUAGCAGAUUGUUUCCAAAAGCAAGUCUCCAUUUUGUCUACUCUGCCUAUGCUCUUCAAUGGCUUUCAAGGGUACCGCAGGAGUUAAGUGACAUUAAUUCACCUGCAUAUAAUCGUGGGAGGAUAUUUUAUUCAAAUGCACCAAACGAAGUUGGCAAGGCUUAUACAGCUCAGUAUGUAAUGGACAUGGAGCGUUUCUUAGCUGCUCGAGCAAAAGAGAUAGUCCCUGGAGGAUUAAUGGCCCUUCUGAUUCCAGGACGCCCAGAUGGGACACUUCCAGCAGAAUCAUCAAUCGGCCCCUUCUUCCAGCCCCUGGAAUCUUGCCUCGUGGAUAUGGCAAAUGAGGUAAUUAGUACAAGCACAAUAUUGAAACAUCAUGAAGAUAGAUCAAAUUUUCAUUCUGCAACUACACGCGAAAUGCUAUAAAGCAAUAUAUAUAUAUAUAUUAAAAGAUAAAAAGAAGUAUUUUAAUAUAUAUUAAAAGAACCAAUAAUUAAAAUAUGUACGUCCAUUAUAACAUAAUUGGUCUAAAGAGAAGUAAAAUCAUCCAUUUUGUUAUUUAUAAAAAUUAAAUAUUUUAUAUAUAAUCUUUCAAAAAUAUUAUUUGUUUUUGUUUUCCAAUGAUUUUUUUUUUAUUUUUCUUCUAGAUUACCAAAAAGUAAAUAGCAAAAACACCAACCCAACUUCUAGUACUUUCUAGAAUAGGCGAAUAUUUACACUUUUUUACAGCAUCGUUGAGUUAGAGCUAUGAAUUUUUGUCGUGCGCUAUUAAAAAUGCUUUUAACAACAUUUUUUGCAUACUUUUAUUAAUAUUUUUUUUAUAAAUUUAUGACUAUACUAUACAAGUUUCUAACAGUAUUAUUAAUAAUAAAUAUAGUUAUAGACAUCGUAUAAACUAGUAGACGGUACAUUUUUAUUAUUAUUGUUGAAAAUAAGAAAAAUAAAGUAAAAAAUUUAUAUAAUUACACUUUUUAAAUUUUUGUUAUGUAAAAAAGAUAUGUUAGUUCAGAGGAAUGUAAUUAAAGUAUAAAUUUAUUGUAGUAACUCAAGCAAUGGUUGUCCUAUGCAGGGAAUAAUUAAUAAAGCUAAAAUCGAUUCAUUCAACUUGCCUAUGUACAGCCCAUCCCCUGAAGAGCUAAGACAACUCAUACAGAAAAAUGGGAGUUUUAGCAUAGCGAGAUUGGAAAGCAACACAGAUGCGGGGAGCAAACGGUUGUGUGGAGCAGGUGAGUGUAGAUCUGGGUUAGAGAACAUCAUCGCAGGACACUUUGGGAGUAAUAUAGUAGAAGAAUUAUUUGAGCGAUACGCCAAGAAAAUUGCAGGAUGCCCUCCCCUUGACACUGGUGACACAAGUGGAAUUGGAUUAUGCAUCAUCCUCAAACGCAACCACUGAUGAGAAAUCUGCUCUCUGCUUGCUUCAUCUAUUUCACUUCUAUGCACGAUUGAUUUAAUUCAAGCUGCUCCUUUGGGCCAUAUUCAUACAUCCUUUGCCUUGUUUUUUUUUUUUUCUCGUUUCUGGUUUUUCUUUUGUUGCAACUUUGCUAAGACAAGCACACAAUAUUAGAGAUGUACUGUACUUCUGUGAUUUAUAAUAUAGGCUUCUUUUUCUUAUACUUUUCUGCAAUUUACUUGUUAUUCAUUUGCUAUUUACUUUUUUAACAAAUAAUUAGAUUAAUAGUCAUAUAAAUAUGGGUAAAGAAUUUUUUUUUAACAUAUGAUCUUUAGCUUAUAUAAUGAGAGAUAAUUCUCUCCCGUAUAACUUAUUGCUCUAACUGCUUUAUUCUCAGGUUUCAUUUCAUGUUCUUAAUUUUUAAGAUAUCUCGAACCACAUAGAGAGCUAUAAGUGUUACAUCUUAGGUUUAUCUUUCAAGCACAUUUUCAGAGAGGUUAAUUUUAUUGCAAAUGAAUUUGCAAAAGUAGGAAUUUUCUGAAUUUAUCAGAAUUAUUAAUUUGUUUCCAAUUUAAGUUUAAGUUAUAUCUGUAAGAUUUAAGCAAUAAUACCACUGUUCCUAGACAAAUGAAACAUAUCUGAAGCCACAUGGAGAGCUAUAAUUGCUACAUCUCAAGUCUAUCUUUCAAGCACAUUCUUAGAGAGAUUAAUUUUCUUGCAAUUGGAUUUACAUAAGUAGAAAUUUCUUGAAUUAGAAAUUUCUACGAUAUUUUAUAACUGAUAGAUUAUCGCAUUUUUUUUCGUGUUUUCUCUUGUUUCAGUUUGUACAACUUUAACUCUCCAUCCUAUAUAUUUCCAAUAUAAUUAUCUUACUUACCUUUAAAAAAAAUUGUUAUUUUGACAUUCCGGCCACUCAUCUUUUAUGUUUUAAGCAUCAUUACAAUUUCAAAAGAAUCUUUGGUCAUAGACAUACUCUCAAGGCCAAAAUCAACUAAGUCAAUCUACCUAGAGUGCCCCUCAAUUUGGGUAUAUCCUACGAGCCUUCUAGCUUUUAACUGUAGAGGGCACUGUUGUCGCACUUUGCUAGCAUGUCUGGUAGAAUUAGUGUGGUAAAUGCCAGAAAUUUCAGGUAUGAAAGAUGAAGAAAAACGGCUCAAGGGUUAAAGGAAUUUGUCUGGUCAUAUUUGUAUUGAUAGUCAGAGUAUUACAAGGCAAUAUAUAUAUAUAUAUGUGUGUACAGGUAUUGAAUUGAUUGUGGAAAAGCAUAAAGUUAGUCUCUAACUAACUAAUAAUUACAAUCUAACUAAUUUUUAAAAAACUUAAAUCAAACUACUGCGUUUUGAACUCUCCUGGCCUUUUAUUGAGACGGGGAGUUUUGGUCCUCUAUUUCUACCUUCUUUUUCCCAGUCAAGGACUUCAGUCUUCUUCUUCAUUUCUUGUCUGUGUUUCUAUCUCUUGGGAAAGCUUAUUUCACACUGCUGAUUCAAUCAAUGUUUGAUACUCCCCCUCAAGAUGAACUGUCUAUGUUAUGAACAUUCAUCUUGCUCAUCAAGAAGUGGAAUUGUCUCCGUUGGGGUGCCUUGGUGAAGAUGUCAGAUAGUUGUGACUGUGUUGAGAUGUAUAGGGGAUUAAUUAAUCCUGUCAUUACCUGUCAUUACCUUUUUUUGUAACAUUUUUAUGGUUUGCUUAUGUGAUUGGAUCUUGUCUUCUACUGUCAACAGACAUAUUGAGGUUUUUUAGUCUGAUAUGAUAAUGUAGAACUCUGCUAUUAUCUUCUAAAGAGAUUUUACAUAUUGUAGUUUUAAUAUGGAUGUUUAACUCAUUGAGCAAGAUCUGGUUUUAUCAAAUUAUUUUGUGAGUUGAAAUUAUGGAUUAGAAGCACAUAAUGCUGUCAGUUUGUUUACAGAACUUGGUUUCUGUUUGAUAAACUAAAAUUUUAAUGGUGAAAAAUUAUGUAAUAUUCAAUUACUUUACUUUUCUUUAUACUCUAUUCUGCGUAAUUGUACACUAAUUUCUAAUUAGGCUUCAACUACUUAAAUGCUUGAUAUUUGAAUUGUUGAUCUAUCUUGCUCCUUGCAUGGUAUAAAUCUUAAUAGGAUCAGAUGAUGAUAGCAUGCUGCUUUAUGUUAGUAAAGUUUAUAUUGCCAUGUUAGAAUCUUGCUUAAUUUGCCGAGCAUAUAAUUUACACUUUAAAACCAGUUAUAUUUUAUUGUUUAUUUUUGCCUGAACCUGCAGAUGUUCAGUUCCUACCAAUAUCUGGUCUUGUUGGUACUAACAUGAAAACAAGAGUAGAUAAGAGUACAUGUCCUUGGUGGAAUGGUCCCUGCCCAUUUGAAGCCCUCGAUUCUGCUGAAGUUCCUCUCAGAGAUCCAAAAGGUCCAUUUAGGUAGUAGUCCGGAGCCUAUCUUACAUAACAGGAUUCACUGCCCACACAACUUUUAUGUUUGAUUCUAGUUCCUGCCAUGUACUAGUAGCGUGUAAAUUUUAAUUCUUGGUCACUUAUAUGACACAUCUAAUGAUUUGUUAUUGACUCUAUAGGAUGCCUAUAAUUGACAAAUUCAAAGACAUGGGAACUGUUGUUAUGGGAAAGGUAGAAUCUGGAAGUGUGCGUGAGGGUGAUUCAUCAUUGGUUAUGCCAAACAAGGUGCUUGAUCUUCACAAUUUUUCCAUUUUAUUUAUGCGUAUAUGGUUUUUUAUUUUUAAUUUAUGGGGUCUGAGGAUUUUAUGCAUGGAUUGCGGGCUCAGGUGAAAGUUCUAGCUGUGUAUUGUGAUGAAAAUAAGGUUAGGUGUGCAGGACCUGGUGAAAGCUUACGGGUUAGAUUAUCUGGGAUUGAAGAAGAGGACAUAUUAUCGGGUUUUAUCUUGUCAAGUGUUGGUAAGUUUUUCUCAAUGGAGUUCUUCAUUAACCUUUACAAUCCUUUUUUCUAAUUCUACUUGUUUGUCUUUUAUAUUAAUAGUAAAUUGUAUUAGUUUUGCCUUAUUUUCGGGGUUUAAUGUUUGUUUUUCCUGCUUGCAGUAAAACCGAUAGCUGCUGUCACUGAAUUUACAGCCCAGCUGUAGAUCCUUGAGUUGCUUGAAAAUGUAUGCAUGAAUGUCAUUUUCAGUUAUCCUUAUUUAAUAAAAUCUAUACAUUUAAAGUAUAAUGUCCUAAUUAUUUGCUGUCUUGUUGAAUGUUGUUUAGGCUAUUUUUACAGCUGGAUAUAAGGCUGUGUUGCAUAUUCAUUCUGUUGUUGAGGAGUGCGAGAUAGUGGAGCUACUACAGCAGAUUGAUCCAAAGACAAAGAAACCCAUGAAAAAGAAAGUUCUUUUUGUGAAGAAUGGUGCUGUUGUUGUGUGUCGCAUUCAGGUUCGGACUCUUACUUUCUUUUAAAUAAACCAAAUUGGGGGUAUUGCUUUUUUGUACAGUUCAAUGCACUAAGUUAAACAUGUUUAGUAGCUCUGAGGGAGAUAUAAUUUUUUAGGGUACGAUCUGGAAAAUUGGCUGCAUUGUUGUAGGUAGUUUGAAAUCAAACUGAAUAAAUUGCUAGAUUGACCAAGGUGAGAAAGCAGUUGGAAAGCACUUGUUGGUGAGUUGUUUUAUCACAGGAGUAGAAGUGGAAAUAGUGGGAUAGCACUAUAAACUAAUGGUGAACCACUAACACCUCCUUUUUUGGGGCUCCACAUAUGGGAAAAAUUCUCUGAUAAAUCAGAAACAGGUAGCUGGAGCUAUGUUUCUGAGUUGGUUGAACUUGUACUUAUAACGUGGUUGUCUACUCUCUCCGAUGUGAGCACAUGUGCAUGCACAUUCUGUUUUCAGUGUAUGUUGUCUGUGUAGUGGAGAGGAGGCUGGAAAGGCCAAUCCGUAUGUUACAUACGUCAAUCAAUUAUUAACUGAAGUAAAAGAUGUUUCAGAAUGGAAGACAAUGGCUGAAUUAGUCUCUGUUUUUUCGGGGUUGAGAAAAUACUGUGUUCUUUUGCUUCUCAGGUGAACAACUUGAUUUGCAUUGAGAAGUUCUCAGAUUUUCCACAACUUGGGAGAUUCACUCUUCGUACUGAAGGUAAUGGAGACAGGCUCUUUUCAUUGCCAAUAAAUUAUUGUUCUUAAUGGCUGUGGGUCACAUGAAUUGUCAUGUCUGCAGGAAAAACCGUUGCAGUUGGAAAAGUCACUGAUCUUUCUUCAAGUAGUGGUGCUUAAUACAAUUUUGUUCUUAGAGGUGAGAAUUUAAACAUUGAAGGUUAUUUCUGCUCCUCUAUGUGAAGUUCCUUUUGGGAUCGCUGUUAUUCUCCUGCACCAUAUAUUUAAUGCAAGAGAUAACAAACCACCGAGAACAGUAUGAAAAGAGAAACAGAGUUUUGAGUUGAUCAUCAAUUGGUGAUCUUUCAAUUUAGUCUUCUAACAUAAAAUUGUAGUUGAAUAACAUUUGGUCCUUUUGGGGAUGGAGGGUUGGGAUUUUUCACCAAAAUAUUGCCUUAUUGUUGCAUCACGUACUUUUAUUGUUGUUGGAGAAUGGCUUUUGUUAUCGCUAUGCUAGUUGGUAGCACCUUUGAAGAGUUGGGGGGAUUUUGUUGUGGAAGCAUUACGCGGUUGAAAGUAGUUUACUCACAGUAUACCAUGCCAUCCGAUUCCUUUUCUCUUUUUUUUUUUUCUCUGCUAUGGUAAUAGAGGUUAAGCAGGAAAUGGGACUAGACUUUGUUUUAGGUAAUAGAGAGAGGCUGGACGCGGUUGCAGCAGAUAUUUCUAAGUUUAACUUGAGUCUGAGAGUUGUAGAAGAUAAGAAAGUUAAUUGUACUAACAGGCAGACUGCCUCGAAGGUGAGAUCGGAAAUAAUAGGGAGAGAGAAAGAUAUAAAUGACAUUAUAAAAUCAUUGUUGCACGAUCAAAAUGAUAAUCAUGGUGACAGCAUCUCCCUUGUUGCCAUUGUUGGAUUCGGAGGAUACUUGUACAGAAAUUUUUUUACUUUUAAAAAUACAACAGUAUAAAUGUACCCAAGUUAUCAAAUUUUUCUGAUUUUUCACCUUGUUAUAUCAAUUCCCAACAAUCUUUUAGAUGUUUCCUCUCUACUUUUUCAGUGAUGCUAAUGUGUGCUUGGAGGAGAUUCAUGCGACUAAGAUAUUCUCAAUAGUUAAAUUUCUUCUAUUACCAUAUGCAAAAAAUGGAGUUCAUGAACAAAUUAUUGUAAGUAGCUUCGCGUCCCCCGUUUUUAUAGGUUGAUGAAUACAAUAUCAUCUCUUAUACAAUGGGACAACUUUGGACGUUCUUGUCAUACCCUUUCAGAUGCAAAACCAGAAUUAAAUGGACAAGGAUCAUGAGCUAGAUUGCUUCUAUUACAGAGAUUCUAAGUAACUGAAACACUGGUGAAAUGAGCUGAGAUGUGAGAGUGAGAAUGCUUCUUCUUUUUACAGAUUAAUAUAUAUCUUCUUUUUUCUAUCUUCUCUUCAAGGAAAUGACUAAUAUUACAACCUCUUCCUUUCAACAAGCAGAUGGAAUGAAGUAUUAACCUUAUAAUAUUGUUUUUUCCCGAGUAUCCCUGAGGAUUUGCAACUACAAGUUUGUUAAAGGGCCUAUCUCCACAAGACUCUUGAGCUAGAAGCUAGUAAUAAUAGAAAAUAAUGUGAAAGUCUGCUUGUACAUUUCCUGCUUUUGUGAAGAAGAGAUAUUGUUACAGGUAAUGUUUCCUCCUUUUCUAGCUGUAGGAACUAGCUUUUGUAAGGAUUAUAUUAACAUAAUUUCUUUUAAUUUUUUUACGUGUUUAUAAUGGUGAUGACAUUUUUUCUUUGUUUGAAAGAGGACGAUUUCAUCUUGCUAAUUUCCUUCCAAAGUAGAACAGCUGUCGAAUUGAAACCAAGAGAAGUUUUAAUUGGUAAAAAUUUACCACUUAUUCAUUUUGUCUUACCAAUUUCAUUUGCUGGCUAUAAGAAAUUCAUACUUCUUUCUGCAUGUCUUUUUUUGGAUUAUAGAUUUUUUCUGAUAGAUCGAGAGAGUAAGAAUUGAUUUCACCUUGCCAAUGCCAUUGUGAGGAAGAGUAUUACAAUCGAUGGAUGGAAGCUUUUACUCCCAACAACGUCAUCACAUAAUAAUUUGAAGGCGUGAGUAUCUAUGUUACAGUUUGAUGGCAAUUCUAUGUGAGAUAUAAAUUUUGCUUUGAGUAUUAAUAUUUUUUUUUUGAAAGGUGAUUUUAUUCAUCCUCUGUACCGGAAUCGCAUUUCAAAUCUCUUGCCUGAUAGACCAAAGACUCCCUUGGCAUUAAGAACCCGGUAAGGGUAAAAGUAGUACAAAAACACAGAAAACACCAUCCAAGACUUGAUGGCAGCUCCAAGAGAUCAAAAGACAAGAGUCACAAAGCCCUGAAACAAAAAGAAGGGCAGCACAAUAGGUCUCUAACCUAAAAAAAGAAAAGGGCUAGAUCCUAAUCAAAAUGAUUUUUUGAUAACCUGCAACAUGUAUUCAAUGUUAUGAAUAUUAGAUAGUAGUAAAAUUUGAGACACUGUUGGUCACUUUCAUCAACUUGCAAGACAGCCUAAGACCUAAUUAAGGAAUAUGGCAUAAAAAAUUGGCUCCACGAACUCAACUUCUCCGGACCCAGCAACUUAAUAACUAAGUCCUAAUAUAUUCAAAGUGCAUUUGCUGUCAUUUUAGAACUGUACAAAAAUAAAACAUAAAUAACUUUUGAGUAUUUAAAUUCAAUAAAGGCUAGCUCAUGAAAAUAAUUGAACAGCUUAACCUCUGGUUUCUUUUUAGAUAACAUUGAGUACACAGCAUGCAACUCUUUCACCUUUUCUUCCCAAGAAGUGAGCCUCGGUCUAACGAUCUUGAAUUCAAGGUGAAUUGGCUUUUCAUUUUUUGCUCUAUUAUAUAUGAGGAAUUUGCUGUGUAUGGAAUCUUCAAUAUUUUUUCAUUGCUCUAACGUUUAAGAUUUUCAUUUUCCAUAUAUAGAAAAAGAAGAGGUGCCAAUGACUUGCCCACCAACUCCCUUCUGAGCAUUUUUGAAAAGCAGGUAUUCUCAAAAGCAUAUCUAUUGCAAAAAUGAUGACUAUAUAUUAUAGCUUCUUUAGUUUUUGUUCUUGACUUUUUGCAUAUCUUUGUCCUCAAUGCUUCUUUAUAACAACGGUUUUUUUUACUAGUUAUCUGUGAGUGGAGUCAAACAACACUUGCUAAGUAAUGGCUCGAGUGAUCGGAAGAAGUGCGUUGAGCUAAGCUCGUUGUAAAACCCCUUUGCUUCUUUCAAAAUAUCAAUAAUGCUUCCAUCUUGGCCAUUCUUGGAGGUAUUUGUGUAGUGGCUUCAAUCCUAGUCUUUAGACCUUGACUAUAGUAACCUAAACUGUGAAGGGACCUAAAUACAAAGGUUCUUCCAUAAUGUAUAUGGAGAAGACUUUUGGGAUAUUGUUCCGAGAUUUCCUAUAUGCUACAUUUGGGUGUUGCAACUAUGUAAAUUCAUGUGCGUUUUAUUAUACUAGAUUGUUUGCUUACUUUUUAUCAUCAAAUUUAAUUUGCUAUGGUAUCGAUGUUUUACACUAGGUUAUUUGCCAAAGGAAUGGUAUAACCUGUUUUCAUAUUCCAAUUAACAAAUUGUCAAAAAUAAUUUGUCAAUUUUUUUUUGCUUCAGCAAGUUCAUCAAACUUAUCUUAUAAGUAAUAUGUUCAAUCAUUAUAUUGAAAAUCUUAUAUUAAAAUAAUAUCUUAACAAGUUUUCUGAAGACACUCAUGAAUAAAAUAUAUCCUUUAUUUAUUCAUUAGAAAGAUCUCCUACAAGUCCAUAAACAGCUACCUCAAUAAAUUGAACCAUCAAGAUGAAGCAAAAUGUAAUUGUACAUGUUCCUUUUGCAUUAAGGAUUAAUUUGCUAUAAAUUCUCAGUUUUUUUUUUUUUCCUUGAAUUCUAAGUUUUCAGACAGUGCAAAAAGUGGGAUGGAUGAAGAUUAUUGAAAAGAAAAAUCACUCCAAGUGUAGAUUAUAAAGCUAGAAUCUUUCAGACUUGAAACCUACCCUUGCCUGGCGUUCUCAGGUCUAUUUGUUUCCUAGCAGGCUGCAUUAGGUAAGAUCUCCUUGGUGGGCAAUAAACUAUAGCAGGAUGAAAGUUAUUGGAGAAGAGUUAACCAAGUUGGCUACAAAAACAAGAAUCGCUGAGGAAAAAAAAAUUCUAAUCAGUCAUAAAACUAAUAAAACUCUGUUCCUAGAAUUAAAAAUCAAAAGUUGGGGAAUAUUAGUAGAAUUCCGUGUUCCACUAGUUUUUAUUUGAUUUCAACAAUAUAAAUAUAUUUUCUCUGCUUUGUUAAUUAAUUGACUAUUAUUCAUUCUUUUUUUUUUAAAUCAAAAAGAAUGUUAUUGCAUAAUUAGGAUUAUCCAAAAGGAUAAGUCUCAAAUCAAAUAAGUACGUAAGAAAACAGAGCCCUGUACGUAAGAAAAACAAUAAAGCAGGACCCAACAAGAAAACAGAAGAAAAGGACGAUUAUUCAUACACCUACUCUUAUUAAUAAUCAAUUGAUUAUAAUAAUUACCAAGUUGCCAAUAAUUUUGGCUUUGUAGCUUUGGCAUUUUACCUUUCUCAAUGCGACGACGUUGAGCCAAGUUGCCUAUAAUUUUUCCAUCUGUCCUACACCGACUCUUAUUACUUUGACGUCAUAUAUAGAGUUUACAUUUAAGCAUCGUCUUCUAUCAUCUCCACAUCUGCGAGCUGCACUGCCCCCAAAGACUUUGAUUUCUGCCUUACUCUUCCAUUUCAUUUUCCUUCAUUUUUCCACUUUUCUCUCAGCUCAAAAGAAAGAAAAAAAAAAGCAUCUCUGUUGGUUUAUUUUCGUUGGCUUCUACUUUCCUAAUCUUCUUUUAUCUCAGAAAAAAAAACAAAAAAAUUGUUCUCUUAAAUUACUUGUUUUAUCCCUGCUACUCUUCCUUUCCUUAAUUUUGGUUUCCCCAUCUCCGGAGUUGGUGAAGUAAUUCCAUAAGAAUUAAGAUCCAUCUGAAUUAAGGUAAGCUUCAAUAAAAUAUAUUAUAUUUUCGGUAAUAUAAUUUUUUUAUAUGCUCAAUUUCUCUUAUUAUUUAUUUGGCUUCUUGAUUUAUUCAAUGGAUAGAUAAAAUUGAGAGUUUAUCUUUGAUGCAUCGACAAUAUAUAAUUUUUAUACAAUAUCAAUUCACCACAAUGCAGCAUCUCGUUAAGAAGUAAAAAUAGUAGAAUCAAAUUAAAAGAUAAUUGACAUAAUACCUAAAAAAGCCUUGAAACUAUUUUAAAAAAUUCAACUAAUUUUUUUUUUUUUUUGCCUAUGAUCUAGACUUUAUAUUAUAAUUAAUAGUUGAUUAAUUAUUUUUAAUUAAAAUGUCAAUUGUAAUGCUAAGUGAAAAGAUAUAAUAAAAUAUAAAUAGAUAUUUAAAAUUUUGAAAAAUAUUUUAUAGGUGGAUAUAUUAUCUUUUUACCCUAUCAUGUUAGAUAUAUGAGUGUGAUUAAUUUCAGAGGAAUUGAUAUGACCUUCCAGAAAUUGAACUACACAAUUAUGAAUGUGGCUCCCAAGCUUAUGCCAAUAUUUCUGGUAGACUUACGCAAGUAUCCCAUUUGGUCCAGAAGCCUUUGUAGAGUGCAUUAGGAACAAAGCACUCUUCAGUUCCUCCACUGAAAUACUAGCAUUUAAAUCAACAUUCAUCUAGUCCGUUAUUUUUUACCGUAUUCCAAACAAGGCUGCGUCUAUCUGUAAUUGACCUGAAGAAAAAAACAAGCCAAUGAAAAAGUCAUUAAUAAUCGAACUCAAUUCACUUGCGAAAUCUGUCCAUUCAUCAUUCUCUUUCUUCAAAGCUCAAAUGGUGUUUUUCCUCCUCCUCUCCUUUGCUGUUCCAAGGAAGAACUUGGUGUUCUUGUCACCUUUUUUCAACCAUGUUACCCUAGAUCUCUGUUUCCACAUCAUCUCUUCCACUUUUACCAAUUGAUUGAUCUAAUUUUGAACAAUUUUAAUUUUUAAAGAGUAGCCAGUUCUUUCAUAAAACUGUUGUAGUUCUAUUCUUUUUCACUUCAUUUGCUUCUCAUCUCCUGUAUAGAUUUAGUUUAUUUUAGUUAUUAUUUUUUGCAAUAUUUUUAUCAUAAAUUUUACUUAAUAUGAUUCAUGUGCAUAUUGGACAUUCCAUAGUAUAAAUGUGUUGUGAAAAUUGCCCAAGAAUCAACAAAGAUAAAACUCAGAGAAAUUAAGUAAACAGAAAAAUAUAAGAAUUUAUGUGGUUCGACCUCUUGUCUACGUCCACGGAAUAAAACUGUUCUUCUAUUAUUGAGAAUUUAAAGUACAAUAAAUUCAUCUUUAUGGUUCCCCAAACCAACCCAAGAUUCCUUGCACACUCUUCUUCAAUAACCUCACAAGAACACUCACCCAAACCACUUUCGCUCCACCUAGAGCAAAAGACAGAAUUACAAAAUGUUUCCUCUCUAGAGCUCUCAAAGCACUACUUGCAAUUCUAAAGCCUAAAAAUCUACUUUUAUAGUAUAAAAGUUCAAAGUAGAAUGUGAUUAGGAUUCGAUGUGGAAUAAAAAGUUUAAAACUAUACAACUACUCAAUGUUAUACACAAACAAAAAAUCCUAAACAAAUAAGAUUUAGAAUUCUAGUCAACCUGAAACUCAACAAAUCUUCACAUUUGACUUGAAUUCAAACUUCUUAAACCUCUUCCACUAGUCGCACCUAAUUGCAACUUCCUAACUCCACUUACUUUCCAACACCUUGGACAACUCUCCAAGCAUAAGACUUUUUAAAUCAUUAGCCUUUAUAAUUACCACGACUUCACAUACUGAAUCAAGUAUGGUCCAACACUGGAUUCUACAAAACAGCCAAUGCACCUGUGUAGCCGUCAAGUCAAUGGCACUAAUUAACUUCGGAAAGGGACCUUGACGACCCUUCCAAUUCACUACUGGUAAGAUUUUUCAUCCUUUCACCAUCAUCUACACCAUGGGAAUCUUUCAUCACCUCUUCGGCAAAUGAAAUCUCACUUUGAUAGCUACCAUCCCUAGUGCAUUGUUCCCAUCUUUUCGAGGCCUCACAUUCUAGACGAUACAAGUCAUUAUGCAAAUUCUCCCUCAUCAGGACCAUGUCGCCUUGUGUGACUUUUACCACUCCAUCACAAGCAGAAUAUCCAUACCUUUUGGAGUCUAACAGGCUCAAUGAUAUUAGAUUCUUACGCAUCUUUGGGACAUAGGCCACACCAUCCAAAGAGCGCACAACCCCAUCAAACAUUUUGAUUUUCACCACUCCAAGACCCAUGAUCUUCACUAUUGACUUAUUACCCAAAGUCAAAUUCCCAGCCACCCCUUCUUGAAGUAAAUCAAAAUAAUCUUUUUGAUAACAUAUGUGAGUAGCAAAAGCAGAAUCUAAAUACCAAUCAGAAUUUGCAUCCAUAUUUUCUGAGAUUGUAAGGACAUCACAAUCAUCACCUUCAGCAACGAAAGCACACUCACCUUUAUUCUCAUUACUUUCAUCCCAUUUUGUAGGACAAUCCUUUUUAAUAUGCCUAUACCUUUUGCAUUUAAAGCAUUGAACAUUGUUAGAUCUAGACUUGUCACCCUUAGAUCCCUUACCAGUUGACUUCCUCCUAUUAGCCUCAAUUACCAAUGCCAAGCCAUUUGGAUCUCUAUCCCCUUCUUUACUUUUCUUUCGGGCUUCAUGAGACAUUAACGUUGUUUGUACUUGUUCUAACAUUAUUGUAUCGAUUUCACAUAUAAGAGAUUCCACAAAUACCUUAUAGGAGUCUGAAAGCGAAGCCAGGAGCAAUAGUGUCUUUUCCUCUUCCUCCACCUUGACAUCAACCUUCUUCAACUGAUCAAAGAUUCCAUCGAAUUCAUUCAUAUGCUUCAUGAGGUCUCCAUUCUCUUCCAUCUUUAAGCGAUACAACUUUCGCCUAAGCUGCAACUUGUUAGAAAGACUUUUCGCCAAGUAAAUUUUUUUUAACUUUGUCCAUAAUCUUGAAGUAGAAUCCUCAUCAAUAACAUGGUUAAACACAUUAUCUCCAAUGCAAAGUCGAAUAAUGCUCACACACCUUUGCUCCAACUCUGCCCAUUCAACAUCUUUCAUGUCAUCUGGUUGCCCUUCCUCUUUUCCUAGCAAAAGACGCAUUAAACCUUGCUGCACAAGGAGAUCUUUCAUCCUUCUCUACCACUGCGUGAAACUAGUCUUACCAUCAAACUUCUCAAUUGAAAAAUUCGUAGAACUAGUAACUUUCGACAUCCUUAUUGAAUCUUGAAUUUACAGAACCCGAAGCUCUGAUACCAGUUUGUUGUGGAAAUUACCCAAGAAUCAACAAAGAUAAAACCCAGAAAAAUUAAGUAAAUAGAAAAACACAAGAAUUUACGUGGUUCGGCCUCUUGCCUACGUCCACGGAGUGAAACUGUUCUUCUAUUAUUGAAAAUUUAAAGUACAAUAAAUUCAUCUUUAUGGUUCCUCAAACCAACUCAAGAUCCCUUGCACACUUUUCUUCAAUAACCUCCCAAGAACACUCACCCAAACCACUCUCGCUCCACCUAGAGCAAAAGACAGAAUUAUAAGGUGUUCCCUCUCUAGAGCUCUCAAAGCACUACUUGCAAUUCUAAAGCUUAGAAAUCUAUUUUUAUAGUAUAAAAGUAAAAAAUAGAAUGUAAUUAAGAUUCAAUGUGGAAUAAAAAAUUUAAAACUAUACAACUAUUUAAUAUUGUACACAAACAAAAAAUCUUAAUCAAAUAAGAUUUAGAAUUCUAGUUAAUCUAAAACUCAACAAAAUAUAUAUAUAUGUAUAUCUUCAUUAGAUAUGUAACAUUAAUUGGUAAACAAACUGGCUGAGAACUUUCUCUCUAAAAUCAAAUCAUGCAUGAAUAGAGAGGGUAGAAUCUUAGUAAAAAUACUAGUAUUAAUUUUGAAAUUAACUCAAACUCAAAGUAAUUGUUUAAAAGGGCAACCUGAAUGCGACGUGAUGUGUGCAGUCAUUACAGCUGGAAGAGAGGUAUGGGUUUGAAUCAGGUAAAGAAGCCAAAGAGGGGUGCUCCUACAUUUUUCUACUUUUUGUUUAUGAUCAGAAGAACCUGAGGUAACAUAUAAAUAUGCAUUGAUAAUCCAACUAGAUCUGCGGCUGUUGUUUGGACAACAAGAGAAAAGGGUAGCUCGGGAACUGAGCAUGCCACUGCCAUGGCCCCUCUCUUAUUAACUCUUUCAACCACGUUCAUUCAAAGUCUAUCCCUAAGCUGUCCUGUCACUGGUGACGGACCCUAUAAUCAACUCACCUCCAAUUGAACCAACUGCACAUGAUUUCUUCCUUACAAUGUCUAGAAAUUUCAUAAACAAUAAAAACAAAACGAAGUUAAUUUAAUAUAUUAUCAACAUUUAUCUAUAUAAAAGUUGAUUUUAUUCGAUUUUUUAUUGCCUCACACGUGUAUAUAGAUAACGAUUGCAUGAUGUGAUAUCAGGAUCACUAGCAGAGACCAUUGCUGCUAACUGAAACACACUAAGCAACUUGAAGAAAGUUGAUGCCAUGCCAUGAUUGGUAGCACUACACUUUUACGUGAAGCUGGUUGAGAAAAGAUUGUGUUUUUGCUUACACAAAUCUUCCUGGAGCAAGUACUUAUAGAGUAAUCAGCUGAGAAUUCUAUGUCAAAAUUGAGAAUAUCCUAUAUGAUCAAAUUCAUGGGCAACAAGAACACUGUAUUUUCCAUUGGCCAGCAUUACAUGAAUAUCUUUUAUAUUAACAAUCAAAUAUAAAUUUUUUCUCAAAAAACGAAAAAGAAAAAAAUCAAAUACCAACCGAAAAUUUUAACAAGUCUUCUUAAAACACUCCUAAUAAAAUAUAUCUUUUAUUUAUUUCUUUGAAAAAAAAAUUCUAAUUAUUGAUAUUCACUUUUUUUUUUUGUAUGAAGACUUUUCCAGUAGCUAAGUUUCCAAGUCUGAGAUUAGUAAUGAAUACACACCUUUGCAAUUGCAUUGCAGAUUCUUAUCAAAAAAUUAAUAAUAAUAAUAAAAAUUAUUCUUAAGCAUCCUUUCAUUGUUCUUUUUUGUUUUUUGUUAUUACUUUUUUUUAUACAACUGUUUGUCUUUUACUUCUUAAAAUUUUACUAUUAGUUAUAAAUUAUUAAAUGAAAAAUAAACGAUAAAAAGGUUAAAUCAAUAUUAAUUAAGAAUGAAUAAAUGAUUAAGAUAUAACUAUCAAUAAAUGUUGGUAAAUACUUUUACUUUUUAAUUUUUAGUCAUAAUUUCAAGUGAGUGUAUUAAUUUUUAAAUAAACAGCUGAUUCCAAACAUAAAAAUGACGUUAACGAGCAAAUGUGAAAUGUCAAAAAUAAUCUUAUUCUUUCUACCUCUUUUUCUUUUUUUUUUAAGAUUAGUUGACGGUGCUCUUUAUGCCGAUCGACCACCCUCGCAUCCCCCUUACCCUCAUGCCACCCCCACCCCACCCCUCUUCUAAGGAGCACAGAUCUGACACUCUCCAGGGAAGCUCCCCCCCGCCCCUCCUUUGGUGCUCGUCGAGGGUGGGGGGGCGCGACUCCUCUAGGGAACGUUGGAACAAUGGCGGGGGGAAAGUGGAGCGCAAGGGAAGGGAGAUCCAGUUGGAACCAAAUCUAGUGCUCCGACUACUAGAAAAGGUGGGAGAUUUUUUUUUAAUAGGAAAUACUAUAAUAAAUUUGACUUAAGACAAUACAUUUUUAAAAUAUGUUAUUAAAAAAAUUUUAAUAAUAUUUUUUUAUAUUUUUUAAAAUAUUUUUAUAGAUCUAAUUUUAAUAUAUAAAAUUUUAAAUAUAUUAUUAAUAAAAUAUGAAGAUAGAAAUUACAUACACCAGUAAAGAUUGUACUUUUUAUAUUACUAUUAAAUUUGACAAAAAUGAAGUUAAAAAUUUAAAUAAUUACACUUUUUAAAAUUUUACUACACAAAAAAAUAUAUCGUCCAAAGAAAUGUAAUUAAAAUUCAAAAUUUUUAUAGUUAAAAAAAUUAAAAAUUAUAGUUUAUAUAGUAUGAUAGUUUUUAAAAUUAAUAAAAAGUAAAAUUAUAUUUUUAAUAUUACCACUUUAUCAACUUAAUGGAAAUAUUAAAAGUUUGAUUAAGAGCUGGAUUUAUGCAUUGAGCGAAAGAUAUUCUUUUAAGACAAACUGUCUAUUUCAAAAAUUAAUGAAUUAGUGUGAAUUUAUAAUUAAACGUUAAAAGGUAAAAGUAUUUUAUCCAUAAAUGUUUUAUUUAAACAUGCUCAUUAGGUCAAGUCUACUAAAUCUUUCAUUAUUAUAUAAUUAGGAAAAAUGUGUUAAACAAAGGUAAGUCAGAAUUUAAUUUUAGUGUUAUCUUAGUAAAUUUCAUUUUAGAUAGCCAUUAAACUAUGUUUUACUUCGAGUGAUUUUGGGUUCCAAUAAUUAUGCCUUAUAGUUGCUUAUUCACUCGAAAUUUUUUUUAUGAAAAGAAAACAAUUGUCAAAUAAAAUGAAAUAAUUAUUGAAUUUUUUUAAAUCUCUUAUGCAUAAUCAUAGUACUUAUGGUGUAAUAUUAAUUGGUCAAAUGAUGGUGAGAAUUACAAGCAUCAAAAGGUUAUGAAAGGAAUGAAGGCAAGUUAAAUUUAUCAUAGUAAUGAAAAAAUAAAUAAAUAAAGAGAAGCUCAGGUUUUCCAUUGAUAUAUAAGCAAGGAACUUGGAAAAUAAACUGGCUGAGAACUCUCUCUAAAAUCAAAUCAUUCAUGAACAGAGAGGAUAGAAUCUUAGUAAAAAUAUUAGUAUUAAUUUUGAAAUAAACUCAAACUCAAAGUAAUUGUCGGCAAGGGAAAGCUGAAUGCAACGUGAUGUGUGCAGUCAUUACAGUUGGUAGCGGGGUCUGGGUUCAGACUUCAGACCAAACUUUGCAGUCAUGUCAGUGGUGAGAGAUCCAAUAAUUCAACUCUCCUUCAAUUGAACCAACUUUUUCUUUGUGCACAUCAGCACAUGUAAUCAUAAACUCAACUUUUUCAUUUGAAGCUCAGCAGAACGACGGUGGAUGUGAGGUGGGUUGAGGGUGCCUGCCGCAGGGCACUCCAAAGUGGCGAAGGGACACCAUGGCCAUUGAGGCCAGAGAACUCCAUCAUGCUAGCUUUGGUAACCUAACACUAUGACUUUUUCCAAGUCAGUUUAGGUUUUAUAUAUUUUAAUUAUUCUUUUCCCCUUUGGAUAAUGCCUUGGACUGUUGUAAUUAUGGCCACCAUCAAAUGUGAUUUUGAAUCGGGUAAAGAAGGCAAAGGAGGGAUUGUCCUGCAUUUUUCUACUUUUUAUGAUCAGAAGAGCCUGCUUGCAUUAGAGCUGUCAAUAUGGGCUGACCCAGCUCAGCCCAGCUCAAGAUUUUGUGGAUUAAGAAAAAAUAGAUCAGAUCGGAUCAGUCUAUUUUUAUAUGGAUCAUGAAAAUCUCAAUCCAACCCAUCUUUUGUUAGUCUAUGUGUUGGGUUGGGUCAAUUUAUUUUUUAUUUUUUUUAAAAAAUUAUUUUUAUAAUUUUAUAAUAAAAUUAUUUUAUAAUUUAAUUUAUAAAUUAAAUAUUAAUAAUUAAAUUAUAAAAAUAUUAAAAUAUAAANAUAAAAUAAAUAAUAUUAUUAAUAAUUAAAUUAUUAAUUUUAUAUAAUUAAAUAUAUAAAAUUAUUAAAUUAAUUAAAAUUAUUUAUUUUUUUUAACUCACAAAACUAGCCUGCCUCAGUCCAUCUUAAUUCACUGAUUUGAUAAACUGAUUUAUUUAAAUUCGAUUUAAAUAUAAAUAUAAAUUUUUAAAUUUAAUUUAUUUUAUAUUUAAUAAAAAAUAAAUUGACCCAGUUUAGGAAUAGCUUGCAUUGAUAAUUAAAGUAGAUCGCUGUCGCUUGGACAGCAAGAGAAAAGGGCAGCUCACUGAGUAUGCCACUUGCAUGGGCCCCUCUUAUUAACUCUUUCAACUACAGUCAUUCAAAGUCUAUCCCUAAGCUGUCCUGUCAGUGGGGACAGACCCAAUAAUUCAACUCUCCUUCAAUUGAACCAACUUUUUACCUUGUGCACAUGUAUCCUUCUUUACUUCCAAUGUCUAGAAAUUUCAUAAACAAUAAAAAUAAAACGAAAUUAAUUUAUCAACAUUCAUCUUUAUAGACUUAAGUUUUUGAUUACCAUGUUAAGUUUGCUUGCGCUCCUGUUAUCUGCUUUAGAUUCAUUUUCAACUAAGUUGUAGAUCCAUGGCGGAAGUAAUUCCAUUCGGGGCAGUAAGUAAUAUCGUGUUGAGUUUCCUAGCAAGUCCCAUCCUCUUGUCAUAACACUUCCUGGAAAGCCAAGCAAGGUCCUUGAUAGAACAUCCGAGAGAGAAUCAGUCAAAGUUUAUUAAUUAUCUAUACCAACUCUCGUCCUAUUGUAGCUGGGACUCAAUCAAAGGAAAGAGAAUAAAUUUAAUUGGUUAAAAUAUGAAGUUAAUUUGAUAUAAUUAGUUAGAAUUUUCUUAAUUCUAUUAGACUUAAUUCGAUUUUUGUAUUAAACUGAAUUCUAUCAAGUAAGGGUCAUGGAGCAAAAGAUGUUUGGAUCGUUGUUAUUUGAAUAAAAGAAAGUGACAGUAAAAAUCGAGAUUGAGAAAUAAACCAAUAAUUCAAAAGUGCUCAUGAUUCAGUGUUCCACUGGUGGAAAAAGAGCGAAAAGCAGUGUUUGGGUGCUGACAAUUUUCAAAGUGUGGACCCACUAUCACGUGUUCUCUCCGGAAGAAGAGAAAGAGGUGGAAAAGGGGGGAUUCAUUUCCAAAAGUUUCCUACACACUGCCAUCACGCGACCCCCAUCCUCUUUCCAUGACACUUCCUGGAAACAAAAGCAGAACAUCUGAGACAGAACCAUCAAAGUUUAAUAAUUUUCUAUACCCACUUUUAAUACUUCAUCCUCAUACGGUUCCCAUUCAAGCAUCUUGUUCUAUCAUCUGCACUAUCCCAAGAGUUUGUUUGAUUUCUGCAUGCCUUGCUCUUCUUUUUACUCAACAAGACCUACCCUUCCAUUUUAUUGUCCUUCAUUUUCCCACUUUUCUUUGAACUCCGAGAACAAAAACAUCUUUGUUGUUUAACUCUAACAAAAAAAAAAAACAAAAAAAAAGUUAAUCUCUUAAAUUACUUUAGUUUGAUCCUUGUUACCUACUUUUCCUUUCCUUAAUUUUGAUUUCCCUAUCUCCGGAGUUGGUGAAGUCAUUCCAUCCCAAUUGAGGUAAGCUUCAAUAAAAUAUAUUACAUUCUUCAUAUUUUAUUUUUUUAUAUGUUCAAUUUCUCUUUCACUUCUGAAUUUGACUUUUUAUUAUAAAUUUUUUAUUUAUUAUAAAUUUUCAUUUUUUUUCCAUUUUUACGGACAUAUAUGGAUAUUUUCGAAAAGCAUUUUAUAGAAUGAUGACACUAUGCUUUUAGUUUAAUAUAAAAAAAUAUUUUUAAUUAAUAUACACAUGAUUAGUGACAAGAAUUUUUAUUUCUGCAGUAUUUUCGAUUCCAAGUUGGUCAGUCAGCAAUCUAUUCUCUGGUGAUUCACAUUUUCAUAAAGGUAAAGUGCUUUACAAACAUUUUUUCUCUCUGCAAAACUUUUUACUCUCUAAAAUUAAAACCAAGCAUAUUUUUAUUUUAUGAAAGUUUCAACUGAUCUUUAAUUAAAAUAUAUAACACGUUUUAAUAACUUAAAAUUUUGAAGCUUGAAAUAUUAAUAUUACUUAUUAAUAACAAUAAUUUUUUUAUAUAAAAAAUGGAAAAGGGGCGAAGUCAGUAGUUUCCUAAGACAAACGAUUUGAGCACUUGUCUUCCGCUAAAAUUUUGAAAUUGAAUAAGAAAAAGUAUUUAUAUUUAUGUACUAACCGUAUAUAGUUUUAAAAUAAAUAUUAAAAAAAUUUUAAUAACUAAUUAGAGAAAUAUUGUGGAGGCAUAAUCUAAUAAAAAUAUGAAUUAUUGCAAUGGUAGCCCAUUUUUGGUACUUCAAUUUUUGGCCUUGAUCUUCUGAACAAAACAUAUUCCAGUGGAUAGAUUUCCAAGUCUAAGAUUAACUAUGAACACACCUUCGCAAUUUGCAUUGCACAUUCCUACCAAAAAUAUUAAAAAAUAUUCUUAAGCUUCCUUUUAUAGUUUGAUUUUUUUUUUACAAUUACUUUUUUAUUUCUUAAAAAGUUAAGUGAGAAAUAAAUGACAAAAAAGUGAAAUGACAAAUUAAUUAAAAAUGAGUAAAAGAUUAGGGUAAAAAUAAAUAAAUAAAUGAUAAAAUUGUAUUAAAACUAAAGAGAUCUAUUUCAUUAUUUAGAAUAUUAUAUNCAAAAAAGUGAAAUGAUAAUUAAUUAAAAAAGAGAAAAUGACUAGGGUAAAAAUAAAUGAAUAAAUGGUAAAAUUGUAUUAAAACUAAAGAGAUCUAUUUCAUUAUUUAGAAUAUUAUAUAUAUACAUUUAAUUUAUCAAAACUUAUUUUGAUUUAUUCAAACAUGCUUAUCAGGUGAAGUCCGUUAAGUCUUUCAUUACCGUGUUAGUUUGCUUGCAUUUCCCUGUCAUCUGCUUUAGAUUCAUUUCAACCAAGUUGUAGAUCCAUGGCGGAAUCAAUUUUAUUCGGGGCACUCAGUAACAUCUUUUCCAAGUUGAUGUGGCUUGCUGGGCAAAAGAUUGGCUUGAUUUUCUGGCAGAAAGGCGAACUGGAUAAGCUUCAAAAGACUCUCGACAUCAUAAAAGCCGUCAUUCUUGAUGCUGAGGAGAAGCAGGAGAGCAACCUUGUUGUGAAAAACUGGAUAAGUAGACUGGAAGAUAUUGUCUCUGAUGCAGAGGACUUACUGGACGAAUUCGACUAUGAGAUCCUGCGCCAGAAGGUGCGUCCACGGGGACAGGUACGCAAGAUCUUUCGAUCCUUCAGGAUGGGUCCUAGAGUUAAGGAGAUUAGAGAGAGGCUGGACGUGGUUGCAAGAGAGAUUAAAACGUUUGAUUUUAAUGUGAGAGUUGUAGAACUGGAUAAGAAACGUAAGAAUACUGACAGAGAGACUGCCUCAAAGGUGAGACCGGAAUUAGUAAUAGGGAGAGAGGAAGAUAAAGAGCACAUUAUAGAAUUGUUGAAGGAGCAAAAUCAUGGUGACAGCAACUUCAAUAUUAUUGCCAUUGUUGGGUUUGGAGGUUUAGGAAAGACCUCGCUUGCCCGGUUGGUGUAUAACGAUGCGCAAGUAGCAGAUUCCUUCAAAGGGAUAUGGGUGUGUGUUUCUGAAGAAUUUAAUGUUCUUAUAAUUUUCAAAAAAAUUUUGAAGUGUCUAGGAGAACACAAAGUGGAUGACUGGAAUCUAAAUGAAGUCCAAAAAGAAAUUGAACAAAAGUUAAAAGGGAAGAGAUAUUUACUUGUGUUGGAUGAUGUGUGGAACGAAGAUAUUUUAAAGUGGAAUGAUUUUUCACAGUAUAUGGUAUUUGGUGCUCCCGGAAGCAAAAUUAUUGUGACAACUCGUAGCACCAAAGUUGCAGCUACUAUGGGGGUACACAGUCCUUUCCUUUUAAAAGGUCUCAAUGAGGAACAAUCUCAGGAUUUGUUUGAGAAAGUGGCAUUUGAAGGACGUCAAAUCGAUCCAAAGCUUGGACAAAUUGGAAAAGUUGUUGCACAAAAAUGCAAAGGAGUUCCUCUUUCUAUUAAAUGUUUAGGAGGUUUGAUGAGACAAAAGCCUGAUGAAAAAUACUGGUUGUUUGUCCAAGAAAAUGAAAUUUGGAAUAAUGAUGAUGUUUUGUCGGUGUUAAGAUUGAGUUACAUUCAGCUACCAAGUAAUUUAAAACAAUGUUUUGCUUUUUGUUCGCUUUUCUCAAAAGACUCUAGGAUAUAUAAAGAUGAGUUGAUUCAUUUUUGGCGAGCACAAGGUUACAUUCAAUUAGGGAAUAAAAAUGAGAAUGUACAAGAUAUUGGUGAUGAAUACUUUAAUGAUUUGCUGUCAAGAUCAUUUUUUCAAGAGGAGAGGAAAGAUGCAAAUGGGAAUAUCAUCUAUUGUAAAAUGCAUGAUCUUAUUCAUGAUCUUGCAUUAUUCGUUGCUGGUCGUUAUUUUCAUUGGAUGAAAAAUAAAAGAGAAAAAAUUUCAAAAGGAGUCCGUCAUGUGUCAUUAGAAAAAUAUUUUACAGUUGUUUUCACUCGAUCGAAAGCAAAAGUGAUAAGGACUUUAUUUCUCCGAGCAGACAUUUUCAUGGACUUAUUUAAUCGAAAGGUAACUUUUUCGAUCUUCAAUUGUUUACGCAUGUUGAAUUUGAAUUUGAUGAACAUUAAUAUUUUACCAGAUUCAAUUGGUGAACUGAAGCAUUUGAGAUACCUUGAUCUUUCUAGGAAUACUAGGAUGAAAGUGCUCCCAGAUGCAAUAGUCAAAUUGCACCAUUUGCAAACUCUAUUACUCAAUGGCUGCAGCAGUCUUAAAAAGUUACCAAGGGAUAUACGCCAAUUGAUUAGUUUGGAAUAUCUCAAAAUUGAUUAUUGCAAAGACCUAUCCGGCUUGCCAAAAGGGUUAGGGGAAUUGACUUCCUUACAAAGAUUGGACAGAUUUGUUGUGAACUGUGUUGAAGACAAUUUAUCAACUGCAGCCACGUUGAAUGAGUUGAGUAACCUAGACCUUGGAAACUGCUUGAAAAUUGAUCAUUUACACAAUGUGAGGAAUGUGGAAUUAGAAUGUAAGGAGGCAAAUUUAAAGAAAAAGAAACGGCUUCAGUCUCUGCAAUUAUCUUGGGAAUCUUCCUCUCCAACAACAGUGGCUAGUGAAAAGGAUGAGUCAUUGUUAAAUAUUCUUGAGCCACACCCGAAUUUGAAAGGGCUGAAGGUAUCCGGUUAUGGAGGAGCAAGGUUUUCGAGUUGGCUAUCUUCAUUGACUAAUUUAGUCGAACUUGAUAUAAACAAAUUUUGGAAUUGUCGAGACCUGCCACCCUUGGAUCAUUUUUCAUCUCUCAAGUCUCUCAGUCUUUAUCGUUCCAAUGCUUUAAAACACCUGCCACCCUUGGAUCAUCUUUCAUCUCUCGAGUCUCUUUCUCUUGGGGAGUUAGAUGCUUUAGAAUAUGUGGCAGAUUCUUUUUCCUUGCCUUGCUCCACUUCAAGAGAACCAUUCUUCCCGUCCCUUAAGAAACUUUUGAUCCGUGACUGUCCCAAUCUCAAAGGAUGGUGGAAGACAACGAAUGAGAACCAAGGAUCAAUCGCUGAGCAGCCUUGCUUUCCUUGCCUUUUCCAGUUAGAAGUCAAAAAUUCCCCAAACUUAACCUCCAUGCCGCUGUUUCCAUCUCUCGAGCAUGAUUUGACUUUGUAUGAUACUAGUAUAAGGCCUUUGGAACAAACAUUGAAGAUGAAGAUGACCGAGGCUAGCAUGACAUCAGAAGAAGCAUCAUCUUCAUCAGGGAGCGCUUGUCAUUCAUAUUCUUCAACUACCUUUCCUCUCUCCAAUUUGAAGCGUCUGAGUCUUCAAGGCAUUAAGGAUUUAGAAGUUUUGCUAGAAGAGUUUCUACAAAAUCUCAGUUCUCUUGCGUGCUUAUGGUUGAGCAACUGCCCUAUAUUAGAAUCGUUAUUGCCGCAAAAGAUGAGCUGCCUCACCUCUUUACAAUAUUUGUGUGUUACAAAUUGCCCUAAUCUGAGGGCUUUGCCUGACUGGAUACUCAAUCUCACUUCCCUUAAAACAGUUGAAAUUCGGGGGUGCCAUGAAUUACAGUACAUGCCAGAAGGGACGCCUCAGCUUACAUCUUUAGAAAAAUUAUCUGUUUGGAACUGUCAUAAUUUGAGGGCUUUGCCAGACUGGAUACUCAAUCUCACUUCCCUUAAAACACUUGAAAUUUGGGAGUGCGGGUCAAUUUUGCAUCAAGCCUUAAAAACCCACAUUAAAAGUGGGCCGAUUCGAAUUUGCAGCNGUAGGCAAUUGCCCUAAUUUGAGGGCUUUACCUGACUGGAUACUCAAUCUCACUUCCCUUAAAACACUUGAAAUUAACGGGUGCCUUGAAUUACAGUACAUGCCAGAAGGGACGCAUUGGCUUGCAUCUUUAGAAGAAUUAAUUGUUUACUGCCAUAAUUUGAGGGCUUUGCCAGACUGGAUACUCAAUCUCACUUCCCUCAAAGACCUUUAUAUAUGCGAGUGCCUUCAAUCACCGUACUUGCAAGGAGGGAUGCAAAGCCUCACCUCUUUAGAACGAUUGAUGGUUCAUUAUUGCCCUUAUCUGAGUUCUUCCACACAUUCUCUCAAAGCACUUCUAAUUCGGGGGUGCCCUGAUUUAUACUCCUGGAGAUGGAGGUAUUUGUUUUCCACUAUAGAAGAAUUGAAUGUUCAAAAUUGCCCUAAUAUGGAGGAUUUGCUGAAUCGCAUUGCUAAGAUGAUCAUUUCCCUCAAAACACUUAAGAUUUGUAAGUGCCCUGAAUUACAAGACUUGCCACAAAGGAUGGAUGGCCUUACCUCUUUACAAGUAUUGUCAAUCAGUGAAUGUCCCCGGUUGUCGGAAAGAUGUGAAAAGGAUACCGGAGUCCUGUGGCCUCGCAUUGCUCGCAUCCCAUCUAUUAUAAUCGAUGGGCGACAGAUUCAAUGAUGAUCAUACCAUAUAGGUAAUCACAUUUUUCUUCACCUCUAUUUAUAUUUUCUCCCUUUACUUGAUAAUUCUUUUUUUUUUCUCCAUGGAUUUGGAUGACUCGUAAUUUUUUGCAUGCAUGUAAUCCAAGUCGACCAUGAAAAAGUGGAUUUAAUCCAUUCUCUGCUACUUCUUUCUAAGUGGACUAACAAUAUUGAUUUCUUUUUUCUUUUCUUACUUUCAAUUUUUUUUGUUAAGUUAAAUAUUACUAAUAUGAAAUGUGACCCAAACUUGAUGUCAAAACUCUGCCAGUAUGUCACAGCAAUUAGGAACUUUUUCCUUGUUUCAAUCUCUCAUUCUUCAAUUAUAAUCCUAAAUUUGAAGCAUUCAGGAUCUUACUAGCUCUUGAUGGAACCCUUGUGCAUAUAGCAUAUUUAUAGUCAAAGCAUUAAAUCUUAUACUCUUAUAUAGACAAAUUUAAAAAAAUUACAGCAGUAUGAAUGUACUCAGUUAGCAAAUUAUUCUGAUUUUUCACUUUGUUAUAUCUAAAUGUCUCUUUUCACCUUUUUCAAUGAUGUUAAUCUGUGUUUGGAGGAUAUUUUUUAGGUUGACCAAAAAUUUGGGUUUUCUGUAAAAGGUUGUCAUAAGCUUUUUGUGCAGUGUUGAUGUAAUUGUUCAGUUAUCUUAUCAGCAGAGUUAGAAUGCCGACAAGAGUCCUUAACUGAUUAGAUCAUAGACUUUUGAUCUGAUAAUAUCAACAAAAUCAAAACUUUUCCAAAAAAAAAAAAGCAUAAGCAUAAAAUGGGCUUAUGGACAGAUUAUUGUCAGUUGUUUCACUUCCCCUAUUUUUAUGCAUUGAUCAAUGCAAAAUCAUCUCUUAUACAAUGAGGCAACCUUGGAUGUUUGUGUCAUAUCUUUACUGAAGCAAAACCAAAAUUUAAUGUGAACACUGGUGAAAUAAGCUGAGAUUUUAUAGGCACUUGCUUUUGUAAGGAAUAUGUUAACAUUAUUUCUUUCUUUUUUUCUACGUGUUUAUAAUGGGAUGAUGACAUUUUUUCAUUGUUUGAAGCAGGAAGAUUGCAUCUUGCUAAUUUCCUUCCAUAGCAGACUGUUGUUGAAUCGAAACUAAGAGAAAUUUCUAUUGGUAAAAUUUACCACUUAUUUGGUUUGUUUUACCAAUUUCAUUUACUUUCUAUAAGGAAUCCAUUAACACCCAACUUCUUACUUCUUUCUGCAUGUCUUUAUUGGGAUUAUGGACUUUUUUUGAUAGAUUGAGAGAGUAAGAAUUGAUUUCAGGUUGCCAAUGCCAUUGUGAAAAAGAGUACUACAAUACAUGGAUUGGAAGCUUUACUCUCAACAGCGUCAUCACUAUCUAUAUUACAGUUUGAUGGCAAUACUAUGUGAGAGUUAAAUUUUACUUUUGAGUAUUUGAAUUCAAUAAAGGCUAGCUCAUGAAAAUAAUUUAACAGCUUGACCUCUGGUGUCUUUUUAGAUGACAACAAUUGCAUAGCAUGCAGCUCCUUCACCUUUUCUUCCCAAAAAGUGAGACGUGAUCUAACGAUCUUGAAUUUAAGGUAAAUUAGCUUAUCACUUAUUGCUCUAUAGAAUUUACUGUGCAUAGAAUGUUGAAUAUUUUUUCACUACUAUAUCGUUAUAAGAUUUUCAUUUUCCAUAGAAAAAUAAGAGGUGUCAUGACUUGCUCACCAACUCCCUUUCGAGGCAUUCUUGAAAUGUAGGUAUAUUCUCAAAGCAUAUCUUUUGCAAAAGUGAUGACUAUAUAUUAUAGUUUCUUUAGUUUUUGUUCUUGAUUUUAUGCAUAUCUUGUUCCUCAACGCUUGGUUAUAACAAUGGAUUUUUUAGACUAGUUAUCUAUGAAUGGAGGCAAACAACACUUGCCAAGUGGUGGCUUGAGUGACUGGGAGAAUAGUCUGGAGCUGAGCUGGUUGGAAAACCCCUUUGCUUCUUUUAAAAUCAAUGUCAAUAAUUCCAUAUUGGCCAUUCUUGGAGGUCUUUAAAUUGUGGCUUCAAUUCUAGUCUGUGGGCCUCUACUUAAUUAACCCAAACUAUUAAGGGGACCUAAAUACAAAUGUUCUUUCCAAUGUAUAUGGAGAAGACUUUUGGGAUACUGUUCUGGGAUUUACUAUUUGCUACACUUGGGUGCUGCAAAGUGUCAAAGAAUUGUCAAUCAAAGAAUGUCCCCAGUUAUCAGAAAGAUGUUAAAAGGAGACAGAAAUCCUGUGGCCUCACAUUGCUCUCAUCUUGACUAUUUAUAUUGAUGGCCAACAGUUCAAUGAUGAUCAUACAAUAUAGGUAACCGUAUUUUUCUUCACCUCUGUUUAUAUUUUCUCCCUUUAUCUGAUAAUUCCUUCUUCUUUUUUUUUAUUUUUCUUCUGGGAUUUGAAUGAUUCAUACUUUGUUCUUUACAUGUAAUCCAAGUUGGUACACUGAUUCGCCUAUAAUUUGUACAGAUAGCAUACUUGUUGUGAAAGCAUUAAAUUUUAUACUCUUGUACAGAUAAACGUACUUAAGUUACCUAAUUAUUCUGAUUUUUCAUUUUGUUAUAUCAAUUCCUAACUUCUUCUGUUUAACAUAAGUAUAAAAUGGAGUUAUGGACAGAUUAUUGUUAGUUGUUUCACUUCCCCUAUUUUUAUGCAUCGAUUAAUGCAAAAUAUCUCUUAUACAAUGAGGCAACAUUGGAUGUUUGCGUCGUAUCUUUUCAGAAGCAAAACCAAAAUUAAAUGGAAAAGGAUCGCAAGACAGAUUGCUUCUAUCACAGAGAUUCUAAGUAAUUGAAACACUGGUGAAAUAAGCUGAGAUGUGAGAGUGAGUAUCCCUAAAAUUUACAGCUACAAGUUUGUUAGAGGGCUUAUCUCCAGUCAAGACUCCUAAGCUGAAAGCUAGUAAUAAGAGAAACUAACGUGAAUGUCUGCUUGUACAUUUCCUGCUGUAUUUGUUGUGAUGAGGAGAUAUUGCUAUAGGUAAUGUUUCUGCCUCUUCUACUUGAUGUAGGCACUUGCUUUUGUAAAGAAUAUAUUAACAUCAGUUCUUUCUUUUUGUUUGUGUUUAUAAUGGGAUGAUGACAUUAUUUCAUUAUUUGAAGCAGGAUGAUUUCAUCUUGCUAAUUUCCUUCCAGAGCAGACAGUUUUUGAAUUCAAACCAAGAGAAAUAUCUAUUGGUAAAAUUUACCACUUAUUCAGUUUGUCUUACUAAUUUCAUUUGCUUUCUAUAAGGAAUCCAUUGACACCUAACUUCAUACUUCUUUUUGGAUGUCUUUAUUGGGAUUAUGGACUUUUCCUGAUAGUUUGAGAAAGAACAUACAGAUUUCAACUUGCCAAUGCCAUUGUGAAGUAUAGUUAAAUUUUACUCUCAACAGCAUCAUCACUAUCUAUGUGAGAGUUAAAUUUUGCUUUGAGUAUUUAAAUUCAAUAAAGGCUAACAGAUGAAAAUAAUUGAACAGCUUGACCUCUGGUUUCUUUUUUAGGUAACAAAGGCUACACAACAUGCAACUCUUUCACCUUCUCUUAUCAAGAAGUGAGCCUUGAUCUAACGAUCUUGAAUUCAAGGUUAAUUGGCUUUUCAUUUACUGCUAUAUUUUAUAUGAGGAAUGUGCCGUGUAUAGAGCCCUCAAUAUUUUUGCAUUGCUCUAGCAUUUAAGAUUUUCGUUUUCCAUAUUAAAAGAAGAGAUGCCAAUGACUUGCCCGGCAACUCCCUUCCAGCCAUUUUUGAAAUGCAAGUAUUCUCAAAGCAUUAUCUAUUGCAUACAUGAUUCUAUAUGUUGAAGUUUCUUUAGUUUUUGUUCUUAUUUUUUGGCAUAUCUUUAUCCUCAAUGCUUCUUUAUAACAAUGGUUUUUUUGACUAGUUAGUUGUGAAUGGAGUCAACCAACGCUUGCUAAGUAGUGGCUUGAGUGGUUGGGAGAAGUGCCUGGAGAGCUAAGCUGGUUGGAAAAACCCUUUGCUUCUUUCAAAUUCAAUGUGAAUGGUUCCAUCUUGGCCAUUCUUGGAGGUGUUUGAGCGGUGGCUUCAAUUCUAUUCUUUAGGCAUUUACUUAUUUAACCCAAACUGUUAAAGAGGACUUAAAUACAAAGGUUCUUUCAUAAUGUACAUAUGGAGAAGACUUUUUGGGCGUCUGAGUCUGAAGAACAUUAAGGAUUUAGAAGUUUUGCCAGAAGAGUUCCUACUGCUGUACUGCCUUAAAUUGGAAUUGCUACUGCCUUAAAAGCAUUGUCCGUAAGCAAUUGUCCUAAUCUGAGGGCUUUGCCAGACUGGAUACCUAAUAUCACUUCCCUUAAAACACUUGAAAUUUGGAAGUGCCUUAAAUUACAAUACAUGCCAGAAGGUACGCCUCGGCUUACAUCUUUAGAAGAAUUAUGUGUUUACUGCCAUAAUUUGAGGCUUUGCCAGACUGGAUACUCAAUCUCACUUCCCUCAAAGACCUUUAUGUAUGUGAGUGCCUUCAUUCACCGUACUUGCAAGAAAGGAUGCAAAGCCUUACCUCUUUAGAAUGAUUGAUGGUUGAAUAUUGCCCUAAUCUGAGUUCAUCCACACAUUCUCUCAAAGCACUUCUAAUUCGGGGGUGCUCUGAUUUAAGCUAGAGCAAAGUCUCUUUAUUGUUUAGUGUUGCUUCUAAACUAGAGCAACUAUUUCGGGGAUGAAGAGAAAUAAUAGUGCUCUGUACUGUCACUGAUUUAGGAGCAAACACGUAAGGUCAAUUUUGCAUUAGUUAGAAUUUCAAUUACUCAAAAGAAACAAGUGAAGCUCUGUGAAAUUAAAUGAUGUUUGGUCCCUUGUCUUGCACUUACGUCCAUGCAAGUCCAAUCCUCUUACCGUAACACUUCCCGGAAAGCCAACCAGGGUCCUUAACAGAGCAUCUGACACAGACUUCUUCCUUGAGAAUUCAGUCUCUAGUAAUGGCGGUAAGUGCCUUACUGUCCAACAACUAAAAAGUAAAAGUAGUGGACAUUUACGAAAAUUUGUCCAUGAUGAUUUAGCCAGGCAACAAUGAGGUAGCUCAUUACUCAUUACUAUAAGAAAAUUUACCAAGUAAUGCUUAAUUGCAAAAGAAUCAUAAAUAGGGAUCUAAUUGUUUGCUCUUAAUGAAAUAAUAAUUGUAAUAUUUACUUACAAUGAGAAUCAAGUGCUUUCCAAAUAAAUCAACCAAAUAGGUAAGAAAUAAAUACCUAAAAAUAAUUGAAAAAUGAUAAAAAUAAAGAGAUCAAUAAUUCAAAAGUGCAUCAAUGAUUUCACGUCCCAUUUGGAUAGGAGCUCAAAGAAAAAUAAUUAAAAGUGUGAACUUAAUUUCAUUUUGAAUAAUGGUAAAUUUUGUUUAGGGUUCUUUUAAAAAAAAAUUGUUUAGGGAAAAAUAAUGCUUCAUUUAAGUAAUUCAAUUUCUUGAAAAUCUUAUGGAGAAGACAUUAUAUUAUGUUUAAGGUCACAAACAUAAAACCAAUUUUACAGAAUUAAAAUUAUCUUUAAUGGAGUACCUCCCGUCCUUUAUCUUUUUCUUUGAGAGAGAAUUUAGUUAAUAAUACUUCUUCGAUGACAUUGCAAUCUCCAUUAAUGGAGGUAAUAAUGUUGUGUUCAAUUCAAUCAUGAAUAAAAAAUUAUGCUUAAUGAGGCUACAAAUGACCAAAGGUUUCCCCAUAACAAGGAAAAAACAAUUGACUGCACUUUUUUCAACAUUUUUUAGCUUAGUUUUUCUCAAUGCUGGUCAUUUUUUUAAUUGAAAUUAUAAAAACCAGGACAACAAGAACAAAAAAGAGACCAAGGAAAACCAAGACGCUAGCCAAGUAUGAUUACUACAUUUGGUUUUCUGCAACUUAUCUUUGCCUACAAAUCAUCAUGGAGGCAGAACCAAAUAAAGAUAUGAAUUAUUGGAAUGAUAGCGGGCUAGAUAGUUUUACUUGAAGAAUAAGAUGGUGCCUCAAUUCUUGGCCUUAGCUCCAAGACCGGCCUUGAUCUUCUGAACGGUAGUGACAUCAGUUUUAUAGCCUUUGGCUAGGACAUCUUCACCAAUGCCAGUGGCAAAAACAGUGGAUGGAAUAGAAACAGUUCCAGCAUCUGCACUGCCAAAGCAAGAAACGGCCAUGGCAGGUUUAUCAUAGCUGGGAUUGUAUUAGUAAUGAACCAGUCCCUUCGGAUACAAAACUAGGAUUGUAUUGGUAUAAACUGAGAAGUCUCUUUAUAGUUAGUGAUGCUCUGCCAAAACUAGAAAUAAUCCCAGUUGAAGGUGCUUCUAAACUGCAGCAACUAUUUGGGGUUACGAGAAAUAGCAGUGCUCUGCACUAUCACUGAUGUUUGGAUAAGAAUAAAACAAAUUAAAAAAAGAAUAGUCAGAGAUUUGAAGCAGAAUUUCAACAAUUGUGGCUAGUUGAAAAUUCCCAAUACAUUUACAUCAUGGCAAGUCCCAUCCUCUUGCCACAGCACUUCCUGGAAACCCAACCAGGGUCCUUAACAGAGGAUCUAAAUCUGACAGAGAUUAUCACAAUUACUGGGCCAUCUACUGGACUGAGAAAAGGUUACUUAAUUAGUGGCACUCCCUAAAUCUUCAUAACAAUAAGUUGGAGGUGUUAUAUUCUAUUCAUUCCCAUAAAUAACGCCAUUUCCACUCCAAGAAUCAACACUCAUCACUACACCAUAUAUAUGAAUUAGAAAAUUUUUUGUUCACUAAAAUUUGUCCAUGAUGAUUUAGCCGGUACCAUGUUUACAAAAAGCUUCUAAAUGUAACUCCUUUCUUGUUACUAGAAGACAAUCUAUAAAUAAAAUUUAUAAAUAGAAUUUUUUUUAAAUAGUUAAUUAACCACGUAAUGCUUAAUUACAAAAGAAUUUAUAAAUAGGAAUCUAAGUGUUUACUCUUAAGGAUAUUUACAAAAUAAUAAUAGUAAUUUUUAUUUACAAGAAAAAUCAAGUGUUUUUCAUGUAAACCAACCAAGUAGGUUAGAAAUAAAUACCCAAAAAUAAUUGAAAAGUGAUAAAAAUAAAGAGAUUAAUAAUUCAGAAUUGCAUCAAUGAUUUCAUAUCUCAUUUAAAUAGGAGCACAAAGAAAAAAAUUUAGAAGUGUGAACUUAAUUCCUUUUGUAUAGUGGUAAAUUUUUUUUAGGAAAAAUUUAUACUUCAUUAAAAUAAUUCAAUUUCCUGAAAAUCUUAUGGAGAAGACAUUAUUAUGUUUAAGGUCACAAACAUGAAGUCAAUUUUACAAGAGUUUGAAUUUUCUUUAAUAGAUCAAUAACUCCCUUCUUUUUUUUUCUUUGAGAGUCAAUGACAUAUUGCACUCUCCAUUAAUGGAGACAGAAAUAUUUUGUUCAAUUCAAUCAUGAAUAAAAAAACUCCGAGAAAGCUCCAAGAAUCUCUAUUUUACUUUAGUAAAGUCAGUUACCACAUUAGACAUUAUUCUUUUAAGACAAAAGACAAGUCCUAAUUCCAAUUCUUUGUUAACUUUGAAGUAGAGAUAGUAAGUUAAGUGACUAAUAACCAAAGAUUUCUCACAAAACUUUCCUAAACACUUUUUAGCUUAGUUUUCCUCAAUGCUGGUCACCUUUUCAAAUUGAAAUUUCUCGUAGAGAUGAUUGAUGUCAUUAUCUAUCUCCCUUUAAUAAUCUAAUGAUCAACACCUAUAGAAAAAAAAAAAAAGAAAAGCAAAAGUGAGACCAAUAAUUCUAUAAAGCAAAAGAUAUUUGGGUCUAUUGUUAUUUAAAUAAAAAAAACAAUUAAAGAAAGACUUGGAAGAAUACAAAAUCCUUGCUGCAAUUUUUUUUGAAUAAUAAAAUAAAAAUAGUUCAAAAGUGAAUCAAUAAUUCCAUGUUGCACUAGCAAAAGUUGUGGGGGUUGGGAUUACCUUUUGAAUAAUGGUAAAUUUUACAUUAUUAUGUUUAGGAUCACAAAUAUGAAGUCAAUUUUACAUUAAUUAGUUAAAAUGUCCUUAACAGAACAUAUCCAUCAUUAUUUUUUUAGAAAGAGAAUUAGUCAAAAUUACUUUUUCAAUAACAAUACACUCUCCAUUAAUAGUAGCAUUAAUAUUUUGUUCAAUUUAACCAUGAAUAAAAAUAUCUAGAAAAAUUUCGAGAAUCUCCCUUUUAAUUUGAUAAAUUCAGUUUCAGGAUUAAACUUAAUUCUUUCGAGUAAGAGUCGUAAAGCAAAAGAUGUUUGGUUUCAUUGUUAUUUGAAUAAAAGAAAAAAUGAUAGUAAAAAAAGAGACUAAAAAAUAAACCAAUAAUUCAAAAGUAAUCAUGAUUUUCAAAGUGUGAACCCACUAUCACAUGUUCUUUGGGGAAGAAGAGAACGGGGAAUAUUCAUUUUCAGAAGUUUCCUAUACACUAACAUCCUCGCAAGUCCCAUCCUCUUUCCAUAACACUUCCUGGAAACACAAGCAGGGUCCUUAACAGAACAUCUGAGACAGAAUCUUCAAAGUUUAUUAAUUUUCUAUACCUACGUAGUCUUUAUUACUUCAUCCUCAUACAGUUCCCAUUCAAGCAUCUUCUUCUAUCAUCUGCACUAUCCCAAGAGUUUGUUUGAUUUCUGCAUGCCUUGCUCUUCUUUUUACUCAAAAAGACCUACUCUUCCAUUUUAUUUUCCAUCAUUUUCCCACUUUUCUUUUAAUUCAUCUCCGUUAUUUAACUCUGAAAAAAAAAAAAAACAGUUCUCGUAAAUUACUUUUGUUUAAGCCCUUCUACUUUUCCUUUCCUUAAAACAAUUCUCCGGAAUUGGUGAAGUAAUUCUAUCCCAAUUGAGGUAAGCUUCAACAAAAGAUAUUAUAUUCUUCAUAUUUAAUUUUUUUUAUAAGCUCAAUUUCUCAUUCACUUAUGAGUUUGACUUCUUAUUAUAAAUUUUCAUUUUUUUCCAUUUUUACUGACAUUUAUGGAUAUUUUGGGAAAGUAUUAUUUUGAAUGAUAAUACUAUGCUUUUACUUUAAUAUGAAAAUAUAUUGUUUAAGUAAUAUACACAUGACCAGUGACUACAUUGCAGCAUUUUCAAUUUCCAAGUUUAUCGGUCAACAAUCCUUUCUCUUGUGAUCCACAUUUUCAUAAAGAUAAGGUACUUUGCCAACAUGUUGUAAUUGUUUUUGUCUUUCUGUAAAACUUUUUACUCAUCAAAAUUAAAAUUAGGUAGAUUUUUAUUUUAUGAUGGUUUCCAGUGAUCGUUAAUUAAAAUAUAUAACAUGUUUUAAUAAUUGAAGAUUUUGGAGUUUGAGAUAUUAAUAUUACUUGUUAUUAACAGUAAUUUUUUUUAUAAAUAAAAGCAAAAAGAAAAGAUGAGGCCCAAUAUUUCCAUAAGGUAAAAGAUUUGGGUCCUCGUCCUCCAUUAAGGACUUGAAAUUGAAAGAGAAAAAGAGAUGUAUAAUUUUGAAAAUAAAUAUUAAAAAAUAUUAAUAGCUAAUUAGAGAAAUAUCAUGGGGGUAGAAUCAAAUAAAAAUAUGAAUUAUUGCAAUGGUAGCCUCCGUCAAUGUGGCCUUGAUCUUCUGAACACACAAUCCAAAACAUAUUCCAGUAGAUAGAUUUUUAAGUCUAAGAUUAAUUAUGAACACACACGUUUGCAAUUUGCAUUGAAUAUUCCUACCAAAAAUAUUGAAAGAUAUUCUUAAGCUUCUUUUUAUUGUUUUUUUUUGGGUACAAUUAUUUGUUUUUUAUUUCUUAGAAAGUUAAGUGAGAAACAAAUGACAAAAAAGUGAAAUCCUAAUUAAUUAAAAAAGAGUAAACGAGUAAGGUAAAAAAAAUAAUAAAUGAUAAAAUUAUAUCAAACCUAAAAAGAUCCAAUUUAUUAUUUAGAAUAUUAUAUUAAACCUAAAAUAAAUAAAUGACCCAACUUUUUCAUUUGAAGCUCAGCAGAACAAGGGUGGAUGUGAGGUGGGUUGAGGGUGCCUGCUGCAGGGUACUCCAAAGUGGCAAAGGAGACACCAUGGCCAUUGAGGGCAGGGAACUCCAUCAUGCUAGCUUUGUAACCUAAUACUAUAACUUUUUCCAAGUCACUUUAGGUUUUAUAUAUUUUAACGAUUCUUUUUCCCUUUGGAUAGUACCUUGGACUGUUGUAAUUAUCACCAACAUCAAAUGUGAUUUUGAAUCAGGUAAAGAAGGCAAAGGGGGGAUGGUCCUACAUUUUUCUACUUUUUGUUUAUGAUCAGAAGAAACUGCUUGCAUUGAUAAUUCUCCAGCAGAUCGCUGUUGUUUGGACAGCAAGAGAAAAGGGCAGCUCACUGAGCAUGCCACUGUCAUGGGCCCCUCUUAUUUACUCUUUCAACCACAUUCAUUCAAAGUCUAUUCCUAAGCUGUCCUGUCACUCACCCAAUAAUUCAACUCUCCUUCAAUUGAACCAACUUUUUGCUUUGUGCACAUGUAUCCUUCUUUACUUACAACGUCAAGAAAUUUCUUAAACAAUAAAAACAAAACGAUAUUAAUUUAUCUAUAUUAUCAACAUUUAUCUUUAUAAACUUAAGUUUUUGACUACGAUGUUAAGUUUGCUUGCGCUCCUGUUAUCUGCUUUAGAUUCAUUCCAACCAAGUUGAAUAUCCAUGGCGGAAGUAAUUCCAUACGGGGCAGUCAGUAACAUCGUGUUGAGUUUCCUGGCAAGUCCCAUCCUCUUGCCGUAACACUUCCUGGAAAGCCAAGCAGGGUCCUUGAUAGAACAUCCGAGAGGGAAUCAGUCAAAGUUUAUUAAUUAUCUAUACCGACUCUCGUCCUAUUGUAGCUGGGACUCAAUUAAAGGAUAGAGAACAAAAUUAAUUAAUUAAAAUAUGAAGUUAAUUUUAUAUUAAUUAGUUAAAAUUUUCUUUAACAGAAUAUAUUCAUCAUUAUUUUCUAUAUAAAGAGAAUUAAUCAAAAAUACUUUUUUAAUGACAAUACAAACUUCAUUAAUGAUGACAUUAAUAUUAUAUUCAAUUUAACCAUGAAUCAAAAAUAUUCAAAAAAGUUUUGAGAAUCUUCCUUAUAAUUUGAUAAAUUCAAUUUUCCAAUUGUGGACCCAUUAUCACGUGUUCUUUGGGGAAGGAAAAGGAAGAGGUGGAGAAAGGGGAUUCAUUUUCAAAAGUUUCCUGGACACUGCGAUCCACUCAUGUCCCAUCCUCUUUCCAUAACACCUCCUGAAAACACAAGCAGAACAUCUGAGGCCGAAUCAUCAAAGUUUAAUAAUUUUCGAUACCUACUCUUAUUACUUCAUCCUCAUACAGUUCCCAUUCAAGCAUCUUCUUUUAUCAUCUGCACUAUCCCAAGAGUUAGUUUGAUUUCUACAUGCCUUGCUCUUCUUUUUACUCAACAAGUCCUACUCUUCCAUUUUACUUUCCUCCAUUUUCCCACUUUUCUUUUAACUCCGAGAACAAAAGCAUCUCUGUUGUUUAACUCUACAAAAAAAAAAAACAACAACAGUUCUCUUAGAUUAUUUUUGUUUGAUCCUUGUUAGCUACUCUUCCUUUCCUUAAUUUUGGUUUCCCUAUCUCCGGAUUUGGUGAAGUAAUUCCAUCCCAAUUGAGGUAAGCUUCAAUAAAAUAUAUUAUAUUCUUCAUAUUUAAUUUUUUUAUGCUCAAUUUCUCUUUCACUUAUGAAUUUGACUUUUUAUUAUAAUUUUUUAUUUAUUAUAAAUGUUCAUUUUUUUCCAUUUUUACGGACAUAUAUGGAUACUUUGGAAAAGCAUUGUAUAGAAUGAUGACACUAUGCUUUGACUUUAAUAUAAAAAAAUAUUUUUAAUUAAUAUACACAUGAUUAGUGACAAGAAUUUUUAUUUCUGCAGUAUUUUCGAUUUCCAAGUUGGUCAGUCAGCAAUCUAUUCUCUGGUGAUUCACAUUUUCAUAAAGGUAAAGUGCUUUACAAACAUUUUUUCUCUCUGCAAAGCUUUUUACUCUCUAAAAUUAAAACCAAGCAUAUUUUUAUUUUAUGAAAGUUUCAAGUGAUCUUUAAUUAAAAUAUAUAACACGUUUUAAUAACUUAAAAUUUUGAAGCUUGAAAUAUUAAUAUUACUUAUUAAUUAAUAACAAUAAUUUUUUUAUAUAAAAAAUGGAAAAGGGGAAGUCAGUAGUUUCCUAAGACAAACGAUUUGAGCACUUGUCUUCCGCUAAAAUUUUGAAAUUGAAUAAGAAAAGUAUUUAUAUUUAUGUACUAACCGUAUAUAGUUUUUAAAAUAAAUAUUAAAAAAAUAUUAAUAAUUAAUUAGAGAAAUAUCAUAGUGGCAAAAUCAAAUAAAAAUAUAAAUUAUUGCAAUGGUAGCCCAUUUUUGGUACUUCAAUUUUUGGCCUUGAUCUUCUGAACAAAACAUAUUCCAGUGGAUAGAUUUCCAAGUCUAAGAUUAACUAUGAACACACCUUCGCAAUUUGCAUUGCACAUUCCUACCAAAAAUAUUAAAAAAUAUUCUUAAGCUUCCUUUUAUAGUUUGAUUUUUUUUUUUACUUUUUUUUACAACCACUUUUUUAUUUCUUAAAAAGUUACGUGAGAAAUACAUGACAAAAAAGUGAAAUGACAAAUUAAUUAAAAAUGAGUAAAUGAUUAGGGUAAAAAUAAAUAAAUAAAUGAUAAAAUUGUAUUAAAACUAAAGAGAUCUAUUUCAUUAUUUAGAAUAUUAUAUAUAUAUAUAUAUAUAUACAUUUAAUUUAUCAAAACUUAUUAUGAUUUAUUCCAACAUGCUUAUCAGGUGAAGUCCGUUAAGUCUUUCAUUACCGUGUUAGUUUGCUUGCAUUUCCCUGUCAUCUGCUUUAGAUUCAUUUCAACCAAGUUGUAGAUCCAUGGCGGAAUCAAUUUUAUUCGGGGCGCUCGCUAACAUCCUUUCCAAGUUGACGUGGCUUGCUGGGCAAAAGAUUGGCCUGAUUUUCUGGCAGAAAAGCGAACUGGAUAAGCUUAGAAAGACUCUCGACAUCGUAAAAGCCGUCAUUCUUGAUGCUGAGAAGAAGCAGGAGAGCAACCAUGUCGUGGAACAGUGGAUAAUUCGACUGGAAGAUGUCGUCUCUGAUGCAGAGGACUUACUGGACGAAUUCGACUAUGAGAUCCUGCGCCAGAAGGUACGUCCUCGGGGACAGGUACGCAAGAUCUUUCGAUCCUUCAGGAUGGGUCCUAGAGUUAAGGAGAUUAGAGAGAGGCUGGACGUGGUUGCAAGAGAGAUUUCUAAGUUUGAUUUUAGUCGGAGAGUUGUAGAACUGGAUAAGAAACCUAAGAAUGCUGACAGGGAGACUGCCGCAAAGGUGAGACCGGAAUUAGUAAUAGGGAGAGAGAAAGAUAAAGAGCACAUUAUAGAAUUGUUAAAGGAGCAAAAUCAUGGUGACAACAUCUUCAAUAUUAUUGCCAUUGUUGGGUUUGGAGGUUUAGGAAAGACCUCGCUUGCCCGGUUGGUGUAUAACGAUGCACAAGUAGCAAAUUCCUUCAAAGGGAUAUGGGUGUGUGUUUCUGAGGAAUUUAAUGUUCUUAUAAUUUUCAAAAAAAUUUUGAAGUGUCUAGGAGAAGACAAAGUGGAUGACUGGAAUCUAAAUGAGGUGCAAAAAAAAAUUGAACAAAAGUUAGAAGGGAAGAGAUAUUUACUUGUGUUGGAUGAUGUGUGGAACGAAGACAUUUUAAAGUGGAAUGAUUUUUCACAGUAUCUAGUGUUUGGUGCAUCCGGAAGCAAAAUUAUUGUGACAACUCGUAGCACCAAAGUUGCAGCUACUAUGGGGGUACACAGUCCUUACCUUUUAAAAGGUCUCAAUGAGGAACAAUCUCAGGAUUUGUUUGAGAAAGUGGCAUUUGAAGGACGUCAAAUCGAUCCAAAGCUUGGACAAAUUGGAAACGUUGUUGCACAAAAAUGCAAAGGAGUUCCUCUUUCUAUUAAAUGUUUAGGAGGUUUGAUGAGACAAAAGCCUGAUGAAAAAUACUGGUUGUUUAUCCAAGAAAAUGAAAUUUGGAAUAAUGAUGUUGUUUUGUCGGUGUUAAGAUUGAGUUACAAUCAGCUACCAAGUAAUUUAAAACAAUGUUUUGCUUUUUGUUCGCUUUUCUCAAAAGACUCUACGAUAUAUAAAGAUGAGUUGAUUCAUUUUUGGCGAGCACAAGGUUACAUUCAAUUAGGGAAUAAAAAACAGAAUAUACAAGACAUUGGUGAUGAAUACUUUAAUGAUUUGCUGUCAAGAUCAUUUUUUCAAGAGGAGGAGGAAGAUAUGGAAGGGAAUAUUUUUUGCAAAAUGCAUGAUCUUAUUCAUGAUCUUGCAUUAUCAGUAACAGGUCAUCAUUUUCAUUGGAUGAAAGAUGAAAAAGAAGAAAUUCCAAAAGAAGUCCGUCACGUGUCAUUAGAAAAAUAUUUCAAAGAAGUUGAUUUGAUUUUGUCGAAAAUAAAGGGGAUAAGGACUCUGUUUUUUCAAACAAGUUUCUUCAAGGAUUUAUUCAUUCGAAAUGUAAUUUUUUCGAACUUCAAUUGUUUACGUAUGUUGAAUUUAAGUUGGAUGAGCAUUGAUAUUUUAUCAGAUUCAAUUGGUGAAUUGAAGCAUUUGAGAUACCUUGAUCUUUCUGUUAAUCAAAGGAUGAAAGUGCUCCCAGAUGCAAUAGUCAAAUUGCACCAUUUGCAAACUCUAUUACUCAAUGCUUGCAGCAGUCUGGAAAAGUUACCAAGGGAUAUACGCCAAUUGAUUAGUUUGGAAUAUCUCAAUAUUAAUUCUUGCAACCGACUAAAGUACUUGCCAAAAGGGUUAGGGGAAUUGACUUCUUUACAAAGAUUGGACAGAUUUGUUGUGAACUGUGUUGAAGACAAUUUAUCAACUGCAGCCACGUUGAAUGAGUUGAGUAACCUAGACCUUGGAAGCUGCUUAAAAAUUGAACACUUAGAAAAGGUGAGGAAUGUGGAAUUAGAAUGUAAGGAGGCAAAUUUAAAGAAAAAUAAACGACUUCAGUCUUUGCAAUUAUCUUGGGAAUCUUUCUCUCCAACAACAGUGGCUAGUGAAAAGGAUGAGUCAUUGUUAAAUAUUCUUGAGCCACACCCGAAUUUGAAAGGGCUGAAGGUAUCCGGUUAUGGAGGAGCAAGGUUUUCGAGUUGGCUAUCUUCAUUGACUAAUUUAGUCCAACUUGAUAUAAACAAAUUUUGGAAUUGUCGAGACCUGCCACCCUUGGAUCAUUUUUCAUCUCUCAAGUCUCUCAGUCUUUAUCGUUCCAAUGCUUUAAAACACCUGCCAUCCUUGGAUCAUCUUUCAUCUCUCGAGUCUCUUUCUCUUGACCAGUUAGAUGCUUUAGAAUACGUGGCAGAUUCUUUUUCCUUGCCUUGCUCCACUUCAAGAGAACCAUUCUUCCUGUCCCUUAAGAAACUUUCAAUCUAUAAUUGUCCCAAUCUCAAAGGAUGGUGGAAGACAAAGAAUGAGAACCAAGGAUCAAUCGCUGAGCUGCCUUGCUUUCCUUGCCUUUUCCGGUUAAAAGUCCAAAAUUCCGGAAACUUAACCUCCAUGCCGCUGUUUCCAUCUCUCGACCAAGAUUUGACUUUGGAAGGUACUAGUAUAAGGCCUUUUCAACAAACAUUGAAGAUGAAGAUGACCGAGGCUAGCAUGAGAUCAGAAGAAGCAUCAUCAUCAUCAGGGAGCACUUGUCAUUCUUAUUCUUCAACUGCCCUUCCUCUCUCCAAUUUGAAGCAUCUGACUCUUUUUAAGAUUAAGGAUUUAGAAGCUCUGCCAAAAGAGUUCCUACAAAAUCUCGCUUCUCUUACAUUCGUAAGAUUGAAAGAUUGCCCUAAAUUGGAAUCGCUGCCAUCGCAAAAGAUGAGCUGCCUCACCUCUUUACAAGACUUGCUGGUUGAAAAUUGCUCUAAUCUGAGGGCUUUGCCGGAUUGGAUACUCAAUCUCACUUCCCUUGAAACACUUCAAAUUUGGAACUGCCUUGAAUUACAGCACAUGCCAAGAGGGACGCAUCAGCUUACCUCUUUAAAAAAAUUAUCCGUUGAAAAUUGCCCUAAUUUGAGGGCUUUGCCGGAUUGGAUACUCAAACUCACUUCCCUUAAAACACUUCAAAUUUGGAAGUGCCUCGAAUUACAGUACAUGCCAGAAGGGACGCCUCGGCUUACAUCUUUAGAAAAAUUAUAUGUUGACUGCCAUAAUUUGAGGGCUUUUCCAGACUGGAUACUUAAUCUCACUUCCCUCAAAGACCUUUACAUAUGUGAGUGCCUUCAAUCACCGUACUUGCAAGAAGGGAUGCAAAGCCUCACCUCUUUAGAACGAUUGAUGGUUGAUUAUUGCCCUAAUCUCAGUUCUUCCACACAUUCUCUCAAAGCACUUCUAAUUCGGGGGUGCCCUGAUUUAAGCUUCUGGAGAACGAGGCAUUCCCUCUCCACUUUAGAAGAAUUGAAUGUUCAAAAUUGCCCUAAUCUGGAGGAUUUGCUGAAUCGCAUAUCAUUUUUUAUCCCUCCCCUCAAAACACUAAAGAUUUGUAAGUGCCCUCAAUUACAAGACUUGCCAGAAAGGAUAGAUGGCCUUACCUCUUUACAAGUUUUGUCAAUCUGUGAAUGUCCCCGGUUGUCGAAAAGAUGUGAAAAGGAGACCGGAGUCCUAUGGCCUCGCAUUGCUCGCAUCCCAUCUAUUAUAAUUGAUGGGCGACAGAUUCAAUGAUGAUCAUAGCAUAUAGGUAAUCACAUUUUUCUUCACCUCUAUUUAUAUUUUUUCCCUUUACUUAAUAAUUCCUUUUUUUUUCUCUCCUUGGAUUUGGAUGAUUCGUAAUUUGUUCUAUGCAUGUAAUCCAAGUCGACUAUGCAAAAGUGAAUUUAAUCCAUUCUCUGCUACUUCUUUCUAACUGGACUAACAAUAUUGAUUUCUUUUUUCUUUCCUUACUUUGAAUUUUUUUUUUGUUAAGUUAAAUAUUACUAAUGUGAAAUGUGACCAAAACUGGAUGUCAAAAGUCUGCCCGUAUGUCACAGCAAUUGGGAACUUUUUCCUUGUUUCAAUCUCUCAUUCUUCAAUUAUAAUCCUAAAUUUGAAGCAUUUAGGAUCUCACUAGCUCUUGAUGGAACCCUUGUGCAGAUAGCAUAUUUAUAGUCAAAGCAUUAAAUUUUAUACCCUUAUAUAGACAAAUUUAAAAAAAUUAUAGCAGUAUGAAUGUACUCAGUUAGCAAAUUAUUCUGAUUUUUAACUUUGUUAUAUCUAAAUGUCUCUUUGCACCUAUUUCAAUGAUGUUAAUCUGUGUUUGGAGGAUAUUGUUUAAGUUGACCAAAAGUUUAGGUUUUCUGUAAAAGGUUGUCAAAAGCUUUUUGUGCAGUGUUGAUGUAAUUAAUUGUUCAGUUAUCUUAUCAGUAGAGUUACAAUGCCAAAGAGAGUCUUUAACUGAUUAGAUUAUAGACUUUUGAUCUGACAAUAUCAAUAAAAUCAAAACUUUCCAAAGAAAAAAAAAAACAUAAGCAUAAAAUGGGGUUAUGGAUAGAUUAUUGUCAGUUGUUUCACUUCCCCUGUUUUUAUGCAUUGAUCAUUGCAAAAUCAUCUCUUAUGCAAUGAGGCAACAUUGGAUGUUUGUGUCAUAUCUUUACUGAAGCAAAACCAAAAUUUAAUGUGAACAUUCGUAACCAUAUUUUUCUUCGCCUAUGUUAUAUUUUCUCCCUUUAUCUGAUAAUUCCUUCUUUUUUUUUAUUUUUCUUCUUGGAUUUGAAUGAUUCAUACUUUGUUCUAUGCAUGUAAUCCAAGUUGGUACAUUGAUUCGCCUAUAAUUUGUACAGAUAGCAUACUUGUUGUGAAAGCAUUAAAUUUUAUACUCUUUUAACAGAUAAACGUACUUAUGUUACCUAAUUAUUCUGAUUUUUCAUUUUGUUAUAUCAAUUCCUAACUUCUUCGGUUUAACAUAAGUAUAAAAUGGAGUUAUGGACAGAUUAUUGUCAGUUGUUUCACUUCCCCUGUUUUUAUGCAUUGAUUAAUGCAAAUAUCUCUUAUACAAUGAGGCAACAUUGGAUGUUUGUGUCGUAUCUUUUCAGAAGUAAAACCAAAAUUAAAUGGAAAAGGAUCGCAAGACGGAUUGCUUCUAUCACAGAGAUUCUAAGUAAUUGAAACACUGGUGAAAUAAGCUGAGAUGUGAGAGUGACUAUCCCUGAAAAUUUGCAGCUACAAGUUUGUUAGAGGGCCUAUCUCCAGUCAAGACUCCUGAGCUGAAAGCUAGUAAUAAGAGAAACUAAUUUGAAUGUCUGCUUGUACAUUUCCUGCUGUAUUUGUUGCGAUGAGGAGAUAUUGCUAUAGGUAAUGUUUCUGCCUCUUCUUCUUGAUGUAGGCACUUGCUUUUGUAAAGAAUAUAUUAACAUCAGUUCUUUCUUUUUUGUACGUGUUUAGAAUGGGAUGAUUACAUUUUUUCAUUGUUUGAAGCAGGAUGAUUUUAUCUUGCUAAUGUCCUCCCAGAGCAGACUGUUGUUAAUUUGAAACCAAGAGAAAUUUCUAUUGGUAAAAUUUACCACUUAUUUGGUUUGUUUUACCAAUUUCAUUUACUUUCUAUAAGGAAUCCGUUAACACCCAACUUCUUCUUUCUGCAUGUCUUUGCUGGGAUUAUGGACUUUUUCUGAUAGAUUGAGAGAGUGCGUAUUGAUUUCAACUUACAAAUGCCAUUGUGAAGAACAGUGCUGCAAUCCAUGGAUUGGAAGCUUUACUCUUAACAGCGUCAUCACUGUCUAUGUUACAGUUUGAUGGAAAUUCUAUGUGAGUUAAAUUUACGUUGAGUAUUUGAAUUCAAUAAAGGCUAGCUCAUGAAAAUAAUUUAACAGGUUGACCUCUGGUGUACUUUUAGAUUACAACGAUUGCACAGCAUGCGACUCUUUCACCUUUCCUUCCCAAGAAGUGAGCCUUGGUCUAACGAACUUGAAUUUAAGGUAAAUUAGCUUAUCACUUAUUGCUCUAUAUUAUUUACUGUGCGUAGAAUGUUGAAUAUUUUUUCGCUGCUAUAACGUUAUAAGAUUUUCAUUUUCCAUAGAAAAAUAAGAGGUGUCAUGACUUGCUCACCAACUCCCUUUUGAGGCAUUCUUGAAAUGCAGGUAUAUUCAUUAAGCAUAUCUAUUGCAAAAGUGAUGACUAUAUAUUAUAGUUUCUUUAGUUUUUAUUCUUGAUUUUUUGCAUAUCUUUUUCCUCAAUGCUUGCUUAUAACAGUGGAUUUUUAGACUAGUUAUUUGUGAAUGAUGGCAAACAACACUUGCUAAGUAAUGGCUUGAGCGAUUGGGAGAAUAGUCUGGAGCUGAGCUGGUUGUGAUGUAGUCGAAAGGUUUAGGGCAAUUAGAACUCAACAAUUAGGGUUAGAAUAGGGUUGAUUGUGUUGGAACAAUAAAAAAGAUAAUUGGGUUUUCAAAGAAACCUCUUGAAUAAAUAUUCAAAAUAACAAAAGAUGAUAAUCAUAAUCUUCUACUUAAGAUACUUAUUUAUAAUAGUUAAGAUAAAUCUUAAUCAAAUAGUAAUUCUAAUCCUAAAUAAAGACUUAAAGUACUAAAAUUCUAAUAAAGAUAAGAAAAAGAAUCCUCAAUACUUUUGCAUUGCUCUAACAUUUAAGAUUUUCGUUUUCCAUAGAAAAAGAAGAGGUGCCAAUGACUUGUUCGCCAACUCCCUUCCAGUCAUUUUUGAAAUGUAGGUAUUCUCAAAGCAGUAUCUAUUGCAUACAUGAUUCUAUAUGUUAAAGUUUCUUUACUUUCUGUUCUUAUUUUUUUGCAUAUCUUGUCAAUGCUUCUUUAUAAAAAUGGUUUUUCUUGACUAGUUACCUGUGAAUGGAGUCUCGCAACAUUUGCUAAUUAGUGGCUCAAGUGAUUGGGAGAAGUGCCUGGAGAGCUAAGCUGGUUGGAAAACCCGUUUGCUUCUUUCAAAAAUCAAUGUCAAUGGUUCCAUCUUGGCGAUUCUUGGAGGUUUUUGAGCAGUGGCUUCGAUUCUAGUCUUUAGGGCUUUACUUAAUUAACCCAAACUGUUAAAGAGGACCUAAAUACAAAGGUUCUUUCAUAAUGGACAUAUGGAGAAGACUUUUGGGAUACUAUUCUAGGAUUUACAAUUUGCUAAAUUUGGGUGCUGCAGCUACUGUAACCUCCUGCAUCAUAGUAAAAUCUCUUUCACCCUUUGACUGUGGAUGUAGGCUAUUAAGUCGAACCACGUAAUUUGUCGCGUGUUUUUUUAUACUAAAUUGUUCCCUUGCUAAUUAUGAUCAAAUUCAGUUUGGUUUCGCAUUUAUAUUUUUUAUUACAUUAUCUAUCAAAAGUAUUGCUUUUUCGACAAGAUGAUGUUAGGGAGUUACCUUAAAAUCUCGUCAAUCCUCUCGCAAUGACUAUAGGUUAAGAUAAAUCAUGUAAAUUUUUGUAUUUUUGUUAUACGUGAUUAUUUGCUUUGUUAUUUACUAUCAAAUAUGGAUUGCUUCAUUUCUGUAUUUAUAAUUUUCAUUAUAUUAUUACAAAAGAUAUUGAUUUAUCCCAAAGUGUAUCAAGUGAAAAUAUAGCAAACCUUUCAAUUUUAAUUGAUUAAGAAAAGUUAUAAAAUUGAAGUUACUCAUUUCCAAAAUAGAUUAAUUUUUGGAUAAAUGUCACUACAACUUUGCAGAUGGUGUUCAUUAAAAAUACUUUUUACUUAAAAUUUUCCAUUAGUCAUCAAAACACGAAAAGUAGAUAGUACUCAAUCACACGCUUAAUUUAUAUGACUUGACAUAAGGUAUAAAUCCAUAAAUAAAAUUUCAUAUAAACAGUAAUUUAUUAGCACAGCAAUGAAAACAUAUAAAAACAGUAAUUCAUCCUUCAAGCAAGAUCAAAUCCAUCAAUUUUUACAGAUUCUAAAUUUUCAUGGAUAUAAGUUUUUGAUGGAAUAAAGGGCAAAUCUCUGUUUGCUGUAUUCAGAUGUACUGGAAAAUGAAAAGCAUUACCUGCUGCUGCCUUGCUAUGAUUUUAUUUCUACUGAAACAUGAUGACCAGCAUUGAUCUUCUGAAUGGUAGUAACAUGAGUUUUAAAGCCUUUGGCUAGGACAUCAUCAUCAAUGCCAGUGGCAAAAACAGUGGAUGGAAUACAAACUGUUCCAGCAUUUUACACUGCCAAAGGCAGAAACAGCCAUGGCAGGUUGAUCAGAGCUAGGAUUGUAUUGGUAACAAACCAGUGCUUUCAGAAACCAAAUUAGAAAUAAACUGAGAAGUCUCUUUAUUGUUUGUGGUGCUUCUAAACUAGAGCAACUAUUUCGGCGAUGAAGAGAAAUAAUAGUGUCCUGUACUGUCACUGAUUUAGGAGCAAACACGUAAGGUCAAUUUUGCAUUAGUUAAAAUUUCAUUUAUUUAAAAGAAACAAGUGAAGCUCCGUGAAAUUAAAUGAUGUUUGGUCCCUUGUCUUGCACUUACGUCCAUGCAAGUCCCAUCCUCUUGCCGUAACACUUCCUGGAAAGCCAACCAGGGUCCUUAACAGAGCAUCUGACAGAGACUUGGUCAAAAUACUUCUUCCUUGAGAAUUCAGUCUCUAUUAAUGGUGGUAAGUGCCUUACUGUCAAACAACUAAAAGGUAAAAGUAGUGGACAUUUACGAAAAUUUGUCCACGAUGAUUUAGCCAGGCAACAAUGAGGUAGCUCAUUACUCAUUACUAUAAGAAAAUUUACCGAGUAAUGCUUAAUUGCAAAAGAAUCAAAAUAGGGAUCUAAUUGUUUGCCCUUAAUGAAAUAAUAAUAGUAAUUUUUACUUACAAUGAGAAUCAAAUGCUUUCCAUGUAAAUCAACAAAAUAGGUAAGAAAUAAAUACAUAAAAAUAAUUGAAAAAUGAUAAAAAUAAAGAGAUCAAUAAUUCAAAAGUGCAUCAAUGAUUUCAUGUCCCAUUUGGAUAGGAGCACAACGAAAAAUAAAAUUAAAAGUGUUAACUUAAUUUCAUUUUGAAUAAUGGUAAAUUUUGUUUAGGGUUCUUUUAAAAAAAAAUUGUUUAGGGAAAAAUAAUGCUUCAUUUAAGUAAUUCAAUUUCUUGAAAAUCUUAUGGAGAAGACAUUAUUAUGUUUAAGGUCACAAACAUAAAACCAAUUUUACAGAAUUAAAAUUAUCUUUAAUGGAGUACCUCCCGUCCUUUAUCUUUUUCUUUGAGAGAGAAUUUAGUUAAUAAUACUUCUUCGAUGACAUUGCAAUCUCCAUUAAUGGAGGUAAUAAUAUUGUGUUCAAUUCAAUCAUGAAUAAAAUAUUAUGCUUAAUGAGGCUACAAAUGACCAAAGGUUUCCCCAUAACAAGGAAAACACAAUUGACUGCACUUUCUUCAACAUUUUUUAGCUUAGUUUUUCUCAAUGCUGGUCAUUUUUUUAAUUGAAAUUAUAAAAACCAGGACAACAAGAACAAAAAAGAGAACAAGGAAAACCAAGACACAAGCCAAGAUGAUCACUACAUUUGGUUUUCUGCAACUUAUCUUUGCCUACAAAACAUCAUGGAGGCAGAACCAAAUAAAGAUAUGAAUUAUUGGAAUAGAAACAGUUCAUCAAUUGCCUACAUUUGGAAAUUGAAGGCAGGCAGAGUCCUUAACAGAACAUCUGAGAGAGAAUCAGUCAAAGUUUAUUAAUUUUCUAUACCUACUCUUGUCCUAUUGUAGCUGGUUAUUAUCAAAGAAAAUAGAAUAAAAUUAGUGCGGACACUCACAUGGGACGACUUUGACCCAACUUGCCAAUGUUUUCCCAUUUUUCUUCCUAGAGUUCCCAUUUACGCAUCUUCUUCUAUCUCUCCACUAUCCCCAGAGUUUGUUUGAUUUCUGCCUUGCUCUUCUUUGAACUCAACAAAACCUACUCUUCCAUUUUAUUUUCCUUCAUUUUCCCACAGUUCUUUUAGCUCAAAGAAGAAAAGCAUCUCCGUUCUUUAACACUGCCAAAAAAAAAAAAAAAAAGAGAACUGUUUUGUUUGAUCCUUGUUAACUACUUUUCCUUUUCUUAAUUCUGGUUUCCGGAUCUCUGGAGUUGGUGAAGUAAUUUCAUCUCAAUUAAGGUAAGUUUCAAUAAAAAAUAUUAGAUUCUCCAUAUUUAAUUUUUUUAUGUGCUCAAUUUCUCUUAUCAUUUUUGAAUUUCACUUCUUAUUUUUUAAAUUGGAAAAUAAAAUUAAUUAAUUUGUACUUUACUUCUUUUCUUCUUAAUCCAAUGAAUAUUUAAUAAUAUACUAUGUGUCGCAUUUUCAUAUGAAAUAGUUUUAAUAUUAUGACUUUAAAAUAUGUAAACUAUAUGAAUAAACAUAUACGGGAAUUUCAUUCUAAAUUUUUUAAUUAUUAUAAAUAUUCAUAUAUUUUUUUCAUUUUUACAGACAUUUAUGGAUAUUUUGAGAAAGUAUUUUACAGAAUGAUAAUACUAUGCUUUUACUUUAAUAUGAAAAAAUAUUUUUAAUUAAUAUACACAUGACGAGUGAUAAGAAUUUUUACAUCUGCAGCUUUUUAAUUUUCAAGUUGGUAGAUCAACAAUCCCUUCUCUUGUGAUCCACAUUUUCAUAAAGGUAAAGUACUUUUGUAAUUAUUUUUUCUCUCUGUAAAACUGUUUAUUUGUUAAAAUUAAAAUCAGAAAGAUUUUUAUUUUAUGAAAGUUUCAAGUGAUCUUUAAUCAAAAUAUACAACAUGUUUUAAUAAUUUAAAAUUUUAGAGUUUGAGAUAUUAAUAUUACUUUACUAGCAGUAGAAUUUUUUUAUUAAAAAAAAUAAAAGGUGAGGCCAACAGUUCCAAAAGACAAAAGAUUUUGGGCCCUGGUCUUCCUCUACGGAUUUGAAAUUGAAUAACAAAAAAAGAUUUAUAUUUGAUGUACCGAUUCUAAUAGUUUUUGUACAUAGUCAGUUUAUCAAAUGAUACUAUAUCAUUAACAAACAAAUAUAAAAAUUGGUAUAGUUUUUAAAAUAAAUAUUAAAAAAAUUUAAUAACUAAUGAAAGAAAUAUCAUGGACGCAGAAUCAAAUAAAAAUAUGAAUCAAAUAUCAUUGCACGUGCCUACCAAAAAUUUUAAAAAAUAUUCUUAAGCUUCCUUUCAUCGUUUUUUUUUUUUUUUACUUUUUUUUACAACUAAUUUUUUUAUUUAUUAAUAAGUUAAGUGAGAAAUAAAUGAUAGAAAAGUAAAAUCAUAAUUAAUUAAAAAAUGAGUAAAUGGCAAAGGUAAAAGAGUAAAUAAAUGGUAAAACUAUAUUAAAACUAAAAAGAUCCAUUUCAUUAUUUAGAAUAUUACUUUAUCAAAAACUUAUUUUGAUUUAUUCAAACAUGCUACAGAUAUGAAAACUUAUUUUGUUUUCAUAAUUUAAGAUUUUGGAGUUUAGAUAUUAUAAUAUUACUUGUUACAUACAGUAAUUCUUGUUAACUAAAUUUCACUGUCUCUUUCAUUAUCGUGUUACUUUGCUCGCAUUUCACUGUUAUCUGAUUUAGAUUCAUUUCAACCAAUUGGUAGAUCCAUGGCGGAGUCAAUUUUAUAUGGGGCGGUCAGUAACAUCUUGUCCAAGUUCGUGUUAAAUGCUGGGAAAGAUCUUGGCUUGAUUUUUGGGCUGAAAAAGGAGCUAGAGAAGCUUCAAGGGACUCUCAGCACCAUAAACGCUGUCCUUCUUGAUGCUGAGGAGAAGCAGGAGAGCAGCCAUGCCAUGAAGAACUGGAUAAGUCGACUGGAAGACGUUGUAUACGAUGCAGACGACCUACUGGACGAAUUCGACUAUGCAAUCCUCCGCCAGAAGGUGCUUGCUCGGAGACAGGUGCGCAAGUUCUUUUCAUCCUCAAACCCUCUGGUAUUUGGUCUUAAGAUGGGUCCUAGAAUUAAGGAGAUUAUAGAGAGGCUUGACUCAAUUGCAGCUGAUAUUUCUAAGUUUAACUUGAGUCCGAGAGUUGCAACAGAUAUGAAAGCUAAGUAUACUAACAGGAAGACUGCCUCAAAGGUGAGACCAGAAAUGAUAGGGAGAGAGAAAGAUAAAGAGCACGUUAUAAAAUCAUUGCUUCAGAAGCAUCAUCAUGGUGACAGCAUCUCUAAUAUUGUUGCCAUUGUUGGGUUUGGAGGUUUGGGAAAGACUACGCUCGCCCAGUCGGUUUAUAACGAUGUAGAAAUAAAAAAUCUCUUUAAUCCACGAAUAUGGGUGUGUGUUUCUGAAGAAUUUGAUGUCUGUAUAAUUUUCAAGAAAAUCUUGGAGUCGCUGGGAGAUAGUAAAAUAGAUGACUUGGAUCUAGAUAUUUACUUGAAGAGGCUUGAAGAAAAUUUAAGAGGGAAGAGAUAUUUACUUGUGUUGGAUGACGUAUGGAAUGAAAACAAUUUAAAGUGGGAUAAUUUUUCAAAGCAUCUAGUGUUUGGUGCUCCAGAAAGCAAAAUUCUUGUGACAACUCGUAGUAAGAAUGUUGCAUCUAUUAUGGGGCUCAACAGUCCUCAUGUUUUAAAAGGUCUCAAUGAGGAUCAAUCUUGGACUUUGUUUGAGCAAGUGGCAUUUGAAGGACAAGGCCAGAUGGAUCCAAAGCUUAAAGUAAUUGGAAAAGAUGUUGCACAAAAAUGCAAAGGAGUUCCUCUCGUUAUCAAAUGUCUAGGAGGUUUGAUGAGACAAAAUCCUAAUGAAAGAUACUGGUCGUUUGUCCAAGAAAAUGAAAUAUGGAAGUUACUUAAAGAAGAUGAUGGUGUUAUCCCGGUGUUAAAAUUGAGUUACAUUCACCUACCAAGUCAUUUAAAACAAUGUUUUGCUUUUUGUUCAAUUCUCCGAAAGGACUACAACAUACCUAAAGACAGGUUGAUCCUAAUAUGGCGAGCACAAGGUUACAUUCAAUCACAGAUCAGAAAUGAGAAUAUACAAGACAUUGGUGAUGAAUACUUUAAUGAUUUAUUGUCAAGGUCAUUUUUUCAAGAAGAGGUGAAAGAUGAGAAUGGGAAUAUUAUUCGUUGUAAAAUGCAUGAUCUUAUCCAUGAUCUUGCAUUAUCAGUUGCAAAAAGUAGUUUUUCUUCAAUGAAAGAUGACAAAGAAAAACUUCCAAAAGGUGUCCGUCAUGUGAUAUUAGAAUGGGAACAUACAAAUAUCCAAAAAGAAGUUUUCACACAUUUGUCGAAAGUAAAAGGGAUAAGGACUCUACAUUUUCGGUCAGACAUUUCAAGGGAAUUAUUCAUUCGAUGUGCAAAUUUUUCAAAAUUCAAUUGUUUACGCAUAUUGAAUUUGAGUUUCAGGAACUUUAGAAUAUUGCCAAACUCAAUUGGUAAAUUGAAGCACUUGAGAUAUCUUAAUCUUUCUGGUAAUUAUGAGAUGGAAGUGCUUCCAGAAGCAAUAGCCAAAUUGCACCAUUUGCAAACUUUAUUACUCUAUUAUUGCAGUAAUCUUAAAAAGUUACCAAAGCAUAUACAACAAUUGAUUAGUUUGGAAUAUCUCGAGCUUGAUCUUUGUGAAAAACUAACGUGCUUGCCAGAAGGGUUAAGGGAAUUGACAUCCCUACGAAGAUUGGAUAGAUUUAUUGUAAACACUGUUGAAAAGAGUUUCUCAACUGCAGCCACGUUGAAUGAAUUGAGAGACCUAAAUGACCUUGAAAACCACUUGGGAAUUGAAAACUUGGAUAUGGUGAGGAAUGUGGAAUUAGAAUCAAUGGAGGCAAUUUUAAGGGAGAAGAAACGGCUUCAGUCUUUGCGAUUACAGUGGGGACCCAAUAUAAGGGGAGACAAUAAAAAGAAUGAGUUGUUGCUGGAUAAUCUUGAGCCACAUCCAAAUUUGAAGGAGCUCACUGUGUUCGGGUAUGAAGGGGCAAGGUUUUCGACGUGGCUAUCUUACUUGAAUAAUUUAAUCAAACUUAAAAUAGAACAUUGUUGGAGGGUUCAACACGUAGCAACAUUGCCUCCCUUGGAUCAUCUUUCAUCUCUCAAGUCUCUUACUCUUGAUAAUUUGCAUCUUUUAAAACACGUGGCGGAUCAUGAUGGGAAGGAAUAUGACCGUUCUUUGCCAACAGCAUCAUUCUUCACAUCGCUUAAGGAACUUAAGAUCCGAAACUGUCCCAAUCUCAAAGGAUGGUGGAGGACAAAGAAUGAGAACCAAGGUUCAACUGUUGAGCUGUCGUGGUUUCCUUGCCUUUCCAAGUUAGAAAUCAAAAAUUGCCCGAACUUAACCAGCAUGCCGUUGUUUCCAUCUCUCGACCAAGAUUUGACUUUGGAAGGUACUAGCAUAAGGCCUUUGCAAGAAACAUUGAAGAUGAAGAUGACCAAGGCUAGCAUGACAUCAGAAGGAGCAUCAUCAUCAUCAUCAGAGAUUACUUGUCUUUCUUACUCUUCAACUACCCUUCCUCUCUCCAAUUUGAAGUGUCUGACUCUUAUUGACAUUAAUGAUCUAGAAGCUCUGCCAGAAGAGUUCCUACUCAAUCUCACUUCUCUCAAAACGCUUAGCUUUUCUAAUUGCCCUGAAUUACAGUACUUGCCAGAAGGGACGCAUCAGCUUACCUCUUUACAAGAAUUGUGUGUUAAAAAUUGCCCCAAUCUGAGGGCUUUGCCGGACUGGGUUCUUAAUCUCACUUCUCUCGAAACACUCGAAAUUCAGAGUUGCUCUGAAUUACAUCACUUGCCAGAAGGGACUCAUCGACCUACCUCUUUACAAGAAUUACAUGUUGGAGAUUGCCUUAAUUUAAAAGCUUUGCCAAAUUGGAUCCCUAAUCUCACUUCCCUGAAAACAAUUGACAUACGGGGUUGUGAUAAAUUACAGUACCUGCCAGAAGGGAUACAACACCUUACCUCCUUACGAAGUUUGUCAAUCAUCGGAUGUCCCCAGUUAUCGGAAAGAUGUAAAAAGGAGACCGGAAUCCACUGGCCUCACAUUGCUCACAUCCCUUAUAUUUAUAUUGAAGGCAAUUGAUUAAAGAUGAUGAUGCAGUCUAGGUAACCAUAUUUUUCUUCACCUCUGUUCAUAUUUUCUCCCUUUAUCUGAUAAUUCCUUGUUUCUUUUAUUUUCUUGGAGUUGGCUGAUUUAUACUCUGUUCUAUGCAUGUAAUCCAUGUCGGUAAAAUAAUUCGUCAAUGCAAAAGUGGAUUUAAUUAAGACUCUGCUAUUUCUUUCUAAUUACGUGGACUGACAAUACUAUUUGUUUUUCUGUUCUUACUUUAAAUUUUCCUUUCUUAAGUAAAAUAUUACUAAUACGUUGAGUGAAAGGACUUUGAACUGAACAUAACUUGAAGUCAAGGCUUUGCUAGUAUUUCACAGCAAUUGGGAACUUUUUCCUUGUUUGAAUCCCUCAUUCUUUAAUUAUAAUCUUAAAGUUUAAGCAUUUAGGAUCUCACUAGCUCUUGAUGGAACCCUUGUACAGGUUGCAUACUUAUUGUCAAAGCAUUAAAUUCUAUAUUCUUGCACAGACAAAUUUUAGAAAAAAAAUACAGCAGUAUGAAUGUACUAACGUUAUCUAAUUAUUCUGAUUUUUCACUUUUUCAUAUCAAUUCCUAACAAUCUUUUAAAUGUUUCCUUUCACCUUUUUCAGUGAUGCUAAUCUGUAUCCGGAGGAGAUUGAUGUGAUUCAGAUAUUCUCAGCAGUUUUUACUUAUUAUGUUAACAUAAGUACAAAAUGGAGUUCAUGAAUAGAUUAUUGUAAGUAGUUUCACUUUCCCUGAUUUUUAUGCAUUAAUCAACGCAAAAUCAUCUCUUAUACAAUGAGACUACGUUAGAUGUUCAUGCCAUAUCUUUUCAGAAACUAAACCAAAAUUAAAUAGACAAGGAUCGUCAGACAGAUUGCUUCUAUCAAAGAGAUUCUAAAUAAUUGAAACACUGGUGAAAUGAGCUGAUGAGGUGUGAGAGUGAGAGUCCUUUUUACGGAUUUAUAUAUUUCUUCUUUUUUCCAUCUUCUCUUCGAGGAAGUGGCUAAUACUAUAACCUCUUCCUUUCAACUAGCAGAUGGAAUUAAGUAUUAACCUUAGAAUAUUGUUUUUUCUAGAGUAUCUCUGGGGAUUUGCAACUACAAGUUUGUUAGAGGGCCUAUCUUUACAAGAAUCUUGAGCAGAAAGAUAGUAAUAGUAGAAAAUAAUGUGAAAGUCUGCUUGUACAUUUCCUGCUGUAUCCGUUGUGAUGACGAGAUAUUGCUAUCGGUAAUGUUUCCUCCUCUUCUUGUUGUAGGAACAUGCUUUCGUAAGGAAUAUACUAACAUCAUUUGUUUCUUUUUUCUUCGUGUUUAUAAUGGGAUGGUAAACAAUUUUUCAUUGUUUGAAGGUGGACGAUUUGAUCUGCCUAAUUUCCUUCCAGAGCAGAAUAGGUGUUGAAUUGAAACCAGGAAAAACUUUUAAUGGUAAAAUUUUCCAUUUAUUCCGUUUGUCGUACCAAUUUCAUUUGCUUUCAGUAGGGAAACCAUUAAUUAACACCCAACUUCACACUUCUUUCUGCAUGUUUUUACUGGGAUUAUGGACUUUUUCUGAUAGUUUGAGAGAGUACAUAUGGAUUUCAACUUGCCAAUGCCAUUGUGAAGUAGAGUCCUAGAAUCGAUGGAUUGGAAGCUUUACUCUCAACAGUGUCAUCACUAUCUAUGUGAGAGUUAAAUUUUGCUUUGAGUAUUUAAAUUCAACAAAGGCUAACUGAUGAAAACAAUUGAACAGCUUGACCUCUGGUUUCUUUUUUGGGUAACGACGACUGCACAACAUGCAACUCUUUCACCUUCUCUUAUCAAGAAGUGAGCCUUGAUCUAACGAUCUUGAAUUCAAGGUUAAUUGGCUUUUCAUUUAUUGCUAUAUUAUAUAUGAGGAAUGUGCUGUUUAUAGAAUCCUCAAUAUUUUUGCAUUGCUCCAACAUUUAAGAUUUUUGUUUUCCAUACAAAAAGAAGAGAUGCCAAUGACAUGCCCGCCAACUCCCUUCCAGCCAUUUUUGAAAUGCAGCUAUUCUCAAGGCAUUAUCUAUUGCAGACAUGAUUCUAUAUGUUAUAGUUUCUUUAGUUUUUGUUCUUAUUUUUUUGCAUAUCUUUAUCCUCAAUGCUUCUUUAUAACAAUGGUUUUUUUGACUAGUUAGCUAUGAAUGGAGUCAACCAACCCUUGCUAAGUAGUUGCUCGAGUGAUUGGGAGAAGUGCCUGGAGAGCUAAGCUGAUUGGCUUUGAUUGGAGGUCUUUGAGCAAUGGCUUCGAUUCUAGUCUUUAGGCCCUUACUUAAUUAACCCAAACUUUUAAGGGGACCUCUUUCAUAAUGUACAUAUGAAGAAGACUUUUGGGAUGUCAUUCUGGGAUUUACUAUUUGCUACAUUUGGGUUCUGUAGCUAUUGUAACCUCCUGCUUCAUAGUAAAAUCUCUUCCACCCUUCAACCGUGGAUGUAGGCUGUUAAGCUGAACCACGUAAUUUCUUGUGUGUUUUAUUAUGUUGGAUUGUUUGUUUGCUAUUUAUCAUCAAAUUUGAUUUGAUUUCACAUCUAUACUUUUUGCUAUGUUAUUUGUCAAAGUAAUUGCUUUUUCGACAAGAUAAUCUAAAAGAAUUUCCUUAAAAUGUAGUCAAUUCUCUUGUAAUGAAUAUAAAUUAAGAUAAAUCAUGUAAAUUUUUUCUAUUUUUGCUAUACAUGAUUGUUUACUUUGUUAUUUACCAUUAAAUUUGAGUUGCUUUGUUUUCCAUUUUUAUAUAUUUCACGAUGAUAUUGUAAAUGUUAUUGGUUUAUCCCAAAAUGUAUCAAGUGAAACUAUCAUAAAUGUUUCAAUUUUAAUAGAUUAAGAAAAGUUAUAAAAUUGAAGCUACACAUUUUCAAAACGGAUUAAUUUUUCGAUAAAACACAAAAUGUAAAUAAUACUCGAUCAUACUCUUUAUUAUAUAACUUGACAUAAGCCAAAGAUCCAUAAAUAUAAUUUUAUAUAAACAGUGAUUUAUUAGCAAAGCCAUAAAAAUAAAUAAAAACAGUAAUUUAUCCCUUCAAGCAAAGAUCAAAUCUGUGGAAUUUUACAUAUUCAUAUCUCCCUUUUGUAUUUCGAAAUUUUCAUGGAUCUAAGCAUUUGACAGAAAAAAGGCUAAUCUCUAUUUGCUGUAUUAAUCGAAUGUACUGGAAAACGAAAACCAUUACCUGCUGCAGCCUUGCUAUGAUUUUAUUUCUAUUCAUAUCAAAAUGUAUCUGCUGCCUUGAUCAAUGGUAGCAACAUGAGUUUAGUAUUGGUAUAAACAGUGGAUGGAAUAAAAACAGUUCCUUUCGGGUACAAAACUAUGGUUAUAUUGGCAUAAACUGAGAAGGUGAAGGUGCCAAAACUAAUGCUUAAUUGCAAAAGAAUCAUAAAUAGGGAUCUAAUUGUUUGCCCUUAAUGAAAUAAUAAUAGUAAUUUUUACUUACAAUGAGAAUCAAAUGCUUUCCAUGUAAAUCAACAAAAUAGGUAAGAAAUAAAUACAUAAAAAUAAUUGAAAAAUGAUAAAAAUAAAGAGAUCAAUAAUUCAAAAGUUCAUCAACGAUUUCAUAUCCCAUUUGGGUAGGAGCACAAAGAAAAAAAAAUUAAAAGUGUGAACUUAAUUUCAUUUUGAAUAAUGGUAAAUUUUGGUUAGGGUUCUUUUCAAAAAAAAAAAAAAAAAAUUCUGGGAAAAAUUAUGCUUCAUAUAAGUAAUUCAAUUUCUUGAAAAUCUUAUGGAGAAGAUAUUAUAUUAUGUUUAAGGUCACAAACAUAAAGCCAAUUUUACAGAAUUAAAAUUAUCUUCAAUAGAGUACCUCUGUCCUUUAUCUUUUUCUUUGAGAGAGAAUUUAGUUAAUAAUACUUCUUUGAUGACAUUGUAAUCUCCAUUAAUGGAGGUAAUAAUAUUGUGUUCAAUUUAAUCAUGAAUAAAAUAUUAUGCUUAAUGAGGCUACAAAUGACCAAAGUUUUCCCCAUCACAAGGAAAAAACAAUUGACUGCACUUUUUUCAACAUUUUUUAGCUUAGUUUUUGCAAAAUAUUUGGUUUUCUGCAACUUACCGUUGCCUACAAAACAUCAUGGAGGCAAGCUUUUGAUUUGCAUGGAAGUUGUGAAAUGAAAGGAUCUCUAACAAUGUUUUGAUUAUAGCUGGAAAACAAUAAAUAAAAACAAACUUUCUCAAUGUAUGGAAAUAGCUUUCUCAAUGGGACGACGUCGAGCCAAGUUGCUAAUAUAUUUCCAAAUGUCCUACCCCUACUCUUAUUAAUAACCAAUUCAUUAUUAAUCACCAAGUUGCCAAUAUAUUUCCAUUGUUCCUAAUUUAAAUAUUAUUGUUCCAAAUUUCCUAUACCUAGUCUCGUCGUAUUGUAGCUGGUUAUUAUCAAAGAAAAGAGAAUAAUAUUUGUUUAUUAAUUAGUUGGGAAACUCACAAGUCACAUGGGACGUCUUUGACCCAAGUUGUCAAUAUAUUUUCGUUUUUCCUAUACGUACUCUUAUUACUUUGUCGUCAUAGAGUUUCCAUUUGAGCAUCUUCUGCUAUCAUCUCUACUAUCCCAAGAGUUUGUUUGUUUUGUGCCUUGCUCUUCUUUUAACUCAACAAAAGCUACUCUUCCAUUUUAUUUUCCUUCAUUUUCCCACUUUUCUUUUAACUCAAAGAACAAAAGCAUCUCUGUUGUUUAACUCUGCAAAGUCAUGUAAAUAGUUCCAUCUUGGCCAUUCUCGGAGGUCUUUGAGCAGUGGCUUCAAUUCUAAUCUUUAGCCCUUUACUUAAUUAACCCAAACCGUUAAAGGGACCUAAACACAAAGGUUCUUUCAUAAUGUACAUAUGGAGAAGACUUUCGAGAUACUGUUCUGGGAUUUACUAUUUGCUACACUUGGGUGCUAACCUCAUCUUCCUACAUUGUUGUAAAAUCUCUUCUACUCUUUAUCUUAGUGGAUGUAAACAAUUAAGUUGAACUACGGUAAUUCUUGUGUAUUUGAUUAUGUUGGAUCCUUUGCUUGCUAGUUAUCAUCAAAUUUGGUUUUUUUUUAUAUAUUUUAUAGUCUUUACUAGGUUUUUUCUUUUUUUUUUCAAUUGGAGGAGGGGAUUUGAACCCUUCUCUUUAGACAAGAGAUCAUUUUUUAUAUUUUAUAGUCUUUACUAGGUUUUUUCUUUUUUUUCAAUUGGAGGAGGGGAUUUGAACCAUUCUCUUUAGACAAGAGAUCAUGCAACAACCAAUGAGCCAAAUGCUUAACUGCUUAUAGUUUUGACUAAGUUAUUUGUCAAAGGUAAAACUAUUAGGUGGAACCUAUUUUCAUAUUUUAGCUAACAAAUAUUUUAAAAUAACUUAUUAAAUUUACUAUAUUAAAUAAUAUUUUCAAUCAAUAUAUUGAAAAUCUUAUAUUGAAAUAGUAUCUUGACAGGUAUUUUUAAGACAAUAGUUAAUAAAAUAUAUUAUUUAUUUAUUUAUUUGGAAGAUAAAACUCUAAUUGUUUUUUUUUAAGGAAUUCUAAUUGUUAGUAUUUCAACCUUGACUCAAUCCAAAACUUUGGCACUUUCACUCAUUGUUUGCCACUACCUAGAUUUCCAAGUCUAAGAUUAAUUAUGAACACACACCUUUGCAAUUUGCAUUGCACAUUCCUACCAAAAUUUAAUUCGUUUAUAUAUAAACUAAAAUGAUCCAUUUCGUUAUUUAGAAUAUUUUACAUAUAUAUAUUUAAUUUAUCAAAAACUUAUUUUAUUUUAUUCAAACAUGCUUUUAUUUUUUAUUUUUAAAAAUAAAAAUAUAUAGUAAAAGUAACAAGUGAAUAGAGUCUUAUAAAUUCGUUUAUAACUAAGAAGAUACAAAAAUCAAUCUAGCUAUAGUUGUUGAUUAUUGGUGAUCAAUAAAAAUUCCGUUCCUAGCAGAAAAAAGACAAAUUUCCUUGGGAAUUAAGUUUAAAAUCCAAUUUCUUGGACUCUUUUGAAAAUCAGCAUUGGUCAGUAGCCUUUGUCUGUAUGUUUCUUGACCGAGAAAUCAAUUCAUGAUUAACUCAAGAGAAGGCGCAAAAUGCUGUUAGUUUCCAGCUAUUUCGAUGUUAUCAUUUACAAAGAGAAGUUCAACAUCAUAUUCUAUAUGAUAAAAUUCCUUCGGCAACAAGAACUUUGUANUGUUAGGAUAGUCUUGAAUUGUGAUUUAAUUAGGAUUGUUUAAUUCUAAUUAAAUUAGUAUACCUUACAAAAUAGUCUUUAAAUCUAGUUAGAUUAGAAUAACAAUUCCUAAUUCUAUUAGGAUAAGAUUCCUAAUUAAAUUAGGAUAAGGUUAUUGUAUUUGAUACUAUAAAAGGACCCUAUGGGUUAAAGAAUAAUUAUCACCUAGAUUUAGAGAGAGUGAUUUAGGUGUACGUGGGAUAAGGGUUAUGAGUUUGAGACUGUUCUUGUAAUCUCCUGAUUUUUCUCUUAGUGAAUUUUUCUCUGUUGUUGUGCCCGUGGACGUAGGUCAUCAAAAGACCGAACCACGUAAAUUCUUGUGUUCUUGUGGGUGUGCUUGAUUUCUUUCUUUCUUUAUUCUAUUGAUUGGGUUAGAUCUUGGGUAAUUCUUUAAAGACAAUUCCGUAAUUUCUCAACAAACUGGUAUCAAAGCUUCAAGGUCUUGGGUCAAUCUGAAUCUCGCUAUGGCAACUUCGUCGACCAAGUAUGAGAUUGAAAAGUUUAAUGGAAGAAACGAUUUCAACCUGUGGUGUGUUAAGAUGUGCGCAUUGCUAGUGCAACAAGGACUGUUGAAGGCACUGAAGGGAAAAGAGCAUCUUCCCUCAAAUUUAUCUGAUGGUGAGAAAGAUGACCUUAUGGAAAAAGCACAUAGUGCUAUUCUCCUAGCUUUGUCUGAUGAUGUGCUAAGAGAAGUCAUGGAUGAAGAAUCUGCUGUUGCAGUAUGUGGCUUAAACUCAAGAGUAUUUAUAUGAUCAAAAUCUUGACGAAUCGGCUUUAUAUGAAACAAUGAUUGUAUACUCUCAAGAUGAGUGAAGGUACAUCUGUUAAUACCCACAUUGAUGAAUUUAAUAGAGUUAUUCUUGAUUUAAAGAAUAUCGAUAUUAAAAUUGAGGAUGAAGACUUAGCCCUAAUUCUUUUAUGUUCUUUGUCUCCAUCAUAUGAAAACUUCAUGGAUACUAUGCUAUACGGUCGAAACACUCUCACUUUCGAGGAUGUAAGGGCAUCUUUAAAUUCCAAGGAAUUAAAGAAGAAAGUUGGUGAUAUUCGGAAUGAAAAUCAAGCAGAAGGUUUGGUUGUAAAUAGAGGUAAAGGUAAAGAGAAAGGCUUAGAUAGAAAAGGUAAAUCUAGGUCCAAAUCUAGAUCAAGAGGAAAGACUUAUUGGAACUGUGGUAAAAAAGGUCACUUUCGUCAAGACUGUACUAAAUUCAAGGGUGAUGAAAAGAUCAAUAAGUCUAAAAAUACUACAAAUGUAGUUGAAGAUGAUUUUGAUACUUUUGAUGAAGCUGAUAGUGUUCUUGUAGUUACUAAUGGUAACUUGAAGGAUACAUGGAUCUUAGAUUUGGCCUGUUGCUUCCACAUAUAUCCUAGGCGUGAGUGGUUUACAACUUAUCAAUCUGUUGAUUGGGCACUGUACAAUUAGGAGAUGAUUUCUCUCUCUCAGUUGUUGGGAUUGGCAUAAUUCGAAUCAAGAUGUUUGAUGGUAUAGUAAGGGCACUUGAGGUGAAACAUGUACCUAAAAUGAAAAAGAAUUUGAUAUCCUUGAGUUUGUUAGAUAAGAAGGGUUGCAAAUAUAGUGACCAAGAUGGUGUCUUGAAGGUAUCUAAAGGAGCCUUAACUAUCAUGAAAGGUAAGUUAUCCGGUGGCCUUUAUUGUUUAGUGGGAAGUACGAUUAUUGGAACUGCUUCUGUAGUCUCAUCCCAUGAUCCUGAUGAUGAUGUUAUACAUUUAUGGCAUAUGAGAUUAGGUCAUAUGAGUGAGAAAGGAAUGACAGAAUUAAGUAAACGUGGUUUUACUGUGUGGUUAAAAGACUGGGAAGAUAGAUUUAUGUGAACAUUGCAUCUAUGGCAAACAACACCGAGUGAAAUUUAGCAUUGCUACACAUCGAACCAAGAGUACAGUAGACUACAUCCACUCAAAUUUAUGGGGUCCUUCUCCUGUGGCAUCAAAAGGUGGAUCAUUAUACAUGUUAACAUUUAUUGAUGAUUUUUCAAGAAAAGUAUGGACGUAUUUUUUGAAGGCUAAAAGUGAAGUGUUUACCACCUUUUUGCAAUGGAAGGCAUUGAUCGAGAAGCAGACAGGGAAAAGGAUCAAGCGCUUUCGAACAGAUAACGGUUUGGAAUUUUGCAAAGGUGAGUUUGAUCUAUUCUGCAAGAAUGAGGGAAUCAUUAGACAUCACACUGUCAUCAAAACACCAUAACAAAACGGUAUUGCAGAACGGAUGAAUAGAACACUUGUUGAAAGAGCAAGAUGCAUGCUUUCUAAUGCUGGUUUAUCUAAAGUAUUCUGGACAGAAGCUAUCAACAUGGCUUGCUACUUGGCAAAUCGGUCUCCAUCAACUGUAAUUGAAUUAAAGACUCCUGAGGAAGUUUGGUCAGGUAAACCCGCUGAUUACUCUAUAUUGAGAAUAUUUGGUUGUCCUACUUAUGCUCGUGUAAAUGAUGGUAAGCUUGAACUGAGGGCAAAGAAGUGCAUAUUCCUAGGCUAUGCAUCUGGGGUAAAAGGUUAUCGACUAUGGUGUACUGAUCCGAAAUCCCCCAAGUUUAUGGUAAGUUGAGAUGUUACCUUUGACGAGUCUGCAUUACUUCAUGGGAUAAAGUCUAGAAUUGCAAUCUCAUCAGACCAAGAAGUGGACAAGCAGGUGGAGCUUGAAAUCAAUGCUCUUGGGACAAUGCAAGAUGACAGUGAAAUCCAAAAUGAAUCACAAGAGGAACAAGAAUCAGUAUCUCAUAUACAACAACGAAGCAUUGCUACAGACAGAUCUAGAAGGAUUUCAAAAGCUCCUCAGAAGUUUGAUGAUUUUGUUACUUGUGUGGAGCGUGAUUUUGAUUCUUAUGUUUUAUCUGUGGCGGAAGAAGUAGAGACUAAUGAGCCUUACUCUUAUCGUGAGGCAAUUACUUGUAUCGAGUCUUCUCAAUGGCUAACUGCUAUGAAUGAGGAGAUUGAGUCUUUACACCGAAAUCAAACAUGGGAGCUUGUGAAACCACCUAAAGGCCAAAAAGUUGUGGGAUGCAAAUGGGUCUUCAAGAAAAAGGAAGGGAUCCUAGGGGUUGAAAAUGCUAGAUUUAAAGCACGACUUGUGGCAAAGGGGUAUGCACAAAGAGAGGGAAUUGACUAUAAUGAAGUAUUCUCUCCUGUCGUGAGGCAUAGUUCAAUCCGCGUGUUGCUUGCUAUAGUGGCAUAUUUUAACUUUGAGUUGGAGCAACUUGAUGUCAAAACAGCGUUUUUACAUGGUGAGCUUGAAGAGCGGAUCUACAUGCAACAACCUGAGGGAUUCGUUGUUCCAGGUAUGGAAGAUUGUGUAUGUUUACUUAAAAAGUCAUUAUAUGGCUUAAAACAAUCUCCUAGGCAAUGGUAUAAAAGGUUUGAUAUGUUCAUGGAGGCACAUGGGUACACUAGAAGUGUACAUGAUGGUUGUGUCUACUAUAAAAGGCUUCCAGAUGAUUUGCGUUUAUCUAUUUGUUGUUGUAUGUGGAUGACAUGCUUAUUGCCGCCAAAAGUAUGUCAGACAUUGAUGUUUUAAAGGAGCAGCUUAGUGGUGAGUUUGAGAUGAAAGACUUAGGUGAUGCAAAGAAAAUAUUAGGUAUGGAAAUUGUCAGAGAUAGACGAGCGUCGAGAUUAUGUUUGUCACAAAAGAAAUACAUUCAAAAGGUACUAGAACGUUUUGGAAUCCAAGAUGCUAAGUCUGUGACUACUCCAUUGGGACUACACCUAAAACUUUCAACUGGUUUAUCACCACAAACGGAGGAUGAGAAGGAGUACAUGACUCGUGUUUCUUAUGCUAAUGCAGUGGGUAGCAUUAUGUAUGCUAUGGUAUGUACUAGGCCUGAUAUUUCACAUGUUGUUAGUAUGGUUAGUAGAUUCAUGGAUAAACCAGGAAAAGGACAUUGGCAAGCUGUGAAGUGGAUCUUUCGAUAUUUAAAAGGCAAUAUACUAAGCCAAUAUCUAUAGUGCCUUUUAAAUAUCGAAAGAUCCACUUCACAGCUUGCCAAUGUCCUUUUCCUGGUUUAUCCAUGAAUCUACUAACCAUACUAACAGCAUGUGAAAUAUCAGGCCUAGUACAUACCAUAGCAUACAUAAUGCUACCCACUGCAUUAGCAUAAGAAACACGAGUCAUGUACUCCUUCUCAUCCUCCGUUUGUGGUGGUUAUAAACCAGUUGAAAGUUUUAGGUGUAGUCCCAAUGGGGUAGUCACAGACUUAGCAUCUUGUAUUCCAAAAUGUUCUAGUACCUUUUGAAUGUAUUUCUUUUGUGACAAACAUAAUCUCGACGCUCGUCUAUCUCUGACAAUUUCCAUACCUAAUAUUUUCUUUGCAUCACCUAAGUCUUUCAUCUCAAACUCACCACUAAGCUGCUCCUUUAAAACAUCAAUGUCUGACAUACUUUUGGCGGCAAUAAGCAUGUCAUCCACAUACAACAACAAAUAGAUAAACGAAUCAUCUGGAAGCCUUUUAUAAUAGACACAACCAUCAUGUACACUUUUAGUGUACCCUUGUGCCUCCAUGAACAUAUCAAACCUUUUAUACCAUUGCCUAGGAGAUUGUUUUAAGCCAUGUAAUGACUUUUUAAGUAAGCAUACACAAUCUUCCAUACCUGGAACAACGAAUCCCUCAGGUUGUUGCAUGUAGAUCCGCUCUUCAAGCUCACCAUGUAAAAACGCUGUUUUGACAUCAAGUUGCUCCAACUCAAAGUUAAAAUAUGCCACUAUAGCAAGCAACACGCGGAUUGAACUAUGCCUCACGACAGGAGAGAAUACUUCAUUAUAGUCAAUUCCCUCUCUUUGUGCAUACCCCUUUGCCACAAGUCGUGCUUUAAAUCUAGCAUUUUCAACCCCUAGGAUCCCUUCCUUUUUCUUGAAGACCCAUUUGCAUCCCACAACUUUUUGGCCUUUAGGUGGUUUCACAAGCUCCCAUGUUUGAUUUCNNNNNNNNNNNNNNNNNNNNNNNNNNNNNNNNNNNNNNNNNNNNNNNNNNNNNNNNNNNNNNNNNNNNNNNNNNNNNNNNNNNNNNNNNNNNNNNNNNNNNNNNNNNNNNNNNNNNNNNNNNNNNNNNNNNNNNNNNNNNNNNNNNNNNNNNNNNNNNNNNNNNNNNNNNNNNNNNNNNNNNNNNNNNNNNNNNNNNNNNNNNNNNNNNNNNNNNNNNNNNNNNNNNNNNNNNNNNNNNNNNNNNNNNNNNNNUGUUAGGAUAGUCUUGAAUUGUGAUUUAAUUAAGAUUGUUUAAAUCUAAUUAAAUUAGUAUACCUUAUAAAAUAGUCUUUAAAUCUAGUUAGACUGGAAUAACAAUUCCUAAUUCUAUUAGGAUAAGAUUCCUAAUUAUAUUAGGAUAAGGUUAUUGUAUUUGGCACUAUAAAAGGACCCUAUGAGUUAAAGAAUAAUCAUCACCUAGAUUUAGAGAGAGUGAUUUAGGUGUACGUGGGAUAAGAGUUAUGAGUUUGAGACUGUUUUUGUAAUCUCCUGAUUUUUCUCUUAGUGAAUUUUUCUCUGUUACUGUGCCUGUGGACGUAGGUCAUCAAAAGACCGAACCACGUAAAUUCUUGUGUUUUUGUGGGUGUGCUUGAUUUCUUUCUUUCUUUAUUCUAUUGAUUGGAUUAGAUCUUGGGUAAUUCUUUAGAGACAAUUCCACAAUUUCUCAACAACCUAUUUUCAUAUUUUAGCUAACAAAUAUUUUAAAAUAACUUAUUAAAUUUACUACAUUAAAUAAUAUUUUCAAUCAAUAUAUUGAAAAUCUUAUAUUGAAAUAGUAUCUUGACAUGUAUUUUUAAGACAAUAGUUAAUAAAAUAUAUUAUUUAUUUAUUUAUUUGGAAGAUAAAACUCUAAUUGUUUUUUUUUUAAGAAUUCUAAUUGUUAGUAUUUCAACCUUGACUCAAUCCAAAACUUUGGCACUUUCACUCAUUGUUUGCCACUACCUAGAUUUCCAAGUCUAAGAUUAAUUAUGAACACACACCUUUGCAAUUUGCAUUGCACAUUCCUACCAAAAUUUAAUUAGUUUAUAUAUAAACUAAAAUGAUCCAUUUCGUUAUUUAGAAUAUUUUACAUAUAUAUAUAUAUUUAAUUUAUCAAAAACUUAUUUUAUUUUAUUCAAACAUGCUUUUAUUUUUUAUUUUUAAAAAUAAAAAUAAAUAGUAAAAGUAACAAGCAAAUAGAGUCUUAUAAAUUCGUUUAUAACUAAGAAGAUAUAAAAAUCAAUCUAGCUGUAGUUGUUGAUUAUUGGUGAUCAAUAAAAAUUCCGUUCCUAGCAGAAAAAGGACCAAUUUCCUUGGGAAUUAAGUUUAAAAUUCAAUUUCUUGGACUCUUUUGAAAAUCAACAUUGGUCAGUAGCCUUUGUCUGUAUGUUUCUUGACUGAGAAAUCAAUUCAUGAUUAACUCAAGAGAAGGCGCAAAAUGCUGUUAGUUUCCAGCUAUUUCGAUGUUAUCAUUUACAAAGAGAAGUUCAACAUCAUAUUCUAUAUGAUAAAAUUCCUUCGGCAACAAGAACUUUGUACUUUCCAUUAGCCCCUCCUGUUUCAUGGCCUGUUUUACGUGGAUACCUAUGCUAUAAUUAAUAAUUUCUUACCAAUCCAAACUUGAUUCAAUCUGAUUUGAUUUAAAAAACUCAACUACUUAAAAUCAUGUAAACUUCAAAUUAUCUUAAUAUACUUCUAACUCGAAUGAUCCAAAAAAAUUAACUCGAAAAGAAAUGUAUUUUUUGUCCCAACAUCAAUUUUCAUAUUUAAUAUAGUAUAUCAUAUUUAAGAUUAUUGGAUUAAUUAACAACCCUGAUCACAAUUGAUAACUAGUCUCGUCGUAUUGUAGCUGGUUAUAAUCAAAGAAAAGAGAAUAAUAUUGGUUUAUUAAUUAGUGGGGAAAUCUUUGAGCCAAGUUGCGAAUGUAUUUCCAUUUACUCUUGUUACUUUGUCGUCAUAGAGUUUCCAUUUGAGCAUCUUCUUCUAUCAUUGCUACUAUCCCAAGAGUUUGUUUGAUUUCUGCCUUGCUCUUCUUUUAACUCAACAAAGCCUACGUUUCCAUUUUUUUUUUCCUUCAUUUUCCCACUUUUCUUUUAACUCAAAGAACAAAAGCAUCUCUUUUGUUCAACUCUGCAAAAAAAAAAAAAAGUUGAUCUCUUAAAUUACUUUUGUUUGAUCCUUGUUUGCUACUUUUCUUUUUCUUAAUUUUGGUUUCCCGAUCUCUGGAGUUGGUGAAGUAAUUCCAUCCCAAUUGAGGUAAGCUUCAAUAUAACAUAUUAUAUUCUCCAUAUUUAAUUUUUUUAUGUGCUCAAUUUCUCUUAUCAUUUAUGAAUUUGACUUCUCAUUUUCUAAGUUGGCAAAUAAAAUUAAUUGAUUUGUAGUACUUAAUUUACUUCUUUACAUCUUAACCCUAUGAAUAUUUAGUAAUAUACUAUGUGUAGCAUUUUAGUGUGAAAUAGUUUUAAUAUUAUGACUUUUAAAUAUGUAAAAAUAUAUCAAUAAACCUACGCUGAAAUUUCAUUCUAAAUUUUUUAAUUUAUUUUAAAUAUUCAUAUUUUUUCUAUUUUUACCAACAUUUAUGGAUAUUUUGGGAACGCAUUUUAUAGAAUGAUGAUAUUAUGUUUUUACUUUAAUAUAAAAAUAUAUUUUUAAUUAAUAUGCACUUGAUUAGCGAUAAGAAUUUCUACAUCUGCAGCAUUUUCAAUUUCCAAGUUGGUUGGUCAUCCACAUUUUCAUAAAGGUAAUUGUUUAAUUUAUGAAAAUAUGAAAUAUAAACAUGUUAUAUUUAUAUCUCCAAAGUUAAAAUGUGGAUGAGAAGGGUCAUCCACAUUUUCAAGGUUAAUCUCAGUUGUGGUACUUGCAAAUAUUUUGUAAUUGUUUUUUUUCUCUGUAAAACUUUUUACUCAUUAAAAUUAAAAUCAAACAAAUUUUUAUUUUAUGAAAGUUUCAAGUGAUUUUUAAUUAAAAUAUAUAACAUGUUUUAAUAAUUUAAGAUUUUGAAGUUUGAGAUAUAAAUAUUACUUAUUAAAAAAAAUUUAUACAGAAAUAUGGAAAAGGCGAAGUUAGUAGUUUCCUAAGGCAAAAGAUUUGAGCUCUCGUCUUCCACUAAAAAUUUGAAAUUGAAUAAGAAAAAGUAUUUAUAUUUAUGUACUAAUUGUAUAUUGUUUUUAAAAUAAAUAUUUAAAAAUAUUAAUAAUGAAUUAGAGAAAUAUCAUGCAGGCAAAAUCAAAUAAAAAUAUAAAUUAUUGCAAUGGUAGCCCAUUUUUGGUUCUUCAAUUUUUGGCCUUGAUCUUUUGAAAAAACAUAUUCCAGUUGAUAGAUUUCCAAGUCUAAGAUUAACUAUGAACACACCUUUGCAAUUUGCAUUGCACAUUCCUACCAAAAAUAUUAAAAAAUAUUCUUAAUAUUUUUUUACUUAAUAUUAAAAAAUAUUAAAAGUUAAGUGAGAAAUAAAUGACAAAAAAGUGAAAUGAUAAUUAAUUAAAAAAGAGAAAAUGACUAGGGUAAAAAUAAAUGAAUAAAUGGUAAAAUUAUAUUAAAACUAAAGAGAUCUAUUUCAUUAUUUAGAAUAUUAUAUAUAUACAUUUAAUUUAUCAAAAACUUAUUUUGAUUUAUUAAAACAUGCUUAUCAGGUGAAGUCCACUAAGUCUUUCACUACCGCGUCAGUUUGCUUACAUUUCCCUGUUAUCUGCUUUAGAUUCAUUUCAACCAAGUUGUAGAUCCAUGGCGGAAUCAAUUUUAUACGGGGCGCUCAGUAACAUCUUUUCCAAGUUGAUGUGGCUUGCUGGGCAUGAGAUUGGCUUGAUUUUCUGCCAGAAAAGCGAACUGGAUAAGCUUCAAAAGACUCUCGACAUCGUAAAAGCCGUCAUUCUUGAUGCUGAGGAGAAGCAGGCGAGCGACCUUGUCGUGAAAAACUGGAUAAGUCGACUGGAAGAUGUCGUCUCUGAUGCAGAGGACUUACUGGACGAAUUCGACUAUGAGAUCCUACGCCAGAAGGUGCGUCCUCGGGGACAGGUACGCAAGAUCUUUCGAUCCUUCAGGAUGGGUCCUAGAGUUAAGGAGAUUAAAGAGAGGCUGGACGUGGUGGCAAGAGAGAUUAAAACGUUUGAUUUUAAUGUGAGAGUUGUAGAACUGAAUAAGAAACCUAAGAAUACUGACAGAGAGACUGCCUCAAAGGUGAGAUCGGAAUUAGUAAUAGGGAGAGAGGAAGAUAAAGAGCACAUUAUAGAAUUGUUGAAGGAGCAGAAUCAUGGUGACAGCAUCUUCAAUAUUAUUGCCAUUGUUGGGUUUGGAGGUUUAGGAAAGACCUCGCUUGCCCGGUUGGUGUAUAACGAUGCAGAAGUAGCAGAUUCCUUCGAAAGGAUGUGGGUGUGUGUUUCUGAAGAAUUUAAUGUUCUUAUAAUUUUCAAAAAAAUUUUGAAGUGUCUAGGAGAACACAAAGUGGAUGACUGGAAUCUAGAUGAAGUACAAAAUGGAAUUGAACAAAAGUUAGAAGGGAAGAGAUAUUUACUUGUGUUGGAUGAUGUGUGGAAUGAAGACAUUUUACAGUGGAAUGAAUUUUCACAGUAUAUGGUAUUUGGUGCUCCUGAAAGUAAAAUUAUUGUGACAACUCGUAGCAUCAAAGUUGCAGCUACUAUGGGGGUGCACAGUCCUUACCUUUUAAAAGGUCUCAAUGAGGAACAAUCUCAGGAUUUGUUUGAGAAAGUGGCAUUUGAAGGACGUCAAAUCGAUCCAAAGCUUGGACAAAUUGGAAACGUUGUUGCACAAAAAUGCAAAGGAGUUCCUCUUUCUAUUAAAUGUUUAGGAGGUUUGAUGAGACAAAAGCCUGAUGAAAAAUACUGGUUGUUUGUCCAAGAAAAUGAAUUUUGGAAUAAUGAUGAUGUUUUGUCGGUGUUAAAAUUGAGUUAUAUUCAGCUACCAAGUAAUUUAAAGCAAUGUUUUGCUUUUUGUUCGCUUUUCUCAAAAGACUCUAGGAUAUAUAAAGAUGAGUUGAUUCAUUUUUGGCGAGCACAAGGUUACAUUCAAUUAGAGAAUAAAAAUGAGAAUAUACAAGAUAUUAGUGAUGAAUACUUUAAUGAUUUGCUGUCAAGAUCAUUUUUUCAAGAGGAGGAGAAAGAUGCAUAUGGGAAUAUCAUCUAUUGUAAAAUGCAUGAUCUUAUUCAUGAUCUUGCAUUAUCAGUUGCUGGUCGAUAUUUUCAUUGGAUGAAAGAUGAAAAAGAAGAAAUUUCAAAAGGAGUCCGUCAUGUGUCAUUAGAAAAAUAUUCUAAAGAAGUUGUUUUGACUGGAUCAGAAACAAAAGUGAUAAGGACUAUGUUUUUCCGAGCAGACAUUUUCACGGACUUAUUUAUUCGAAAUGUAACUUAUUCGAGCUUCAAUUGUUUACGUAUGUUGAAUUUAAGUUGGAUGAACAUUAAUAUUUUACCAGAUUCAAUUGGUAAAUUGAAGCAUUUGAGAUACCUUGAUCUUUCUAGUAAUCAAAGGAUGAAAGUGCUCCCAGAUGCAAUAGUCAAAUUGCACCAUUUGCAAACUCUAUUACUCAAUGCUUGCAGCAGUCUGGAAAAGUUACCAAGGGAUAUACGCCAAUUGAUUAGUUUGGAAUAUCUCAAUAUUAAUUCUUGCAACCGACUAAAGUACUUGCCAAAAGGGUUAGGGGAAUUGACUUCCUUACAAAGAUUGGACAGAUUUGUUGUGAACUGUGUUGAAGACAAUUUAUCAACUGCAGCCACGUUGAAUGAGUUGAGUAACCUAGACCUUGGAAAUAGCUUCAAAAUUGAACACUUAGAAAAGGUGAGGAAUGUGGAAUUAGAAUGUAAGGAGGCAAAUUUAAAGAAAAAGAAACGGCUUCAGUCUUUGCAUUUAUCUUGGGAAUCUUUCUCUCCAACAACAGUGGCUAGUGAAAAGGAUGAGUCAUUGUUAAAUAUUCUUGAGCCACACCCGAAUUUGAAAGGGCUGGAGCUAUCCGGUUAUGGAGGAGCAAGGUUUUCAAGUUGGCUAUCUUCAUUGACUAAUUUAGUCAAACUUAAUAUAUACAGAUUUUGGAAUUGUCGAGACCUGCCACCCUUGGAUCAUUUUUCAUCUCUCAAGUCUCUCUUUCUUUACGGUUCCAAUGCUUUAAAACACCUGCCACCCUUGGAUCAUCUUUCAUCUCUAGGGUCUCUUUCUCUUUCGCGGUUAGAUGCUUUAGAAUACGUGGCAGAUUCUUUUUCCUUGCCUUGCUCGACUUCAAGAGAACCAUUCUUCCCGUCCCUUAAGAAACUUUUGAUCCAUGACUGUCCCAAUCUCAAAGGAUGGUGGAAGACAAAGAAUGAGAACCAACGAUCAAUCGCUGAGCUGCCUUGCUUUCCUUGCCUUUCCGAGUUAGAUAUCCUCAGGUGUCCAAACUUAGCCUCCAUGCCGCUGUUUCCAUCUCUCGAUCAAGAUUUGAUGUUGCAUGAUACUAGCAUAAGGCCUUUACAACAAACAUUGAAGAUGAUGAAGAUGACCGAGGCUAGCAUGACAUUAGAAGAAGCAUCAUCUUCAUCGGGGAGCGCUUGUCAUUCAUAUUCUUCAACUACCCUUCCUCUCUCCCAUUUGAAGAGUCUGAUGCUUACAGACAUUAAGGAUUUAGAAGUUCUGCUAGAAGAGU